This 95964-nucleotide long non-coding RNA is filed under the name Coffea arabica (coffee). Its description in RNAcentral is "long non-coding RNA (CARA_LNC006389)". Lineage: Eukaryota; Viridiplantae; Streptophyta; Magnoliopsida; Gentianales; Rubiaceae. The record is from RNAcentral.
UCUGCAUCUCAGUUAAAAUACGUCACAUUAUUCCCAACUAUGUACUGUGUAGCAUACAUUCUCAUAAAAGUUCAAUUAGGCUCAAUAAUAGGAUAUAGUUAACAGGGCAAUCUUACGAGUCCACCUAUAACUACUGUUAUGCCCCAAAAACAUUGGAGAUAGAAUUCAGAAGCUAUACCCUGAUAGAUCCAGGACAUGAUUUGUAAGUAACUCGUGUAAUUAGCAUUGAAAUCAAGACAAAAAGUAAAUUCUUUUCUGAAAAUCAAAACAAACUUGUUGGGGAAAAGUGCAAGCACUUUUUUCAAAACGAUGAAAGGAAAGUAGUUUGAAUUUUACCGCUCGUACAUCACAGGUAAGCAAUAAUUUGGAGGGUGGGGGUGUAAAGGCAUGUACAAUACUAAUUUUGAAGUUAUUAUGCCCAAGUUUUACAUUCUUGGGAAAUAUUACUCGAAUAAUGAAGUAAUUAAUCAAUUAAAUUGGUUACUAAUAUGACUAAAACUGCUUUUUCAAUAUAAAGACCUUUUCAUCCAUAUAUUUUAUGCUUUUUUUUUUGACUUUAUAAAGAUACGUGUUCUAUUAAAGUACUCAAUAUUCUACCAAUAAACAACAUUUGUCUAACUCUGACAAAGUAGCCAUAGUUAGAAGUUUAGGCACAAAUUUGUCAAAAGUUAAAUUUUGGGAUGAAAGCUACACUUUGACCUGGCCUCAUUUUUCUAGGCGGUGCAAGUUGAUAAUUAGUCUUACACAUCAACCUAGUGUAGGCAUACUAAUCAUAAUCGGAAAGAUUAUCUCUUGAAUACUAUUAAAAUAUGGGAAGGACAUUCUAAUUUCCAUAUAUGUUCAUAAUUGUAGAAACCAAUUUGAAAAUAUCUCAUAAGGGAGGCCAAAAACUAGAUAGAUGUUGUAAUUAUAUAAACAGAAAAGCAAUUUGAAGAGAUUGUUCAUAUUCACAUUGCAUCUUUGGAGAAAGGAUUUUGAGCAUGAUUACCUCUAAAAUGUCUCCAACAUUGACUAUGAAUGCAUUAGGAAGUGGUACAACAGGAACCCAAGCUCCAGCCUUUUUGAUUUGGAGGCCUUCCACUUCAUUGACUUGAAGCACUAUGGUAAGCCCAGUAGCAUCAGAGUGGGGGCAAAGGCCCAUUACUAGCUCAGGUUGAGGGCAUAGAGGAUAAUAGCCCAUCCUCAAUGAUUGCAUCCCUUCUUGAAAAAGCAUUGUCAUAUCUUCAAGCUUCAUUCCUAAUGCUUUUGUCAUUUGCUCAAGGACCUUGAUGGCAAGGAUUUUCAAUUCCCUUGAGUACUGAUCUAGAGUUUCUCUACAAAGUUAAAAAAAAUGUAAAUAAAAAGUAAAGAAUAUCCAAUAUAUAAUAACAAUGCACAAUGCUUUAGAUGUUAACUAAUUUUUUAUGCAUGCAAGGAUGGAUGUUUUAUCAUCAUCUCACGCUGACAUGGCUUAUUAAUUUUCCUCAUAAAGACAAUUAAGAAGGUAAGAUUUAAGAAAGGGAUAAUUUCAUAAACCUCCUCUAAGAAUUUUAACAAUUUCACUGAGCUCCCUUAAGGUUUCAAAAAUUACACCUACCUCCCCUAAUUUGACACUUUUGGCAAUCAAACCUUUGACUUGGCCAAAAUUUUUAAUGAAUAUCCUAAAAUACCCUCAAACUUAUAACGUUUGAAUUACUUUCCAGAACAAUCAUAAUAUAUUUAACACAAAAAUACAGAAAGAGUGUGAAGUUUUUAACACCAUAUUUAUUAUUUGAUAAGCAAAGAUGACAAUAGUUCUAUCACUAUGAUAAACUACUUUUAAUGGCGAUUUACCAGGGUAUGUAUUUUUUAAUUUGAAAAAGAAAAUACCGUCAUAAUUCUUUUAAAGUUUGUAGAAUUUUGGAUUGGUGGAAUUAUCAUAGCUUGGUAGCAAUUUUGGGCUUUUUUUUGGAGUUAAUGUAGCUUUUGGUACCCAAAAAAAUCAGCAAGUAAAAAUUAGAUCACAUUCAAAGUCAUAAAAAAUGUCACUAGUAAAACAUUUAGGUUGUCAAUGUUUAUAUUUUAUGGUUUUAUUGGCAAAAAUAUAAAAAGGGGGAAUAAGAAUAGAAAAAGAAAAGAAAAAUAAUUAUUAAUACCAGUCUUUGUAAAAGUAUAUCUAACAAGAGAGUUUUAUUAAAAUGUUUGACCUAAUAUUGUCAUUUUAUGUGGGCAAAGGAGGUAAAUGUUAUUUUUAUAACCUCGAGGGAGCUCAAUGAAAUUAUUAGAAACCUGAGGAGAGGUUUUUGAAAUUGUCCCUCUAAGAAAAGCAAGAGAGGAUAUAUUUUCCUGUAUGAGAGAGAGAGAGAGAUGAUAUAAUUUAUUUUUUGUCAAUCGUCAUGAUCUACUCUAUUCAUACUCUAACCUAUCUAGGGGGAGACUCAACUGAAUCUAUUGGGGAAUCGACGGGGAUUGAAUCACCAGUGGAUCAAACUAUUUCUACUCUAAUCUAUUUUAGAGGAAGACUCAACUGAAUCCAUUGAAAAACCGACGGGAAUUGAAUCACUAUUGAAUCAAACGUACGCACUUGUAUGGAUUUGAGAAAAUCACAUAUAGUAGCAAAAUGAUGGGGAUAAGAUUUAAACCUUUAACCUCCCACUCCACCAAGACUUCAAAUCAUUGGGUGGCCAAUAGCCAUAUGAUUAAAAGACGAGAAAUGUUGGAAAACCAUUAAGAAUGACUCCAAGGUAAAAAAAUAAGUAGAAAAGGCCUAUCAUGUGGAGGCUUUAAGAGAGAUAAUGAUCAAAAUAUUCAAUCGUUAGGACACUUUGUGGCUGAUAAGCUGUCCUUUUUUUUCCUUCGAAGGAGUGGCGGAUAAGCUGUCGUGAUCAUUACACAUGGAAUUUUAUUGAAGUGAUAACAUUUGAUGUUUAUGUCGUACGUCGGCCCCUAGACAGUACGACUUCCAAAUAAAGGCAUCUACAUAAUUAAGAAAAAAAUAUAUUACGUACACCCGGAUAUUCUCUGCUAUAAUUUUUCUUUCAUGUAACAGCAUUUGGCUUUAUUAAUGCCUCCUCAGUUUCAAUUAUUUUUCAAAAUUUUUUUUUCUGAAUAAAGCAUUUUAGUCAUCAAUGGAAUACUUUUUAUAAACAAAUUGUGACCUAGAAUAAAGAAUAAUUGAGUGGUUAUCAUUUUUUUUGCCCCUCAACAACAAAAUGAGACAUUUUUUUGUUCGACAAAACCAAAUUCACAAACAGUGAUUAAGAUGCUGCAUAACCAUUAUCUACAUCUUUCUUUAUUUACUGUUCUUUCAGAUUUAAGACAAAGUACUUAAUUACCUCAUCAAGUCCUUUAUUACUUUGCUUUUUAGAAGGGAAUUAUAUAGUUCAAGUCCUUUAUUUCAGUGAUGAAGAUUUAUUGCGUACUUCCGUCUACCAAUUAAUCCCUGAUUUCCAUAAAAUAAAAUCAAUGCAAUAUUUGUAAUCUAUUGAUUUCCCCUCUCCUAAUUUUCCCAAAUCUCUAAUUACAACCUUUAAUUCAUAAACUUCAAUGCAAUGUUGGUAUUACAAAGAUAAUCGACAUUGCCACUGUAGAAAUAAAGGAGCAGAGGACAUAAGGAAUAAAUUAGCAAGCGGUAGUAUAUAAAGAACCAAAUGAACCACCACUGCUAUAAUAAAGGACCAAAAUGUUCAUAUUUCCAUCAAUUAAAAUACAUGAAAGAAUCAAGCCGCCACACUUAAAUAAUGUCUCUUAUUGUAAAUCCAGUUUAUAACUCAUAAAAAUCAUCAUUUUAUCUCUUUACAAUUUCAAUUCUAGACUUUCAGUUUCUUUAUAUAUAUCAAGAUGUUGACAAUUUAUGUAAAAGAAAAUAGAAAGAUUACAGGUACGGUGAUUUGCAAAGUUACAGACUGCUACUAACCACAUAUUUUCUUAACCUAUUACUAGUCUAUGAUCAUCUUAUCCCUAGCUUUUAAGCAUUUUCACCCACAAAAUUUUAAAAUUUUAGACAAGUGUAGAAAAUUUUAGACGCUUAUGACUUUCAAAAGUUAUACUGUGUGUGAUGUUACUAUAGUCCUCAUGUGUUUGACAACACAAUUCAUCAUUUAAAUUUAAUGUAUUUAGAUUUUAAUAUAUUCAGAUACAUUUGAUAACUAAAAAUUGAACAUCUGAAUUAAUUAAGUGCCAUUAAAUUUUUUAGGCAAAACUUGCUAUAAAAAAUAAGUGAUAAACUUUUCAUUUAUCACCGAAUGUGAUAUACACCCAAACGUAUUUGAUUUAAUACUUAAUAAUUCAAUAAUUUAAUGGAUUCAGAUUUCAGAUUUCAGUUUUCAAACUUUAAUUUUAUCAAAUGCACCCUAAAUACAAUGAUAUGAAUGUGUGUGUAAAUUUUCUUGUACCUGAAUGGAAGAGGAAGGUUGGGAAGUAAAUGAGGUUUUCUCAAGUGAGUUGGCAGAGCGACCAUGAAUAGCAUGUCACCCCAGUUAAGUUUUUGUUCCUCCGAUACAACAAAGGCCUGUCCAUAUCCUUCUACAUCGCCCGGUUCCUGGGCAAAUCUCUUCUUCUCUUCAAUCGUCAAAUUGAAAAACUUUUGCAUCUCUAGUUUCAGUUUGUCCACUAAUGAAGAGCUCACUCCAUGAUUAAUCAGCUGGUGACAAAUUGUACAGUCACUAAUUAUUUGGUGCUGACUAUUAUAACACUUCUCCAUUUUAACAGCAGGCAUGUAUAUCCAUUUAAAUUAGAUGAUUGUCCUUGUAUAACAAUUCAAAGAAGAUCCCAGGAAAAGCAGGAAAGAAAAGGAGAUCACUCCUAUUACAUUCUAGUCUUGCAUUAUGUACUACUACUAGAGAAAACCAAAUGAGUUCAUAAAUUAGGGUAGGCAUGCUUGCUUUUGACAUAAAAAUUCUGGAUAAUUACAAGAAAAGAAACAUUUCAAUAUGAAAAAAAAAAAACUUGUGGCAAGAUAUAUCAUUUACCUACAGUCCUGAAAAGUCAUAGUUAUUAACAUAAUAAAUAUUUCAGAAUUAUUUUAUUCCCUUGAAAGUAAGUUAAAGUUGUGGUAAAAACCAAAUUGAAAUGACUAGUAGAUUUUGAGCAAAUACUAUAACAAUCAGACUCCAUUAUUAGGUUAACAACAAUACCUAAUAUAUGCAUAUACAAAUACGAAAUGACAAACCUGGAAGAAGCCCCAUUCUUUGCAGGCAAAAUGCAACUUUUCAAGCUCAGGAUUCACUGAUUCAUCAGAAAGCAGCCUUUGCAUGUCAAUUACUGGGAUUUCCUCUGUGGAGACCCCAUGAAGUUUGGUUGGAUCAGGUCGUAUGUAUCGGGGUGGAACUGAUGCAAAUUUCUCCUUAGCCAACUCCUGAACAUAGGGUACUUUUAGAGAGCUUCCAAAAUUUAUCAUACCAGAUUCCAUGUUUGUGGUUUGUGUAAAUCUAUACCUAUAUAUAUAUAUAUACACGUAGCUCCAAGUUGCAAUUGAUAUCAUCAAUUCAUGGAACGUCUCUGGAGUGAUGUAUUCCUUUAUCAAUUUGUAUCAAAAUUGGAUUAGUCCAUCUCCAAAAAUUGAUGACUUUAUUAAAGUAGACAACAUCAGCCUCAAGAGAGCACAUCAGUGCCCAGCAUGUCACAAAAUAUCAGUGUCAAUUGCACUACAAAAUGUAACCUAAAAGUCUUCACGGAACGUCUCUGGAGUGAUGUAUUCCUUUAUCAAUUUGUAUCAAAAUUGGAUUAGUCCAUGUCCAAAAAUUGACGACUUACAAAAUAGGGUCCACAUACUUUGCUACGCAGAUGAGGUUGCGAUUGUUCAUUAUUAAAGUAGACAACCAUCAGCCUAAAGAGAGCACAUCAGUGAACAGCCUGUCACAAAAUAUCAGUGUCAAUUGUACUACUAACACAAAUAUUUAACCAUUAAGACAUUGAAAAUACAAAUAAUAAUAUCGUACCUAAUAAUACAGCAAGUUUUAUCACUUAUUAAAAAUUGUGUCUCAAAAUCAAUCUCAUCUAGCGAACGUUCGUACUAAAACUAUUUAAACCAUCAAUUGCAAUUACUCUAUCAAUAGUAGAGAAUCUUCAUCCAAUUUGAGAAUUUUCCCAAACUACAUAUAUACAAUUAAUAUGUCGUUUGGAAUUUUGCACUGCAACUAUAAAUGGAUUGGUUUUAGGAUAGAAUUUUCAAUUUAACAUUAUUAUCCAUGGAGCUGUUUUGCUUCUUAAAUGAAUCGUAUACAUCAGAGGUGUUAGGUUCAUGAGUAAAAAGAUUACAUCUCACAUUGGCCCGAAAGAUGAAGAACGAGUGGUUAAUAUGUAAGUAAGGACCCAAAACCUAAUGACUUAAGCUUUUGAGUCAAAGUUGGGUUCCUAACUUCCAUAUUGAACUCUUUGGUGGGCUCUCUCGAGAUAUUUCCCUCUAUCAAGAAUUGGUUUCAUACCAAAGCAAUUGGCUAUGAACUAUUUUGAGCCAUUGGUGGCAACUGGGGAAUUGCAAAUUGCAUAGUUGCAGAAAUAUAUGGAUUUUUUUAUUCAAUUAAAUAUGAUGACAGCAGGUUCAAGGGUAGAUCCUUCCUACAAAAGCGUCUCUAAAUAUAGUGAUUGUAUAUUGACAUUUUGUUUUAGUUAGAAAUACCAUAGUAUGAGCUGAUCCUAGAUGUGUCCUUUAACAAAUAUGUCCUAGCUUGUGAGACAUGAAUCAGACUACAAAAUGCCAAAAACUUAAUUUUCAAAUAAUUGCUGUAAUAUGAAAGAGUAUUACUACAAUUAAAAAUCAAACAAUAUUAGAAAAGCUUCAAGUGAACACAAAUACUAAAGCGUUAUCAGAAUUGAAUCUCAAAGCCUGUAUCAUAAUCACUUAUCACUUACUCCAAGCAUCGUCUUCUUCCACCUUACUUAUCAACAAAAAAAAAAAAAAAAAAAAAUCAGAUAAGCUGAGUAAAUUAAUUUGAAAAAAAAAUCCCUUCACAGGAGAUAAAAGUAAGAAUUCUUGUAUCAAAUGUUUUUCUAAAAAAAGAACUUUGCUGAAUAUUUAGUGCAAUAAUAGUGCGAGAUUUAAGGAUAACAUUCCCUAGACCAAUAAACAACAAUUGAGGAAAUUUGAUGUCUCCAUAAUAAAAAAAAAAAAAAGAGUUCUGAGAACAAAAUUUUCUUUUACUUUCCUGCAAACAAUCCAAUGAGGUUGCCCAUGUUAUCCCUUCUUUUUUUUUUUUUUUUAAGUUUUGCAGAACUUCUAAAGGUUUUGUAGUCUAGAAACAUAAUAGAGAAUAUAAAGAGAUGGAAUGAUUCAUGACUUCAAAGUAGAGGGGAAAUUUUUUUUUUUUCAGAAAUGUGCCAAAUGGAGCUUUUACAGUCCCAAAAAAACACAGAAUCGCUGAAGAUGCACAUAUGGCAAAACUAUAAGUAACAUAGAACAAAAAAUGGAGAAAUGCCAACAAAAAAUAAUGAAAUUAUUGUUCUUAAUAUGUUUAUGAAGCUUUACAAUUGUAACAUUAGAAGAAUCCAAUGUAGAUAGCCAAAAGAAGAAAGAAUACGUUAGAUUUAUUAGAAAACAGAGGAAAGUUGAUCCAAAAGAAAAGGCCACAUUUUUUGGAUUAUAGUAAAUCUUGCACUUGCUUAUACGAUAUGCGAGCGUAUAAUUGCUGAGCAUAUAAACCACAGAAAAAGAAUUCUAAACAUAGGAUAAAAACUCAAGUCAAUUUGUUUUCAAGUUUCAUUUGCAGUUUGUCUUAAAUGUGUUUGGAUAUGUUAAUACUAUCUUUGGACAAUAUUUGUACUAAGCAAAUGCCAUCAUAGCUACUCAUUUAUGAGCUUUAUUAUCCUAUUUUGGAUGUAGAAUUUUUUUAUACUAAUAUAACUAUGUUUUCAACCAUGUUAAUAAUGUUUGUGCAAAGUGCUUAAAUAAUUAAGAGAACUGUUAGCACAACCCCUCCUUUAUGUCUUAUUAUACUUCAUGAAAUGCAGAAAGGUUUAUGCUUGAUUUGACAAAGCUGUGUUUUGCAAAUGUAGAUAACUUAGCAAAUACAUAUUUUAAGAGAGAGCGAGCUUUACAACAAAGGUUGAAUAAGUUGAGAUUUAUAAGUCAUUUUAAGCUUAACAACUUAACAAUGAUAUUCAUCACAUAUACAAUUUUCCUAAAUUUGACCCAUUUUUGACAUUUUCCAAAAACCUUAUUUUCUUGCUAGUUGAAUUUCUCUAUACUUCAUGUGUAAUUCAAUUAAAGAUGCUAUACAAAUGAAAAAAAAAAACCAGUUUCACAAAAAACAGAACUCUGCAGAUCGUAAUGAGACCAAGAGUUAUUUUGAAUCCCUUAAAAAAGAAGUAAUAAAGCAACAAAUUGAGGAUACCUUAAUAAAAUGUUGAAAUUGAAAAGGCUUGAGAUAUCUAGAUGCUCCGGCUGUCUUUAUAACCUGAAUACAGUAUAGAAAUUUAAGUAUUGGAGUCAGCGAAUCAGAUAUGUCAAGUAAACCACAGCAAAAAAAAAAAAGGGUAUAGAAUUAUAAUAUCACAACACAAGAACUUCAGAAGAAGCAUCCUUUAGCAUACUAAGAAUCAAUAAAACUCUAAUCUGUCUACAAAACCUCAAAAUCCAUCAAAAUAGAAACCUAGACAAAUGAAUACAUCGCAACAGUUGACAUUUAACAAUUGCAGAAUGAAUCAAAGAAAAAGAACCAGAGGGAAUAGUUCAUGGAACAUCUCCUCUCUCUUUUGCUUUUGCUUUUGCUUUUUUUUUUUUUUUAUUUGUAAAUGUAAAACUUCUCAAGGGAUAUUCAUAGUGGUGGUUGUUUAUGGAGGGGUUUCAAAUGGUGGACCGCUCCUUUCCAAAGGAAAAAGAUAAAUGGGAGGGAAAGGGAAAGAAUUAGGGAUAGAUCAUUAGAGUGGUGCAAGGAUAAAAGCAUAUGGCAUGUUGCACAAACACUUAAAUGCCUAAAGAUUAAACAUUCGUCAAAUGAAAAAUUAGGCUGUCAUCAUCCCCAAUACAUUGUAAUAAUGUCUGUCUACCAUUAGCACAAAAUUUUCGUUUAAUAGCAUAGGCAAAAAAAGCAGGCAAACAAUCAAGGCUUACGAAACCUUUUGUACAAUGUACAACACAUACAUGCAGCCAACAAUAAGUACUAAUAAAAAACCUACGUAAUCCACAGGAAAACACAAACCAACCAUAAAGGAUAGCCUCAGUCUUUCAAAAAUAACAUAUCACAAUCUCAGCGCAGAGAACACACCAUCAAUCCACACAAUGUUUGUAAAAAACCCAAAUAACCAAGGGCUAUUGACAAAAUUACCAUUAAAACUGGGGUCAUGAUUUCAUAAUUGACUCGAGAACACAAUAUACAAACCUAUAACGUUCACUGUAUCUAAGGUCAUGGAACAUUUGCCUUGCACAACCUCCAAAAGCUCAGACUUUUCAUCUAACCACCUAGGCCCAUAAGACAGUCAAUUUUUGGAAAACAUGCGAAAAAAAAAGCCAUCACAAGUAACUUAUUCAUUAAGAGUAGGUAUGUCAGGAAUAGAAGAGUUAGGGAAAAUCAAAACAUGAAAAACACAAAAAAGUAGAUAAUUAAACAGUGGAGACGGAUCAAAAAAGGGUUACCUCAAAAAUUGAUCACUCUAUAUGAACCCUAUGCAAUCUUUCAACAUUGAAUAACCAGUUGGUCCUGAAAAGCAAAAUCAAAGAGUAAGUUUAAUGUAAAGGCAACUUAGUGGUACAAGAGAACCUAAUUUCAUAAUAUUUUUUCUAAAACAUUCCAUACAUGGGAAAGAUUAAAACAAAUAAGCAAACAUAGGCCACCUGGCACUAAAUUAGAAAGCUAUCUGCCAAAAGACGGCAAAGGCAAGAGCUUUAAUGCAAGGCAAUGUAAAUGAAACACAUGCAAAUCAUCCACCAAACUAUUUAAACCUAAAAUAUGAACAAUAUGUUAUAGAAUCUAUGACCUGAAAACAUAGAAACCAAAAAAAAAAAAUCAGGAGCAAGACCAAUUACAGUAAAACUGAUGCUGAAGUGGAAGAGAACUGCAGAGAAGACAACAUACACGAAAACAGAGAAAAAGCACCACUAUACCAUAAUCCUGAAUAGGAAAUCGAUGGUCUGUCAAAACAAAGAAUUUUGAAAUUAAAGCCAAAACCAACAAUUGAGAAAAACUUAAGAGGCUUAUGCAAGUAAAUCAAUGGUCUGUCACUUCCCAGAUCGAAAUCUAGAAAUGAUUCAAAAAAUUACUGCAAGGCAAUAGAGCUUCCAACAGCUGCUUCAACGGCAACUGAUUGUGCUCUUUGGACCACGAACUGGAAUCUUGAACUUGAAUCAUAUGCCAUUCACCUAUUUUUUUCCCCCAAAGAUAGCUUUGAAAAAUUAAUUUGCAAAUCUUGAUGAAUUCCUAAGAUUAUCAAAAAAAACAAUUUGCGCAUUUCAAUAAUAAGAAGCCUACAAGUGAAAAAAAAUACUAAAGUCACAACCUAUUACCCUCAAUUAGAGGCGGUAAAUCAACCCACUUAACUAGAUUUACCCAUACCCGCCCAUGAAUAGAUGGGUAUGAGUAUCUUAAAUUUUUGUAUAUGGGUAUAAAUGGGUUACCCAAUAAUACCCAUUUAAUAAAUGGGUAUUAUUGGGUAACCCAUCAAACCCAAUUAACCCAUUUAAAAUUCUCUUCCCCCCAAGUCUCUUCUUUUUCCCUACCUUUUUUUUGUCAAGUUUUUCAUUUUGUCAUGAUGUUAACAUUACUAUUAUUAUUAUUAUUUGUUGGUUUUAUCUUAUUAUUUUAUUUUUUCUUAGUUUGUUAAUUUGCUCAUUUUUUAGCAUUACCAAUUUAUGAUAAAUUUUAGUCUAUUUUCUUAUCUUUAUAAAAUGAAAUUUUAAAUUUAUAUAUGAAAAAAAUAUUAGGGGUUCAAAAUUUUUGGAUUAAGUUUUUAUAUUAAUUUUUAUAGUACUUAAUUCAAAUUUUUAUAUUCGUAUUAUUCAAUUAUUAAAUAAUAGGUAAUUUUGUGAUAUAGAGUAUAAAUGAAAAAAAUUGGUAAUUAAGUUUAUUGAACAUUAUAAGUAAAUAUUUAAAACUAAUGAUGGGUACAAAGAGUGGUAUAAAUUGAUAACUUAGUUUACAAAAAUGAAUUUAAAUAAGUUUGCAAAAAGUUAAAAUAAAUGAGUUAUAAAUGGGUAAUUGGGUUACCCAAUUCAUUUUUUGACUUACCCAUUUAUACCCAUCUAAUUAAAUGGGUAUAAAUGAGUUGACUCACUUAUACCCAUUACCCAUUUUACCCAACCCAAACCCGCCCAAGUCACCAAUUUUGACACCUCUACCCUCAAUCUUAGUAAGCAUGGAACUCCUAAAUUGUUACAUCCCUAAAAGAUAAUGAGCAAAAAAAAAAUACAAUUUAUUGUCUCAUGAAAUUCAAUCGAGUAAAAUAAUAAGAGUUCAAAGAGGAAAUUUUAUACAAAUAAUUAUACAACGAAAUUACUAAUUUGUAAGGUGGUUUAAAAAAUAUAGGAAAAGAAAAAAAGGCUUACCUCUCUGUCGAGAACAUAGAUCUCAUGAAACUUGUCAUGCCUAGAUGAAACCUGAAACGGGAGUAAACUAUGAUCGACAUAGAAAUACUAACGAUAAAAAAGAAAACAAAAGACAAUCAUGUACAAAAAAAUUUCCAAGAUUGCACUUGAAGGGAACACAUAUCUAAAUUUUCAAUUGCACAUCUAAAAAUAAAUCCAGAGAGCCAAUAUAUACAGAAAGAUAUUUAUUUUAAAAAAAAAGAUGGCAAGGAAAGAAUUCAAGGAAAAAUUUAGGAACUGAUUAUCAAAGGGAAAAAACUUUGAUGGUCGACAAAUUCAACAACAUAGAUUGAUACUUCUAGUGGGAAAAAGGGGAAAAAAUAUAGAGGUGAAAGCUAAGAAACAGAAAAUCUAGCUCCAACCUUAAGGAUCUUGAGGCCGGAGGAGACUCUUGAUACUCUGAUUUCUUCUGCACCACUGAUGCUAUGAAUUAUAAUGGUCUCACACUUUCAAAGUGAAAUCAUAGCGUCGCACCCUCUCUCUUUAAAAAAAAAAAAAACAUCUUUUCUGCUUGGACCACUGGCUUUCCGUUCUCCUGCUUUUGUUUGCCAUUUUCUAUAUCGAGUUGGUUGGAUGUAUUAUUAUGAUAAAGAAGAUGAAAGGAACAAUAUAAGAGCCACAAACACGGCGAAAAUGACAGGAAAUAAAAAAAUAAAAAUAUAUAUAUAGAAGUAAGUCGAGAGAGAAAAAAUGCAAGUCUAACCUUAGCCCUCUUGAGGCCAGAGGAGACCCGUAAUACUGUAAUUUCUUCUACACCGGGAAAAAAUUUACAUCACAAAUAUAUACAUAUUAUAUGAUAAAAUUCGACUAGUAAACCCUCCAAAAAAUCCAAAAGGCUAAAGAAGUCUUGAUGAUGAGAAAGAAAAAUAGUCUUACAAGUAAAAAAAUCCAGACCAUUGUUGUUCUUCUUGUUGCUCUCGGUCAGAAUAAAAAACAAAAACCAAAGGAAAAAAAAAAAGAGGAAGAAGAUGAGAGAAAUAAGGUGAAGAGUUAGACGAAUCGACAAUAUGAUGAAGAAAGGAGAGGAAAAAUGGGCAUUUCCGACUCCUCGGUCCCCACCCCAUCAGGUAAUCACGAUAAGGUUUAGGAAAAGAACAAUAAAAGGGCACAAGCAUGGUCAAAAUUACAAGAAAGCCCAACCAAACAUUAAUAAGCGGGCACACAAAUCUCCAAAUUUACGGGUAAAACCGGACCACCAAGGGCAUUAUAGAGAAAGAAAAUGCAAAGUCAAUAUCAGAAAAUUCUGGAGCCACAAAUUUGGCCUUUAUGCCACACUGGAAAGACCAAAAUACCCCAUAAAGUCAUCAGAAUUACCAUCGAAACCGGCCCAUGCUUGCACUGUAGCCAAUGGUCGUUCCCCCUUUUAUAUGUUUUAGAUUAGAUUUAGAUUAGAUUAGAUCAGAUCAGAUGUGUGUGUAUGUCUGAAUGCGCAUGCGAGCAAGCAUAAAAGGGUAAAAUUCAAUAUUUUGCUCCAAAGUCCACACAAGACCAAAUAAUACAUUUUCUUCUCACUAAUUCAAUUGGAUCAAUAACUAUAGAAAACCUUUGAUUGUUUUUAACGCCAUGUAAUCCCACAAAUAGAUGCCAUCAUGUGGAUGCCAACACAUGAAAAACUAUGUUUUUAGACUUGAACUGAGUAUCAACUCGAUCGAAUUCAGGAGUUAGGGGUUAAUGGAUUCGAUCGGGGUUAAAUCAGAUAACGUCAUAAAUAAAAUUAUUUAAAAAUUUAAAUAUUGUAUGUAAAAUACUUAAGCACAUGUUAAUAUUAAUAAAUGUAUAUUCAUAUAUAUUUGAUAUUUCAAAUAUAUUUAACAAGAAAAUACAAAGAACUUAGAAUGAUCAAGUAGCAAUUUAUAUUAUUUAAUGGACAUUAACAAGUUUAGAAUUAAAAUUAUGGACUUAAUUGAAAAAUAACACCAAACUUAGGACAAUAUUUAUAAAGUAUGAAAUAUUUGAGGUAUAUUAAUAAUUUUUAACAACUUAGGGGUCAAAACAUAAUACUGACAAUGCUUUGACUUUUUCAAAAAAAAAAAACUUUGACACCAAUAGAUUCUUCCAGUUUUUUUGGUCUAACUCAGUCAAAUCUGAUUUUUGACCUAAUUUGACUGAAUUUCUAUCUAUUCGAUUUUUUAGAAUAACACAUACUAGACACUUGGCCGAUUUUCAGUUCGAUUGAUUGAACCAAUAGAUGCGGUCCAAGUUUAAAAACACAGAUGAAAGACACACGAAAAGAUAAUGCUCUUAGAAGUGAUACUUCUUAUGUCUAGCUCAUUUGGUCCAUGGACUGGAUGAGGUUGGACAAGUGUAUUAGGAAUAUAUCAUAAAAGGGCUCUGUUGCAUUUUGGGCUAUAUUAAACUAAAAGACAUCUGGGGACAAGACGGCUAUCAUUGGGGUGGACGCAGAGGAACUAAAAGCUGGAAUGCGUACCAUCUCGCCAAAGAGGACACAAGGGGAUGAGGGCAUUACUGCUUUCAAGUCCACAUAGAUUGGAUAUUCAAGUUGAAUGUCAUUCCCUCAAAAGUAAAAAAGUUGAAUGAAUCAUUGGACAUCAUUUUCGUGAUUUUAAUAAUGGCUUAAGUCAAAAGACAUGUAGUAUGCUGACUUGGCAAGAGUUUUUUUUUUUAACCUCUUCUAUUUUUUUUGUUUGCGAAUGGAAACCCCGCUAUCACAGAUUAUUGCAUAGACCCUGCCACUUAGACAGACCUUGGGCAAGUACCCCUCCCAAGUGCAAUGAAGGUGGCUAGGCUUGUCAACGGGUCAGGGUUCUGAUCGAAACUGAAAAUUCUGAACCCAACCCGUUUUUAUGUAGUAAAUUCAAACCCGACCCGUAUACCCAACGGGUCUUGAUCGUAGAGUUUUGGAAUUGGGUUCGAUGGGCUGUGGGUCAGAUCUAGGUCUAUUAGGAAAAAAAAUCCAAAUUUAAACAUUUUAAAAUUAAAUCCAAAACCAAUCAUAAUUCUAUCUCCAAAAUUAAACAAAUCAAAUUACAAAACUAAAUCACAAAUAACUCAAUAGUCAAUACAAAACUAACCACAAAUCAAUCUACAAAAUCAUUACUAAAUUGUUAAUUUGGUAAAAGAAUAUAUUUAGAAAUAUUUGUAUUUUAUAAUUAUUAAUAUAUUGUUUGGAUCCAGGUUGGAAUCCUAUAUUCCGUAUCCAACCUAUUUUUUGUUAGAGUAAACGGAUCCGGGUAUUGGACUUAUUUCUCAACCCAUAUUCGGAAAAAAUUAUCGGGCCUGAGCCGAGUUCGGAUCCAAACCUGACCCAUUGACACCCCUAGAGGUGGCCAACCUAGGCCAUUGGCCCCAUUUAGAUAAGUGGGGAAGACCUUUUUUUUUUUUAUAAUAGGGCACAAAUAAGAAACAAAAGCAAUUUUAACACAUAUAAAAGUAUUUGGGAAGAGAAGGAGAAUAAAUAUACAAACAAACAUUUAACUAUUUAUUAACUCAAAACUCAAUCAUAGCAAUAUCAAAUUGUAACUUUUCGCUUACGACAAUUUACGAAUUUAAACUAUGAGACUUUCUCUCAAAUUUACCCUCAAAACUCGACUCAUUUUUUCAAGUAAUAAUCUACUACUCUAGUAGUAUUUAUGCAUUGUUAAACUUAUUAAACAAAUACAAGUAUAAAACCGAAACUUAUGUGGAACUGAUUUGAAAUCUCCUAAACCAAUGUGGGAACUAAACAAACAAGAUACCGAAACAAGAAACUAGAAGAAUUAAAUAACUAAAUACUAAGAUAGUUGGGUUUAAUAUCCUUUAUUGCCUUCCUUAAACCAUGCUAGUUAUUGUGCUCACCUUCAAUGUCAAUUUGAACUUGAAUCUCUAUGGAAAACUCAGUUGCAGUAGACACAACAUUUAACUCCAACUUAUGAUUGAUUUUUAGUUUCAUCUUUACACAUAACAAUGGUCGAAACUUAUACUUUUUGAACAAUUUCUUAUCUUGAUCACUUAUGUCAAAAAAGUUAAACAUGUUCAUCCAAACUCCAUUCAUUACUCCACAUCGCCAAUAAAAUUUCCCAACACUAGAAAAUCAUAGUUGCCACCUCCAAUGUUUUUAACAUCACCAUAUUUUUCCUUUAAUUUUUUCACACUAACAAUCGCAUCUUUCGCUUCAAAAAAUCAUCAACCACAAUGAAAUCAAAAUCUCUCUUAUCACAAUCUUUAGUUACAUUUUCCAAAUCACCAACGACUUCACUUUCUUUCUCAACCACAUGUGAAAUUUCUUUUUCAGCCACAAAUUUUUCAUCUUCAUGUGUACCCAUAAUUUCUGCAAUUUCUUCUUUCUUUGACUCAUAAAAAAAAAAAUUUCUCCUACCUCAUCACAAAAUUCUUCUCCACCAUGACCAUAGAAAUUCAUCAAAAUUUUCCAAACCUCCGUUGCUGUAUUUACAUCUAUUAAUUUUUUGGCUACAUGCAAUUGGACUUGGGUGUUGAGAUAUUGGAAUGCCUUGCAAUCUAACUAUUUAUUCUUCUCUAACUCUUAAACUGCUUGAUAAUUCGUAGGUUCUAUAGGUUUCGUGAACCACUUUUAGACAAAAUCCCAAAUUCCAAUAGCUUGAAAUUUUUUUUCAUCAUCCAACUCCAAAUCUCAAAAUCUUUUUUACCAUCAAAAAUAAAAACAUCACAACGUGAUGAAUAACAUUGAUCCAUGCUUCAAUUUCAUGAACAAGCCCUAGAAUCAAAGUCCAAACCUCUAAUACUUUGUAGGAAAAUAGCCCAUAGGAUAAAUAAUCAAAACAAAUCACACAAUCGAAGAAAUAGCAUAGCAGCGAAAUAUUUAUAAACAAACAAACGGAAUGGGCUCAAGAAAGAAAUGAAGGAAACUAAUUCCUAAACUAAUAUGAAAACUAAACAAACAAGACACCAAAACAAGAAAUUAGAAGAAUUAGGAAACUAAAUACUAAGAUAGCUUGGUUUAAUUUCCUCCAGUUAGUGAAACUAGUUAGGAAAGGAGUUUGGUAGUCAUUCCUUUCUUAGAGUCAAUCUUUCCCCCUGCAUCUCUUUCUUUUUCUCUCGUUCUAAUCAUUCCUCAUUCUUGAACUAAUUCUUUCCUUCUCUAGUUCAUUUUUCUCCCAAAUCAAUACUUAAUUUGGACUCCAAUGUUUGAGUCCAUGAUAGUUGUUGGCAUGAAGCGGUUGGCUCUGGCUGCUCGAAUACCCCCUGAUCAUGGCUGAAACUACUUGUUUUAAGUCUUUGAAGGACCAGGUCAAGAAAUAGAAGCAAGGUUGAACAAGGCUCUGGCUUCCAUAGGAAAUUUUUAGCAGCAGUUAGACUCCAUGAAUAAUUUCCAGCAACAUUUUCAAGAUGAGUAGGAAAGUAAUGGCAAGAAGAUGGAGUCCAUGAUUCGUAAUGUGCAUAAGAAAUUCAGCUCCUCUAUGAUGGUGAUGUCUUGUAAAGACAAUCAGAAAGUGAUCUGCGAAGAAGAAAAUUUUGGGAUUCCAUGUGAGGACUCAUGUUUUAUUCUUAAAAUAAUUAUUUUUAUAAUUAUUUACCCUAGUAUUGGUUAAUUAUAUUAUCGUUACAUGAAUCGUUUUAAUUUCGCUUUAUCGCGCGCGAAUCGAAAGUUCACGUAUUUCGCGUCAAAAUGGUUAAGUGGAAAUUUAAGAAACUUAUACUAGGCUACUAAAAAUGAAUAAUUAUAGUAUUAAAGGAAUUACAUUUGAGGAUUACGUCACUAGUGCAACAAACAACAGAGAAAAGUGGUAGUACGGGACACUAUUCGCGCACUAUUGCGAGUUGACUUUUUCACUUUUAACUUGGCUUCCUUAACACAGUUCAUCCACCAACCUUCACAACACACAAAACCCUUCUCUUCCUCUCUCUUGGUUGGCUGAACACCCAAGGAAGAAAGGAGGAAAAAGCUUCACAUCAUCUUGCUCAAUUCUUGCUUCCAUUGCACUUCCAAAUUUGCACCCAACUUCAAAACUACUUGGAGAUUAACUUUAGCUUGGAGGAAGACAACAUCUAGUGGAGAUUCUUGGAGGUUUUUGUGGUGAAAAUUUCUGGUUUCUACAAGGGUUAGAGGUAAACCCAUCAACUCUUCUAAUCUUUCCAUUUAAUCGAAGUUUAGUGGUUGAUUUUGCAUAGGUUUGAAACCCUAAGCAUGAAAUAGGCUAGCGGACUUGAGGUGUUUCAUUUCUUGCUUUAAUUGUUAGGCUAGCGGUCUUGAGGUGGAUUAUAGGUAGCUGGCUUGAGGUGCAAUUAGUUGAUUGUGGUUGUUUACGUGUUAUUUGAGAUGAAUACUGUUAGAAAGUGAAGGAAAAAUCGAAGGAAAGUUAGAAGUGCAAGCCGGCCAAAAUUCUGUCCUUGUUGUUCAGUGGUUGUUUUGAAUUUUUGAUACUUGUUUUGAUGUGAAAUUGAUGGUUGUAUGUUUUAUAUUGUGUGUACAAAAUGUCGUCGGAGUUUCAUUUGGUUGAACAAAACUAGAGUUUUCGAAAAAGAAAAAAAUCUGGAAAUGGUAAUCUGGCAGGCGAACAGUACCUCUUUGUUCGAAUAUAUCUCUUUGUACAAAAAUUGAAAUUGAGUGCCAUUAGCGGCAUUCAAAACUAGACAUUCGUAGAUUUCUAACGGUAUAAAAAUCACCUGCUAGUCCAUUUUGAGUCAUCCGUAGUGAUUCGUCAAAAUUUGCUGCCCUGUUAUGAAUAUCUGUCUGAGAGGAAAUGAGAAACUGCAAUUUGUAGCCUGUUUUUGAACCAAUUGUGAACUGAAUUUGGAAACAUUUCCUUCUGAUGAAUUCAAGCAAUUUGAACCUAGUUUCCAACGCCACCAACCAUUCUUAAUUUGAACUUGUAUUGAGUGAGAUGUGGUCUGAUUUCCAAAGUGCAAUAAAGCUGGAAAACUGGAAAGCUUUUCCUUCUUGCUGGCCGACUGGUCUAGUUUGUUGUGGGAUGUUUUAUUUCGAAAAUUUUGAUCUCAAUCAACCAUCAAGUGUUUAUUAAAGGUUCCUAGGACCUUGGUUUCAAAAAAUGGAUCGAAUUUGGGCUCAUUUCAUUGUGCAAAAUGUUUGGAAAAGAAAUAAAAGUGAGAAGGCAGAUUAGCCUUGAAACAUAUUAUGAACAUUAGUCAUUUUGUUAACUGCCUUCCCAUGCAAGUUUUUGCGUGAAAUUUGAUACAAGGGUAGUUCACAUAUAGAGGUUUAAGUGUAUCAAAUUUGGUAUUAUUUCAACAACCUUUCGAUAUCCAAAUGAUGCUACAAAGAUAGCCUUUUAAAUCUGGAAAUUCACUGUUCUAGUAGUGAAAAUUUACCGACUUUAAACUGCUAUAUCUUGAUACUCAAGAUUCCGAAUUUAGUUCCGUUUAUCAUGUUUGAAACCUUGUUUGGAAAUUUUAUUGUGUUAUGAAAUUCAAAGGCUGAUUCACUUUUUGUGAAUUAUGCCGAAUUUCCAAUGAUUGUUGAAAAAUAAGACUAGUUCAAAACUGUCUUCUAGGAACUGAACCUUUGAGCUGAAAAAUGAAUGCUUUCCGUGUAGAAUCUUGAAAAAGUGUCUUCUAGGAAAUUUUAGUACUCCGAACCAAGAUUCCAACGUAUAUAGUUUCCAUUUUUAGACCUACCGAGUGCAAGAUCUGAUUUUUCAAAAUUUAACGCGCAAAACUGAAAUUUUCCGACUUGAUGAGAAGUGAGUUUUUGGAAACUUUUCCCUAUCCUUUGAUAUUGAUUGAUCGUUUUAAACUCGAUUUUAUGGAGGAAAUCAGUUUUUUUUUAUGUUAAUAAAUUCUCACUUUUGAACUUCGAUUUUUGAGUGAUUAAGGUUCUCUUUUGAGACAUGGACUUAGUCUAAAUAAGUGUACCUUCGUUAUUGGUUAAUACAUGGUUGCGAGUAAAAGUACUUGUUAUUUGUUCAGGCGUUCAAGGAGAUUUUCAAGAGAAUCUUGAAGCGGACGCCUAAAGGAUUAAUUGCUCGCUCACUCACUUUUGUUUUGACUUGGUGAGUGUCAAGUGUAUGAAUUGUUGUCAAAUACGUGGAUUAUUGCUUGUGUAUUAUGUGAAUUCGAAUUGUUGAGAUGAGUGUGUACUUUGUCGCACUCGUUCUCUUUUUUCAUGAAAUUAUGAUUAAAUUUCACUAUGUGAAUUGAUACUCGACUCGUGUGAAUUAAUAUUCGACUCAUGUGAUGUGAUAUGGUUGUGAUUCGUAUUUGUGAUCAUCGAUUGGAGUGUGGUCUCCUCGACUUAUAUUCGUAUUCGGGGGAUGCCCAAACUUGUUGGCUAACUUUACGAAUCGAGCCAGCAUGAGCUUGGUCGAUAAGCUUGGCAAACCAUGAGAUAUUCGUAAAGCUUGAUCUAUUGGAGAGAUCUUGCUUGGCAUACUCGCGUAAUAUUACCCUAAUAUACUCGAGUCAUAUCAAAACCUUGAUGAGCAGGCCCGGUAAGGGGGUGUAACGGUGACAGGAUUUGAUACUUAUGUGGUUGACGAAGUGUCAACAUGGAAUUGAUCAAGACCUUGACUUGGUUACGUGGAAUUUAGCUCCUAAGAGCUACAAUAUCCUUGAAUUGUUUCUAUUUACUUUCCCUACUUGAAAUGCUAAAUACUCGAACUUUACAAUUUAUACUUAUUGUAUAAAUGUGAUUGCUACUUGGACUAUGUGUUUGCAUGUGUGUUUCUUGGCCUCACGAGCAUUUGCUCACCCCGUUAGAUUUGUUUUCCUUAACAGGAGCUGAAUUGGAAGGAAUUAUAGAGAAGCCAAUUUGUUGGACUUUUGAUUAGGGCUUUGAAUGUAAUUGUUUAGACAACUUUUGGAGGUUAUAUAUUUUGGGAUUAUUGAUGUACUUUUGGUAUCUUGUGAUAUAAGACUUGAACGUUUUUUCUAAGGAAACAACCUUUCUUUAUACCUUCAACUUUUAGUAUCGACAGUCAUCCUUAAGUUUGAAUUGAAUUUGUAUCGAGUUCUGGCAAGAACUGAGCAGGCAUCCCGCCGAUACCCUUUGGUUCGUCUUAGGGAGAAGUGGAGGCAACACAUUCCCACCUCUUAGAAGCAACGAAGUUGCUGUCCACCAAUGAGCCUGGAGCGACUACUAAGGAGAACUGGAGUAGGAUUCCUUUUCCCAGUUACUCUUAAGGUUGAAUUACCUAUGUUCUUUGGGGAUAAUCUCAGGGAAUGAGUCAGAAAAUGCCAUAAAUUAUUCUUGUUUUACAAAUUUUUUUGAUUAAAAUAGAAUGAAUGUGAUUGGAAUGUAUUAUGAGGGAACAAAUAACUAGUUUCGGGGGGUCAAGAUUGAAAAACCUAGCUAGUUUGUCUUGGAAGGAAUUAAAGAACUAUCGUGCACACAUUUGUUGACAGAGGAAAUUUGGAAAAAUUCAAUAAGUCGCAAUAGAUUGGUAAUUUAGAAGAAUACCAAGAGAAGUUUGAACACUUGAAAACUUUGAUGCUCCUCGAGAGUAAUAAGACUCAGUGAACGAUAUUCUGUCUCCAGUUUCAUUAGCGGGCUUAGAGAAGAAAUUAGGCACAGUCAAGAUGUUCAAACCUGAGAUUUUAAUAGUAGCAUUUGAUGUAGACAGAUUAGACAAGGGGGUAGGCAGAAUGUGGACUCCAGAUUUGAAUUAUAUAAAAUCAAAAUUGGCCAUGGUAUUGGAACUAAUAGCUAUAGGCUCCCUCAUUAUCGAGUUGAAAAAGGAGCUUCUGCUAAUCAAGAUUCUAGUCCUAACAUCAUAUAGAAAAUUUCACCAUCCAAUACCAGAGGGAUAAUAAUUUUUGUUUCAAGUGUGCCAACAAAUUUGGAGCAGGACAUCAAAGUAAAAUGAAGCAGCUGCAUCUGAUGGCAGAAGACGAAGAGGAGGAAAUUGAGUUUGCAGAUGUCCAAGGGAAGCAAGAUAAGGUUACUAGUAAUAUUGGGGUUGUGGUAGACAUGUCAUUUCAUAUUUUGUCUUCUGGGCUCAAAAGAAAGACCAUUACUCUACAAUAGGUUAUGAGAACUGUAGUAGUGAACGUAUUGGUGGACACUGGAAGUUCUGAUAGCUUUAUCAGUCACAGCUUGGCAAAAGAUUCUGAUGACUAAGUUACUAAAAAUUUGGUAUGUAAGCUAAUUGUAGUCGGAGAGUAAGUGCAUUCCACAUGACAAUUUGGGCUUUUAUAGGUAAAUGUUGGAAACAAAAUGUAAAUAUUGGAAGUCUAGGGAGAGGACAGAUCCAAUCAAAACAAAGCUUAUUCACCAUUUUGUUCCCCUGAGCUUUGGAUUUGGAGGUACUCAUACUUUACCACCUUAAACCUUAAAAAUAUGCACCUCACACCACCAGAAAUCUAGCGAAUAUUUGAAAUCUUACCUUUGUCAAUGUUUGAAAUCUUAACUUUGUCAAGAAAAUUGAGUGUUAUGACAAUAUUGCUCUUUUGUUGAUGAAAUUAUAUAUAGUUUACUAUUAAUGCCCUUUUACUGGUGAAGAAAGUGAUUUUUUUUAUUUAUUCUCUAUUUAUUCUCCUUUAAGUCUAGAUGUAAUAUAUAUUAGUCCUUAUUAAAAAUUUAGUUAAGUAAUUCAUAGUUGACUAAUCUGACAAACAAAAUAUAACAAAAAUAUUCUUCUAACAAUUUACAUAAACUAAAAGAAUAAAAUAUUACGUUGUUAAGUAGUAACAAGCUUAAUAUUAUAGCAUGAUUUCAAAUGUUUGCCAACUUUAUUUAUUGUUAUUACUAUAUUAUUUUUUUAUUACUACAUUAUUUAUUAUUACUAUUAGAUUUAAAGUCCAAUAAAUUGAAAACAAUGUAUAAGAUAAAAGAACAUUAAUUCAACAUGAAUUUGAAAAGACUUUAAGGAUAUUAAAUUGAAAAAGCUUUUUUUGGUUUUAUUAAUUUGAUUUUUGUAUAUUAGAUACUAUAGAGAAGAUAUAAAUUUUUUAGCAACAAAAUGGCAAUAAUGAUAAAUUAUUAAUCAUUUCAGAAAUGAAAGGGCAUUAACAUCCUUACACUCACUUUUUUCCUUAUGACGUUAAUAUUUAUAUCUUUGACUAGUUUUCAAGGGGCCAAGCAUACAAUUUUAAGGCUCGUAAUAGUAAAGUCAAAAGUGUGCCUACCCCCAAAGUUUAGCAGAGCAGAGUGUGACUGGCCCUUAGAACAAACAACGAUGGAGCAAAUUGAAAAGCAUGUACUUGUUAAUGGGGCAAUUCACAAUAAAGCCUUAUAUUUAUGCGAAUACUUACCUCUACGAUAUCAGCAACGUUGACUAUAAAAGCAUUAGGAAGUGGAAUAAUAGGAACCCAAGCUUCAUUUUCCUUGAUUUGAAGACCUUGUACAUCAUUGAUUUGAAGUAAAAUGGUGAGGCUAACAGGAUCAGAGUGAUGGCAGAGGCCUGUGACCAGCUCAGGUUGAGGACUUGGAGGAUAGUAAGUGAGCCUCAUGGAUUGCAACCCUUCUUCUAAAAGCACUUCAAUUCUUCAUGCUUCAUUCCUAAUGCUUUUGCUAUUAGGCUGAGAAUCUUCAAGGCAAGCCUUUUGAGCUCUAUAGAGUACUCUUGAAGACUUUCCCUAUGUAGCAGAACCAGGAACAUUUGAAGGAAUAUAAAGGUAACUAGAAUAAAUAUCGGUUUAGUAUCAUAACAAAAGAAAAGAAAAGUAAAUUUUGCGCACAAACUUCACUGUUAGUUUCAUGUUUUGCAGUGUUAUUGGAUUGAUUAACAUGCAAAUAAACUAUAAGGAGAACUUAGCAUACCCAAGUCUAAGUAUAAAUUUAGAUGUAUAUUAUAAUGAACUUAAAAUCAUAAUUGAUUUGUUUAUUUUCAAAUUGCACAGUGAAUGAAGAUAUUUCAAUAAAUUUGAGCUCAUUGUAACCAUUUGUCAUAGUGAAUUGGUGAUUUUUUAUUGUUCAACUUCAUCUUUUAAAAUAUCAGUAACAUUUUAACCUAAAAUAUCUUAGGCCAUCCCUCUUCUAUCUUUCUUCUCUUUAGAAAAAGUUCUCUAACUAAAACUCUCAUUCAACUCUCUCAUGAGAGAGAGAUCAGAUUUUUCUAAUCUCUCUCUAUGUGAGAAGCUCUCUCUAUAGUUUCUUUUCAUUUAUGUGAAUAAAAUAUAUCUUAAGAUUUUCUAAUGAGAGUUUCUUCUGAUAGGGCAUAAUUUGUUAUUAAUUUUAUGGUUAAUUUUCCUCUUUGUCCUUGCCAAAUAUUGUUUUAAUUGUUGAAAUAUACUUAUAUUUGGUAUUUGAACCUAAUUACAGGAAAUGUGUGGCGACCCACUUCCCCCUAAGGCGAACCAGAGGGUUGGCGGGCCGUCUGCCUAGCUCUCGCCAGGACUCAUGCAAGCAAGCUAGCAAAAAAAAAAAUCCUUCCGAAGUAUAACCUAAUCUAUUACAACAUCGAUUCUCCCAAAAUAGAUCAAUUUCUAAAAUCACAUUAACUUCACAGAUAACAGUACUAUAAGAUAGCCAAACGUCGAAUCUUAAAAUAGCUUCCCGAUUACAACCCAAGAAAUAAGACAUACAAUUCAAAUACGUUCGUACAAGUCACAUACAAACCCAGGGUUUACACCUUUCCAGCUUCAAGUGGGAACCCGAAACAAAAGCUACAUUGUUCAAUUCAAACUACAUGCUUAAAGUACAAGUAGAUCUCAAGUCUUCCUCAGUUGUCAAAACCUGUAAAAGAAAACCACAACGUGGGAUGAGCUACACAGCCCAGUGAGGUUCCAAGACGCUCUAACAAUUCAAAUAGGUCAAGUAAGUUGUGCAUAUCAUAUGGCAUGUUACACAAUGGCAUGUUACCAUGAGGUGAUAAUCAUUACACGGGUAAUUGCUACCUUGAAAACACAUGUAGAACUAGUACUUUUGGAAUGAAUGGCCAUAUAAAUAUAUUUUCAUAAAUUUUCAGUCAAACAAAUAGUGGCUCGUCCGACUAGAAGAACAUUACAAGGAUUGCUUCAUCUCAGAGGUUAAUGCUCAUGAGGAGUCUUACCCGAGAAUGCCAACUAGGAGAGCAAUAAUAUUAUUAAUAGUAAAGCAAGCACGAAAGGAUACUGUGUUCCAGUGGAACUUUGUCGGUCAUCGGCACCUUAUAACUCCUGGAUCCCCACGGUUGACUGGCCAUCACCUUAUCCCUCCAGGGGUAGUACUCGAGUAUACCGAAACGGUUGUCCAGGGCUCCAACCUACCCGACCGAGCCCAGUCCUGGCUCGAGUAGGUCAGUAACCGAGGCAGGGCCCAAGUUCAGCUUAUAGCUUACAACAUGCACAAGUAACCAAAUAAUUCGACAAAAGGUAAACUCAUCAUUUCAAUAGGUCGAGUGAGAUAAAGUACACACUCGCCUAACAAUGAUGGACAACUUCAUGUAACAUGUGAUUCAUGAUAAUCAAAUACUCAAGUGGACACUUAGCACGUAAGCAAUACAAGUUGAUUUCAUGGGAGCAUGUGAUUCACGGUUAUCACGAAGUCACGUAACUUGGAAAUCGAGUAAACAGAGAAUCAAGUUAUCAGGUAGUCACGUGAUUUGAUAAACUGUUCACGGUUAACGGUUCACGGUUGACGGUUAACGGUGGAGUAUUGACGGUUACUUGACAGGUAUUUGCCAUGUUAAUAGGCCAUCAUCGGCCGCUAUCCCUUUUUAAUCUUGUGAGAGUCGAGGAGAUUCACUCCAGUGACGUUACUAUAUUUAGAUUCAUGAGAAAAUGUUUCACGCAAGUCACCACUCGAACGGCUAGUGUGAUAAAGUACACACUGCGCACUUCGAUGGAUCGGAACUCAUUUUCCAAAAUGUCACAUAACGAGUCACAAGAGCACUUUAACCAAAUAAGCAUAAAACAAGCAAGCUAAGCACGUAUUGUGUGACGCCUCGAAAAAACUGAGUUUGAGAACCCGGAAAUUUUCUAAUUUUCUAGGGUUUAUUUUUUUUAACGCCCGCCUUUUCUACAUUUUCUUGAUUAGAAAAAUUUCCCAGAUAAAGUUUAUAAGCAAAAAUAGUUUUAAAAUGAUUUUUCUAGUAUCGGUUAGUUUUUGAGAAAUUAAGAGCUUAUACUGGACGUGGGACCCGCUAGUGUGAUAUAAUUUUGGUGACUAAGUGAAUUGUGUGCUAAGUGUUAUUAUUUUACAAGGUGCUAGGAAAUGAUUAGAGGGUGGUUAUAUGAUGUAACCAUUGGAAGGCAAAGGAUUAAAGAAAAUACUAGAAGGGCCAAGUGUCACAAACCCAUUGCAAGUUGGACCUUUGACUAAGACCAUGAUUUCUUCUUCUUAUCUUGACCAAACCUUUUGUUUUCAUCAUUUCUUCUUCUUGUAAGCAUGAUGGACGAAAUUUUGAGAGAAAGAGAGAGAAAAUCCAGCAUCUUGCACCUCAAUUUCUUCCUCCAAUCUUGAUUUCUAACCGAUUAAAUUGCAAAUCACUCCAUAAAACUUGCUAGCUAAGGAAGAUUGAAGCUAUUGGUGGAGUUGUUUUGGAAGAAAAAUCCCUAAGCCAUCACCUUUCUUGAUAUUUCAAGGUAUCAUGUCUAACCAUCCUUUCUUUGAUCUUGAUUUUGUUAAAUUAAUGACUUGUGAUGGCUAAUGAGAUGUUUUAGUGGAAGAUUAGCACUUGAAUGCAACAAUUUCAAGAUUAGGGUUUUCAAUUUCCCAAAUUCUGUCUGACACUGUUCAUCAUAGUUAGAGGCCGAAUUGGCCUUAGCACAAAACAUGAAAGUUGUAGAGAAUGAGGUUUUAUAGUUGCCUACAAAAUUUCAACUCAAUCCAAGUUCGGUAGCCUGUGAAAAGACCAAAAUACCCCUGCUGCCCUGUUUCUGUCCGAACCUGGAAAUCAGCUUUGGUAAUUGGUUAGUUUGACUGGGAAUACUACUGAUUUGGUUGUUGAUGUCUUCUUACGAAUUCUAGCCUUGUAUCUUAGCUUUUAAAUGGCUUUGGAAUUACCUGAUUUGGAGUUGUGUGUGCUGAGUUAUGACUGAAUGAAUCAGGACUGCGUCAGUGAGCUUCGAACUAGAAAAUCUGGGGUUGUUUUGGAACAUUUGACCUAGUUAGGGUGAGAACUGGACUGAGUGAUCUUCAUGAAAGUUGUAGGUAAUGAUAUUUUAGAGGUUCCUGCAAAAUUUCAGGUUAAUCGGAGUACCGUAGCUUGAGAAAAGAUGGAAUUACCCUUUCUGUUCUGGUUUUACCCGAAUGUAAGAAUUGCGCCUGUAAUUGGUUGUUUUGGUCCGGAAUGCUUCCAAAUUGGUUGUUGAGGUCUUCUGAUGAAAUUUAUCCCUGUUUCUUAGCUUUCAUAUGGUUUUAGAAUUUCUGGAUUUGGACUUGGAGAGCCUGAGUUAUGAUGUUUCCGCUAGAAUGCGUUUUGGUGAAUCUGUUUUUGUGAUUCUGAUGUAGUAUCUUGCAUUUUUGACCUGGUUACACUCGAAACUGGGUUGAAUGACCUUCUGUAAUAUUGUACCCCUAUCUCUUAGCUUCGAAACGGUGUAUCUUGUACCUUCAUCCGACAAUUGUAGUGCCUUUGGUACCAUUACCGCAAAAUGACGUCAAAACCUAUUUUUCUGGUUUUGAGCUUAACUUUCAUUUCCGGACUUUUUCCUAACUUGACUUGUCUUUGUACUACUUGGAGCUUGCUGUAUGACUAUUGGAUGAACUUGUUGUUGUGUGUGUACCUUUGGGACUGGCUGAGGAAAUAAUGAAGCCAUGAUGGCUGGAAAAGUUAACAAAUUUAGGGGAAGUGCUGUCCGAACUUUGAAGGGACUUGUUUGCAUUGAGUUUGUGAUUUAAGACUUGGAUUUGGGCAAGGCAAUGAUAUAUGAUGGAUGGUUUCUGAGCCAUGGAGGUGAGUGACCUCAAACUACUUCUAAAGUUAUUUAUGAACCGUUUCUUACAUUAUUUACUUUUGAACUGUUUCCAAAGUUACUUUUGAAAUGUUUUCUUGCAUAUCAUGUGUGCUGGCAUUUGAGUGUGCCUUGUUUGCUAUAUUUCUUGACUUCAUGACUUGUAUUUUGGUUGAUAACGUGUUAAGCGCUUAUAAUGAUUUCCAAAACGAGUUUUCGAGGCGAGUGUGUACUUUAUCGCACUCGAGCUCGAUAAAUGUGAAAUUUUCGAUUGAAAUGUUACUUGCGCAUGAAUGUAAGUCUUUUGGGCUGAACUGGCCAUUGCCCAUUGUUACCGGUCGUCUUGAGCCAGAAGCGGACUCGGUCAGGCGAUUAGGAACUUGGGUGAACGUUUGGUAUACUCGAGUAUUACCUAUGUAGGUUGGUGGAGCCUGGCCAAAAGCCAGGGACGGGGUGAAUGAAAUGAAAUGAAUGACCAAAUGAGCGAGGAAAUGUCAGGAGAAUGAAUGUAUCCUUUCAUGAAUGUUACUAUCGCUUUCCAUUGUAAAUGUUUCUUGAAUUAUCGAUAAUCCAUAUUUACUGUUUUGCAAAUGAUGUAGUUGUUUCCGGAUUUAUCAUUUAAUUUAUGACAUCAUUGCUAUAUGACAUCAUUGAAAUGAACUAUUGUGAAACCGAUUUGAUUAAUGAUUUUCUGGUUACUCGCUGAGUUUUUAGCUCACCCCAAAAACUAUUUUAUUCCCCUCCACAGGGCUCGUGGCGAAGGAAGGACUUGUAGUACUUGUGCACGUGUAUGGAUGGCCUAAACUUUGUACAAUUUUGGAUUUGGAAUUAUUUUAUGUAUAUUUGGGAUUAGUUUCCGCUGCAUUUGUGACAUGUAAUUAUUGGAGACGGAUGUGUAUUUGUGGACCAUUUGAUGUAUACUUGAGAUUUGUAUUGUAUUUAUUUGAUGACUGUAGUGAACGACUGAGUCCCGGCGAGAGUUGGGCGGGCGACCCGCCGAACCCUGGGGUACGCCCUAGGGAGAGGUGGGGCCGUCACAUAUUGAGUUUACAAGAUCAUUUGAUAGGGUUAAUCAUUUAACCAAUUCAUGUCGAUAUGCAAUGCAAAUAUAUAUUUCUUAAAUAGGCAUGAGUAUGGUAAAUACUUAAGGAUCAUAAAAUGAGCAUGUUCUAGACUUACUCAAUUACGUAUUCUUAUAUGGAACACUCACCUAGCAACAAGGGCAAUAGGUUCAAUUUUGAAGUUCAAGCGUCCUCUGUCGGAUCCUCUUAAAGGUCCUCGUGUGCGCCUGAACAAAUAGUAAUAGUCUAUCAUUUAUAAUCCCUACUAUUGAUGAAGAUCGUAUCAUAGUACAAUCUUAGGAAAAAUCUCGUGAAACAAGUCUUAAUUAUCCUAAAUCGAGACUCUCAAGCGGGGUUUCAAAGUACAAGAGAAAUUAGGUCUACAUCAUGAAAAUCAAGGAUAAAACAUUUGAAUAAUAUCGAAGGAAUAAGGAGUACUUGAAAAACUCCAUUUCUUUGGAAUUCGAAAAAUUUCAGUUUUGAUGCGAUACUUUGAAAAAUCGUAACUCACCUUUUACAUGUCAAAGAUUGGAAAACUUGAUACCGUUGGAAACUUCCUUCAAAAUACUAAAAGUUCCUAGAAUACACUUUUUCAUGAUUCUAAAUGGAAGAUAGUCAAAAUGGGCUCAAAGUUACUGUUUUGGUUCAUAAGGUAGAUUUAAGUUGGUUUUUGGCCAACUUUGAAAAUUCGGCAAAAUUCAUUUGAUUGGAACUAGCCUUUGAAAUUUGUAACUCAAUUAGUGUUGUAAACCAAGAGUAUAACAAAAUAGACAGAAUGAGAAACAGAGUUUUGAGCACCAAGAUACGGUAGCUCAAAGUUACUAAAAUUUUCUUGUUAAACAAGGGUUUUCGAACUCAAGUCAUAAACUUUGGUAAUUUAUUUGAGUCAUGAAACGGUUUCGGAAUAACACCAUAAUUAGCAGUAUAAUACUACCAUAUAAGGGUUAUUCCUAUGUCAAAUUUCAUAGAAAAAUAUGCACAGGAAGUCACUUAACAAAAUCACUCAAGUUUCCAAAAUUUUAAGGCAAGGCUGCCUUGUGUAUGAAAAUUUCCUUUUCUAAACUUUUGACUAAGAGAAAAUCCUCUAAACAUGGUUCAUUUGUAUAGGAAAAAUUUAAAGAACAUUCAUGGUACCUUUGGUGGUUGUUUAACACCAAGAAAUUUAAUUAUCAAGUCUAUACCAAGCCUUGCAUCAAAUCUGUCCAAAAGUUAGGAUUUCCAAGAGCAGGGCAGGUUCCGUAUUUUGAUCACCACUCACUCAAUUCAACUCGGAAUUGAGCAUGGUUGGUGGCGUUAGAAAAUACAUUUGUAGGGUUAUAAUUUCACAGAAGAAAUCAUUUUCAAAUUCCAUUCACAAACAACUCGUUUUUGAGCAUCAAGAUACAAGUCCUGUCCUGUCUCCUAGAGAGAAACGAAACAGGACAGUGAUAUUCAAUCGAAUGGUGUGGCUUACUCAAGUGGAACCAGAACGUGCAUUUGGUACCAAUGGAAAGCUAGGAAUGUCUAGUUUCAAAUGCCACUUAUGGCACUCAAUUUCGACAUCGGAGUACAGAGUUAUGGCCAAAACAAGAGGACUGCCUGAGUAUUACGAGAACAGUUUUCCAGAUUUGGCAGAUUUUAAAACUCAACAUGCACUCACCCAAAUCACGUAAAAUUUUGAAGAAAAUUUAAACACAACCUAUAUUUCACAUUUGCAUCAAAAACAAGUAAAUUAGACUUCAAGAAAGUACACUAAAUGCACGAAAAUAGCAGAGCAGAAACGGCUUCAUCACAUGCAACUCCGCAUUUGACUUCCUUUUAAUUUUUGCCACUUAACUCUACUAAAUUAGCACUUAAUCAACACAAUCAACAUCCAAUCCUAGCUAAUCAGAUCAUCCAAGUCAUUGUGGGAUUUCAUAGAGCCCACUCACCAAUUUUCCAACAAGUUAAAGCUGCCCAUGAGAAUCCAAGAGCUCAUGAGUGAAAUUUAUCUUCCAUAGAACAAGAAUUAAGUGGUUGAUCAUUACUUACUUACUUAGAGAGCCAAGACAGAAAUUUUUUUCGGCCCCUUAGAUGCUCAAGACAACCGUGGAUAGCAGCCCUCUUUCCUAGCAUAAUUCUCACAAAGAAAAUUCAUAUUACAUGCUGCAAAUCCAGUUCCAUACUCUCCAACUGUCACAGAAUUUUUUUCCAGCAUAGGGUCAGUCAUUAAACAAGAUUUCUUCAGCCCACAACUCUUAUAAACUUCAGAUACAUAUAUAACAUACGUUUCCUAUCAUUGGUUUCCGCAAAUUUCAGUCCAAACAUGGGAUAACAAGCUGCAACUCAACAACAAGCUCUCGGUUCCUGCAAAUUUCAGUCCAGCAACUAUUCAAUCCAAAAUCAGAAUUUUUUUCCUCGGUCGAAAGCCCAUUUUCCUUGCUAAAUUCUAACAUGCAGCUUAAGUACUACAUAUAUUAGUUGAGUGAGAGUUUAUUGCAGAAUUUUACCUCUUGUUUCUCUUAGAAUCUGAAAUCGCAGACCGCUCUAGCUUUUCUGCUUCAGCUAGCACCGAUCCUCUUUUCCUUUUGUUCACUUCAUUCUCACUCGAUUGAAGCUGAUAGGUAAAGAAACUAACAAGUUUGCUCUCCCUCCCUCUCACUUCUGCUCACGGUUUUGAGGUUGGAGAAGUAGUUUAGCUCUUGGUUUCUUCCUUUGCUCUUAACAAAUUGUUGCUAAAUGAUUCCACCGAACUAUCCCUUUGUAUUAUUUGGUGUCUAGCUAAAUGAUCUAUUCGGUUGCAUGGUAAUUCUAACUAAAUCCUAGGCUAUUUGGUCAUUUGAUAAUAUUUUAUUUACUUGACAAGGACCUGAACUUUUAUUAAGUGCAUGUGUUGUCUUAAAACAUUAUCUCAUCUAUUUUACCAAUCUGCAAUUUUUUUUUUCCUUAAUUCACUCGUUAUUUCCUAAUCUUAUUUGUAUCUCAUAAAUUCUCACACAUUUAAUUUUUUUCUAGGAAAUCAAUAAAACAAGUGGCUUAGCACUAAAAUAUAUUUAAUUAAUCUAUGAAUUGGUAUGUAAUAAUUUCCAAUGGCGGAAAUGGAGAUAAUACGGGCAUGGUUAAUUUUGAAAUGGAGGAGGGCUGAUUUAGUCUUUUAGCAUCUUAUUCGACCUUCCACUUAAGUCCUCAUUCGUAAGCUAAUUCAAAAAUUUUACUUCAAAGGCAAUUUGUUAACCUACUAGUAUUUUAAUCUCGCAAAAGUUCAAUUAUCUAAGUUUUUACGUCCUAAGUAUACUUGUAUCGAUUUUGUCUAAAAUUAUCAACUGCAUUUUAAUACUAAGGUUCCUAUUAACCCUUAACACUAUUAACGAUUAAACUUAGCUAUCGGAAUUUAAAGAAUUUAUUUUAAGGCAAUAAUAUUAAUCUAACUCUGGAAAUAUUAAUUUAGUAUAACAAAACCAAUUAAUUUAAUAUUUGGCACAAUUAUAUUAUUUUUCACAUAAAUUAUUAUUAUUAUUUUUUUUAAUAACUCAAGAGAAUAAAAUAAAUUCAAAAUAUAUGUAAUUCCUCGAAUCGAUUGUUAACUGCAUUCGCGUAUUUACUAUUUUCACUUAACGAGCCUUCAGAAAUUAAAUUUCGAAACGAAUCGUUUUAAAAAUAUAACUAAGCUAUGGAUAUAUUUAAUUAAACCUAAAAAUGUUAGAAAAUAAUAAUCGGAGAGAUCGGGUGAGUAAAUACUUAUUUGAGCUAGUAAAAUAAAUAAAGUAAGCAAAAUUUUCGGGUUCUCACAAAAUGGAGCAGAAAAGUACUAAAAUGGGUGACUUUCUUGAGAAAAUGCCAUGCACGUGGGAAGCUUUUGAGAAUCCUUGCAAAUCCGGCUCUAAGAUGUGCUAAACCAAUGUCUUUCCUUUCGUGACUAGCAGUUUACUAGCAUUAGGAAACAAGAAAGAAGGAAACUUCAGUAGUUGUCUUAUCUCUUUGUUUUCCUUAUUCGGUGGAAAAACCAACGAGAUGAGGGACUAGUCAUUGUUUAGAUUAGGGACAUUCUUCUAUUAUUCGUCUUCGUCCCGAGGCCACAACACAGGAUAUAAUUCCUUCUUCAUGCCUUUGCUCUUCUUGCGUGAAACAUAUUACAUUGUUUUAAGAACAAAGUUUGAUAUUCAUGAAUUAUACUAAUUCGCGUGGAAAUUUCUCUAUGAGGCGUGGCUAAGUUCCUCAUCUAGUUGAAGGUCAACUUGAAGACUCGGUUCCAAACAUCUGCGAGAUCGAAUUAUUUUACUUAUUUCUUUUAUUCAUUGGUAUUUGUACAUUUUCUAACUUAACUUCUUAUGAUUGAUUUGUUAUUUGAAUGUCAAGGGUCCGAUAUUCAAAUUAACCUAAUAAUCUACUGCCAGAUUAAUUGAUUGAAUCUGUAAUUGUUCAAUUGAUUAAUACCAGUGGCGACUAGCGUGAUUGGUUCCAUGUUAGGGAAACACAUAAUUUAAUUUAAACAAAUCCUCGUAGCGUGUUCAUUAGUUAGAGUUGGGCUUUUCUAAUUCUUAAUGCAAUCUAGAAAUUAAAUCCUACAAUCGUACUUAGGAUUAUUUUUUUGUUAGAGAAAUAGCUAACGGUCGUACCUUGACUAUUGAAAAAAUAAGGAAAGGCUGGUUGUUUAUCGCGUGUAUAACAACUAUAACCAAUCUAUUAAUGAGUAAUUGAAUUAUCUUUGCAUCGAUGAUCAGUUGAAUAAACCAUGUUUGAAAAGUUGCACCUUUAGCUAGAGUUGUAUUGAUUAUUAAUUAAUUCUUGUUUAUUUCUAUUAGUUGUUUUAUUAGUUAGUUAAUUAGUUAUUUUAUAUUCUCCAAAAAUCCCUCAUACUUCGGACUCUGGAAGAAACGAAUUAUCUCCAGUCCCUAUGGAUUCGACCCUACUCACCGCUAUAUACAAAAUUUGUAUUUUUCUUGAGUAGGUAAUUAUUAUUACAUAGAUUCGACACCUGUCAAUUUUUGGCGUCGUGGCCGAGGACUGGUGCAUGAUUAAUUUGUUUCUUUUUGAGUUCAUCUUAUUUUUAUUUCUAUUUUUUUCUCUUAUUUAUUUUUUUUACUAGUUUACGGUUGCUGACAUUUCAUAUUUUGGUGAUAGACUGAAUUUUAUUCCUACGAAAGGAAAUGAAGCUUAUGUUUUUUCUGAUGAUCAAUAUUCAGAUUCACUAAGCUUUCUUAUCGACAAAAUGGUUGCUGCAACUUGUGGGAUUUGUUAUGCCAUAGAUCAUUGAACCAGUAUGUGCUCUAAAUAUCAAGAUUACCUAAAUGUCUAUCUCAAUAAGUGUGGAGUUUUUUUACCCCAAUCUCGAACGUGGCAUGACCCUUAUUCAAAUGGAUAUGAUCAAAGAUGGUGAGAGAACUCCAACUUUAAUUAUGGACCAAACCCAAUCGAUUUUCAAUAUCAAUAUCAAUAGCAACAGCCAUCAUCUGUCAGAAUUGCUCACAUAGACUAACAUCAACUUUGAAGAAGAUGAAAGUGCAAUUAUCCGAACAAAUGACAUGAAACUGCAAGAGUUUCAAGAAAACGGAUCUAAAGAUGCAGUUGAAAAGGAAGUUGAAGUGCAAGAAAUGAAACCCCAAUAUCAACUCGUCCAAGUAAAUGAAUCCUGUGAACAAUCUCCAAAUGCGGUGACAUUUUCUCCAUUCCUUGAUCAAUAUUCUUCUGACUCUUAUUAUUCAAUUUCUAUUAGUGAGAUUGACUUUAUUAUACCAGAAAAUUUUAAAUUUCAUGACAAGAAUAAGUUAAGGGUGGCGAUGGCAAAAUAUCUUGGACCAAUAAAUGUGCAUGAUAGAGGAGUGAGUGGAGAAUUCAGAUUAUUAUUGACUUGUUUAGCGCCAUCUACUAGUCCAUGGAAGACCGUAACUCGUGUGCUUAAGGAUUAGUCUAUUUACGAGGGCUAUCAGGAUUAUAUAGAGAAUGAAAUACUGAAACGAGCAACAAGAUUUUAUCCUCCCUGAACAAACAUGAUAAUGUCUAGCAAAAAAUGUUAAAAAAAGACGCUUUUUGGGAGGCAACCCAAAUAUUGGUUUUGUUUAUUUUUUUUCAUUGUUCAUUGAUUUAAAUUUGUGAUUUCUCACUUGGGUACUAAUCGAUCUUGAUAUUUUCCUGUACUAUGACCAAGACAGGUAAUCUUGGCGUGCCCACGCAAGGAGGGCACGCGUUAAUGUUGCAAGCCUCAACCUCAUCGUCAGGAGACUUUUCCAAAACAUGGCGUGCCCACGCCAUAUUGGUAAAACCUCAACUGUUUGCAACGCAGGUAGGUCAAGGAAUUUGGCGUGCCCACACAAAGAGGGCAUGCGUUAAUUUGCAAAAAAGUCACCCCAAGAUCAGAUUACUUUUUCAAAUCUUGGCGUGCCCACGCGAGGAGGGCAAGCGUGAAAUUGCAAAAAGUGACUUGCAAGGUCAGAUUACUUUUUCCUGUCUCGGUGUGCCCACACUUAACGCAGUGGUUCUAAAAAUUUUUUUUUUCUUUUCUCUUCCUUUCCUUUUCUUUUUCCAUUUUCAUUCUCUUUUCUUUUUCUUUCUUCCAUCCUUCUCCAUUCGAACUCCACCACUGCCAAGCAUCAACUUACGUCGAGCUCUACAAUCAUUUGCCCCUCACCCGUAACUGUCCAUGGCCCGUACAGUUAUCAGGGAAGUUUCAUUGUCCCUUUUGUUUCGUAUUCUAUUCUUUAUCUCUUACAUUGGAGAUAAUGUAAGAUUUAGGUGUGGGGGGAGUAGUAUAUUGAUAAUAUAUUGGAAAAGUACAAGUGUAGGUAUUUUUGUUGAAUUUUUUGUUUGACUUUGUCGAAUUUUAUCUAAUUUUUGCCUAUCUUUAUAUAUACUUGUGAGUGUUCCUGAUAAACGAUAGUUAGAUGUCUCAAAUUUUUCUAUUGUUAAGAUUUUAUACGAUAAGGUGUUAAGUAUAACAGUUAAGUUUAAGAGUAUCUCUUUGGUGAAUAUUUGAGAUUUUGUGACUUUUGCACUUUUUGGUUUCUCUAAGUAUUGUAAAUAUUUGUCUAGCAUUUUUAUGCAAAUUGAUUCAACUAUUAAUCUUAGUUCUCCAUAUUUAAGAAAUGAAGUGGGCUUGUGUGAUCUUUAAUUUUAUUGUUGAUGUUUAUUUGAAUCAUGUUUGGCUAUACUUUGCUAGUAUCGUUGCCUAGUAACUAAAGGUCUUCAUCACAAGUGUCGAUUUUCGCAUCAAAAAGCGACGAUAGAUAUGAGUAUGUGGUUUUUAACUGAUGAUGGCUGAGUAACCGGGCUCCUACAUUUGGCCAAUGUCGGAGUCCGUGUCAAAACGCUUAAAUGACUAAAAACUAAACGUUUUCCCUGCAAAAAAAAUCAAUCAAGUGUAGCGAUAUUUUAGAAACAAAUGUGUUAAUAGUGAAAAAUGUGGAAAUGUUUGAAUGAAUUGUUAGCUCGUUGAUUCAUGAAUUUUAAUGUUGAGAUUUUGCUUAAUAGUCGAACUAUUUGCUUACGAAUGUUAGUUGAAUAUUUUAUAUUCUUAGAUUAGUUAGUCAAAAUUGGAAAAGUCUUUGAUUUUGAAAGAUAACCGGAGAGAUAUUUCUUGAAACUUAAUCACUAAUGCCUGACAUAUGUUUUAAUUGUAUCUUGGCAAUAAAAGAUUUGAACAAUAGCUAUUGUUUGAAUUUGAUUGUUUGAUUUAUUGUUCUCAUGCUUGAGAACAAGUACGUACGGUUUAGGUGUGGGGGAAUUGAUAGGGCAUAAUUUGUUAUAAUUUUAUAGUUAAUUUUCCUCUUUGUCCUUACCAAAUAUUGUUUUAAUUAUUGAAAUAUACUUAUAUUUGGUAUUUGGACCUAAUUAUAGGAAGUGGAGCAAAAAAGUACGAUAAAGGAUGACUUUCUUGAGAAAAUGUUGUGCACGUGGGAAGCUUUGAGAAUCCUUACAAAUCCGGCUCCAAGAUGUGUUAAACCAAUGCCUUUCCUUUUGUGAGGACCCGUAAAUUUUCUUUAUUUCAUAAUAUGUUAUUUUCUUUUCUUGCAUGCAUUUUCUUCAUGAAACCCUAUUAUAUUGCUUUCUUUGUGAUGUUUAUAAGUAAAUAUGGUUUUGAAAUCAUUUUUCUAAUAUAACUUAGUUCAUGAGAAAUAAAGAGUGUAUAUUGGACGUGGGAUCCGCUAGUGGCGUUAAGUGUGAUAAAUUCAACCAAUUAGGUUACAUUUUGUAUACCGGGAUUAAUUUACUAGGUGUUAAGAGAUAAGUAGAUAUUACUUAGAUGGUUUAAUCUUGUAGAGACAAAAGGAUAAGCUUGAAUCAUUAAGAGAGCCAUGUGUCGCGAUUUGAUUGGAUGGUUGACUUGCCUAACUUUUACCUAACUUUCUUAACUUUACUAAAAGACCAAAUUUGACUCAAAUCAUCUUCAUUUCAUCUCCAUCUUGGCCGACCUACACCUUAAGAGAAAAGGAAAGAAAGCUUCAACUAUAUCUUCCAUUUCUUGCACAAAUCUUGAAAUCCAACCGAUUAACUCUUGAAUUAGUCCACAAAAUCAACUUGCUAAGGGAGUUCGAAGAACUUGGUGGAGUUGUUUUGGAAGAAAAACCCCUAAGCUACUACCUUUCUUGAGGAGUUAAGGUAUUUUGCUUGGAACUCACUCUUUGUUCCUAAUAAUGGUCAAUUGGUGACUUAUGUGGUUAACUAGGUGAUUUUAUGGAAGAUUUCAUGGAUUAAAGUGAAGUUAGUUAAAUUUCUGAUUUUUUUGGGAUUUCUCUGUUUUCAUAUGAUGAUUAUGGUUGGCCUUGGAUUGAUGGCUCUAAAUCGUGUUAAAUGCAUCCCCUGUGCGUUAAUUGCGGAAAAUUUCAGCUUGUGCGGAAAAUUUCAGUGUUCCAAUUUGCUCGGUUCUGUCCAAUUCUGUUUGACCAUGAUAGAGGCCGAAUUAGGCUUCGGUUAAAACAUGAAGGUUGUAGAAAAUAGUGUUAACUAGCUGCCUACAAAAUUUCAGCUCAAUCCAAGUACUGUAGCAUAUGAAAUGACCGAAAUACCCUUAACUGUCCAUGAGCCCUGUUUCGCGGACAGAUUUCUGUUUUCGUGGAGUUUUCCAUUUUUGACCAUGAAAAUGCAUGAUUUGACUUUGGAUGUCUUCAUAAGAAAUGUAGGUUUAUGUUUUGGUUUCGAAACGCCAUAAAAUACACCUCAAUCGGACUUCGGUAACUUGAGUUAUUGUCAUUCAAUCAUAGUAUGGUUAACUAGUCUGAUUGUGAGAUUUUGGUUCUGUAAUUUGGAAAUUUGACCUAGAUACACUACGAAUUGGAUUGAGUGGUCUUCAUUAAAGUUGUAGCUCUUUGUAUUAGGUUCGAAAUGGUAUAAAUUGCACCCAAAUCUGAUAAGCGUAGCUUCAGUUGUGACCGAUAUGCUAAGAGACGUUAAACCUGCUGUUUUGCUUUUAUCCUUAAAACUUGAUUUCCAGUUGCAUUCCUAGACUUGCUUUGUAUUUGGAUGAACUUGAGCCUAGUUGAAGGGCUAUUUUAUUGAGAUUUCUUAUGUGUUGGAUUGGAUUGAGUUGAGGAAAAAUAAUGAAGUCAUAAAUGGCUGGAAUAUAGCAAAAUACAGAGGGCAUGCUACCCAAAAUUUUAGGGCUACGGGAUUCCUUCAAAUUGAGUUGAUCUUAGUAAAAAAGAAAGGAUUUUGGGGUUGUUUGAGCCCUAGGUUUUCAUGUUACCUCUUCAUUUCCAAAAAUCAUGUUUUGUACCCUUGCAUUAGUAAUUAUUUGGCGAGGCAUACGACUAGUAGUUGAGCCUCACUUGUGCAUUCUGUUUACUUGAUUUCGGACGUGAAAACUUCAAUUGUUUUACUUUGGUUAUUUUAGGGUUUCUUGGCGAGUAAAGCCACUUUGGCGUGAAAACUUUUGAAGUAUCUGUACUUGAACCGGUGAGUGUAUCACUCCCCUGAAUUAUUGCUAAACUGGUUAUCUGUACUUGCAAAUUGCUAUUUGAAUGUCUUUCCUGACUGUUUAUUUUGUACGAAACGAGUGUGUACGUUAUCACACUCGCUCUCUGGCUUGUGUGACUUGUUUCCUGUAUAUACUUGAAUCUGUUACCUACGCCUGUUAUAAUGUCGUUUGGAAGUGCAUCCAACGACCUUCCAGUUAAAUCUGAGCUCAACCUCAUGGGGAGUUGAUUGAAUCGAGCCAGCAAGGGCUUGGUCGAGAAAAUUGACAAGCCAUGGGUGCCUGUCCCUGGGUGAAUCUAUGGGUAUUGGAGACUCUGGAUUUCCGAUAUACUCAAGUAUUACCAUCCCUGUUCCUGUUUGGCGUUCGGGCCCGAUAAGGGGUAUGUUUGGUGUACGGGAUUUUGGUGUUAAAGUGGUGUUCUACUGGACUGGUUCCUUUAUUUGAACAUUGACGGAGGGUUAACGAGGUUGGAUCAAGUGUUGCAACGGAGAUUUGGCUCCUGAGAGCCGCCUGUAUCCUUUAUAUUGUGGUGUUCAUUCAUUUCUCGUAUUUGAUAUGAAUAUGUGUCUUAAAAGUGAUUUCUCAUGAGUUCUACUAUUUCUACUGUUUAUACUUUUUGUACCUCAUUGAGCUUUUAGCUCACCCCGUCUCGUUAUCCUUGUUUUCCUUACAGGGAACCAUCUUUUGGACCAAUGAUUAUUUUGAAGAAUGGAUUGAGCUUGUAUAAAUGCCCUUUUGUAUAGCUCAUCGGAAGUUGGAAACCCUAAAUGUAUCUUAAUACAAUGUUUCCUUUUGGUUUGUAAACUUACUACUGUAUAUAUUUUAAAGUGUUUCCUCAUGUUUAUGUGACCUAUAUUUGGGAAUGUACAUUCUCUCAUGUUAAACAAAGUGUACUUGUACUUGGUUGGAUGUUGACGUGGUAACGCCUCUUCCAUUUCAUUUUGAUUUUCAUGGGAACGCUGUACCAAAGAUUGAUUGUAUCUUUUACUUUGACUCAUUUGGAGUUCUUUUGAGCGUUUGGAAGGGUUUACAUAUGUUCCAGAUCCGUAGUCCCGGCGAGAGUUGGGCAGGCGGUCCGCCGAACCCUUUGGUUAACCUUAAGGUGAGGUGGGGCUGUCAUAGGUGGUAUCAGAGCCGCUUCGCGUGGUCUCUACGCGGAGUGAGUUUGGGGCCAAGUGGUGUUAUGAUCCUGAUUUCAUGAAUAUGUCUAAGUGCUCGUAUGAGUAUAAGUUAUGAACCGGGCAUGUUAUAAGUGUAAAAAUCUUUAUCAUGGAACUUGAGGAAGAUAGAUAUGUAUGUCGGGUAGAAAUCUAUAAUAUGGAUGAUUUACUCUUGGGACCGGCCGAUUCGAGUUGUGAAUUAUGUUAUUGUGGAUUCUUGUACUUGAGUAUCAAAUAGUGGAGAGCGCGAGAAUAAGGGUCUGUAUCUUGAUUGAACCUGAGGUAGGUUUGGAUGGCAAAGGCCAAGGCAUGGAAGAUUUCACAUUGGAUCUAGUAAUUAGACUGGUUGAGGGGGUUUGAUAUGAAAGUGUUAUCAUGGACUACUCUUGUACUAGUUUGGCUCGGGUUUUUUCGAGGGUGGCUAGAUUGUAAGGAAUUCGUACCUAAGACAUGUUCCCUUUUGAUAUGACCGUGAGGACUUGAUAAGUGUUUACUUGAUUUUGAGCUAGUCUAGCUACAACCGUAGAGGUACUUUCUGCCCCUCUUGUGAGAUUCGAUAAUCAUAGUUUGGCUCUCGAUAAACUAACCUUGCCUAUAUUUUCUUGAUAUUUAUCCCUUGAUGUCAAAGUAUGGACUUGAGUCGAUUAUUAUUAUGUCGAGAUCGAGAGUUUGGAAUUAGGUAUAGAAUGAGGUAUGGAAAUUUGAGAGAAAGGAUUUGGCCUCUAUACCUGUAUGCUUCUAAGUUUAAUUUUUCGUGGUUGGAUUGGGAGUGAGGGAACUAAACAGUUAUAUGGUUAAAGUUCUAAGUGUACUUAGUUACUUAUUUUGAUUCUCUAAUUUGCCUGGCAGGCUAUCACUUGAGUUCGAGCGAAUCGAUAAGAUAGCACAUUUGACUGAUAUGUAUAAGGAGAUAGAGAUUCUUCGAAAGGAAGAAGAGUUCCAAAAGAGAUUAGCUAAGCACUGGGAAGGGCAAUGGAAACAGGAGUAUUCGGAGAAAAUUGAACUACUGCACAAGAACAUAGAGUUGAAAAAGAAAUACGAAGAGGUUCCGGAAGAGGUACGAAGUAAGUUUGAAUUAGUGCCUUCGUCUAGUCAAAUGGCCUCUCAGGACAUUCCUAAUAAUAAAAAUGAAAGAGGUGAAGGAAGUGCUCGCGACCACAAAGCGAAACGUAAAGAGAUGGAUGGAAAUGGAGUUGCCAUGAGGGACAAGGGGAGGAGGAAGAAAAAGAAUGGACACUUCAAGAAGAAAUGUGUGGCUACUAAGUGUGAAACGUAUAACAAAAGUCGUACGGGAAUAUGUUAUGUGAAAAUUGGUGCAUGCUUUAGAUGCGGCCAACUGGGACACCAAAUGAGGAACUGCCCAGAACAAAUGAAUUUUGGGAUGGCGAACCUGCGGUAAUAAUUAAAGUCGGCAAGUAGUGAUGUGUUAGCUGAAAUAAUUGUAUUUAUGGACCUAUGUGUAUGCAACCUUUAUGUAGUGAAUAUGUUUCCGAUAAAAGUAGUGGACCUAGUACUUGAUAUUUUGAUGAGUACUAUUAAAUAUUGGUGAUUUGACAGUAUCUUUUCUUAUCUUUUAGUCUUGAUGUUAAGUGAAAUUUACGUCUAUGGUUCAGAAAGGAGAAACUUUCGAUGUCUUCACUGAUUUGCUUAGCAUAGCGUUUUAGUCAUAGUAUUAGUGUGAUUUCUCUCUAGAUAGAUUGUGGUAUGAGAAAAAUUUUGAGGACGAAAUUUCUUUAAGGGGGAGAAAGUGUGAGGACCCGUAAAUUUUCUUUAUUUCAUAAUAUGUUAUUUUCUUUUCUUGCAUGCAUUUUCUUCAUGAAACCCUAUUAUAUUGCUUUCUUUGAGAUGUUUAUAAAUAAAUAUGGUAUUGAAAUCAUUUUUCUAGUAUAAGUUAGUUCAUGAGAAAUAAAAAGUGUAUAUUGGACGUGGGACCCGCUAGUGGCGUUAAGUGCGAUAAAUUCGACCAAUUAGGUUACAUUUUGUAUACCGGGAUUAAUUUACUAGAUGUUAAGAGAUAAGUAGAUGUUACUUAGAUGGUUUAAUCUUGGAGAGACAAAAGGAUAAGCUUGAACCAUUAAGAGUGCCAUGUGUCACGAUUUGAUUGGAUGGUUGACUUGCCCAACUUUUGCCUAACUUUCUUAACUUUACUAAAAGACCAAAUUUGACUCAAAUCAUCUUCAUUUCAUCUCCAUCUUGGCCGACCUUCACCUUGAGAGAAAAGGAAAGAAAGCUUCAACUAUAUCUUCCAUUUCUUGCACAAAUCUUGAAAUCCAACCGAUUAACUCUUGAAUUAGUCCACAAAAUCAACUUGCUAAGGGAGUUUGAAGAACUUGGUGGAGUUGUUUUGGAAGAAAAACCCCUAAGCUACUACCUUUCUUGAGGAGUUAAGGUAUUUUGUUUGGAACUCACUCUUUGUUCCUAAUAAUGGUCAAUUGAUGACUUGUGUGGUUAACUAGGUGAUUUUAUGGAAGAUUUCAUGGAUUAAAGUGAAGUUAGUUAAAUUUCUGAUUUUUUUGGGAUUUUUCUGUUUUCAUAUGAUGAUUAUGGUUGGCCUUGGAUUGAUGGCUCUAAAUCGUGUUAAAUGGAUCCCCUGUAAAUUAAUUGCGGAAAAUUUCAGCUUGUGCGGAAAAUUUCAGUGUUCCAAUUUGCUAGGUUCUGUCCAAUUCUGUUUGACCAUGUUAGAGGCAAAAUUAGGCUUUGGUUAAAACAUGAAGGUUGUAGUAAAUAGUGUUAACUAGCUUCCUAAAAAAUUUCAGCUCAAUCCAAGUACUGUAGCAUAUGAAAUGACCGAAAUACCCUUGACUGUCCAUGAGCCCUGUUUCGCGGACAGAUUUCUGUUUUCGUGGAGUUUUCCAUUUUUGAUCAUGAAAAUGCAUGAUUUGACUUUGGAUGUCUUCAUAAGAAAUGUAGGUUUAUGUUUUGGUUUCGAAACGCCAUAAAAUACACCUCAAUCGGACUUCGGUAACCUGAGUUAUUGUCGUUCAAUCAUAGUAUGGUUAACUAGUCUGACUGUGAGAUUUGGUUCUGUAAUUUGGAAAUUUGACCUAGAUACACUACGAACCAGAUUGAGUGUUCUUCAUUAAAGUUGUAGCUCUUUGUAUUAGGUUCGAAAUGGUAUAAAUUGCACCCAAAUCUGAUAAGCGUAGCUUCAGUUGUGACCGAUAUGCUAAGAGACAUUAAACCUGCUGUUUUGCUUUUGUCCUUAAAACUUGAUUUCCAGUUGCAUUCCUAGACUUGCUUUGUAUUUGGAUGAACUUGAGCCUAGUUGAAGGGCUAUUUUAUUGAGAUUUCUUAUGUGUUGGAUUGGAUUGAGUUGAGGAAAAAUAAUGAAGUCAUAAAUGGCUGGAAUAUAGCAAAAUACAGAGGGCAUGCUGCCCAAAAUUUUAGGGCUACGGGAUUCCUUCAAAUUGAGUUGAUCUUAGUCAAAAAGAAAGGAUUUUGGGGUUGUUUGAGCCCUAGGUCUUCAUGUUACCUCUUCAUUUUCAAAAAUCAUGCUUUGUACCCUUGCAUUAGUAAUUAUGUGGCGAGGCAUACGACUAGUAGUUGAGCCUCACUUGUGCAUUCUGUUUACUUGAUUUUGGACGUGAAAACUUCAAUUGUUUUACUUUGGUUAUUUUAGGGUUUCUUGGCGAGUAAAGCCACUUUGGCGUGAAAACUUUUGAAGUAUCUGUACUUGAACCAGUGAGUGUAUCACUCCCCUGAAUUAUUGCUAAACUGGUUAUCUGUACUUGCAAAUUGCUAUUUGAAUGCCUUUCCUGACUGUUUAUUUUGUACGAAACAAGUGUGUACGUUAUCACACUCGCUCUCUGGCUUGUGUCACUUGUUUCCUGUAUAUACUUGAAUCUGUUACCUGCGCCUGUUAUAAUGUCGUUUGGAAGUGCAUCCAACGACCUUCCAGUUAAAUCUGAGCUCAACCUCAUGGGGAGUUGAUUGAAUCGAGCCAGCAAGGGCUUGGUCGAGGAAAUUGACAAGCCAUGAGUGCCUGUUCCUGGGGAAUCUAUGGGUAUUGGAGAUUCUGGAUUUUUAGUAUACUCGAGUAUUACCAUCCCUGUUCCUGUUUGGCGUUCGGGCCCGGUAAGGUGUAUGUUUGGUAUACGGGAUUUUGGCGUUAAAAGUGGUGUUCUACUGGACUGGUUCCUUUAUUUGAACGUUGACGGAGGGUUAACGAGACUGGAUCAAGUGUUGCAUCGGGGAUUUGGCUCCUGAGAGCCGCCUGUAUCCUUUAUAUUAUGGUGUUCAUUCAUUUCUCGUAUUUGAUAUGAAUAUGUGCCUUAAAAGUGAUUUCUCAUGAGUUCUACUAUUUCUACUGUUUAUACUUUUGGUGUCUCAUUGAGUUUUUAGCUCACCCCGCCCCGUUAUCCUUGUUUUCCUUAUAGGGAACCAUCUUUUGGACCAAUGAUCAUUUGAAGAACGAAUUGAGCUUGUAUAAAUGCCCUUUUGUAUAGCUCAUCGGAAGUUGGAAACUCUAAAUGUAUCUUAAUACAAUGUUUCCUUUUGGUUUGUAAACUUACUACUGUAUAUAUUUUGAAGUGUUUCCUUAUGUUUAUGUGACCUAUAUUUGGGAAUGUACAUUCUCUCAUGUUAAACAAAGUGUACUUGUACUUGGUUGGAUGGUGAUGUGGUAACUCCUCUUUCAUUUCAUUUUGAUUUUCGUGGGAAUGCUGUACCAAAAAUUGAUUGUAUCUUUUACUUUGACUCAUUUGGAGUUCUUUUGAGCAUUUGGAAGGGUUUACGUAUGUUUUGGAUCCGUAGUCCCGGCGAGAGUUGGGCAGGCGGUCUGCCGAACCCUUUGGUUCGCCUUAGGGUGAGGUGGGGCUGUCACACCUUUCAUGACUAGUAGUUUACUAGCAUUAGGAAACAAGAAAGAAGGAAACUUCAGUAGUUGCCUUAUCUCUUUGUUUUCCUUAUUUGGUGGAAAAACCAAUGAGAUGAGGGACUAGUCAUUGUUUAGAUUAGGGAGAUUCUUCUCUUAUUCAUUUUCGUCCCGAGGCCGCAAGACAGGAGAUAAUUCCUUCUUUGUGCCUUUACUCUUCUUGCGUGAAACAUUUUAGAGUUUUAAGAACAAAAUUUGAUAUUCAUGAAUUCUACUAAUUCACGUGGAAAUUUCUCUAUGAGACGUGGCUAAGUUCCUCAUUUAGUCGAAGGUCAACUUGAAAACUCGGUUCCAAACAUCUGUGAGAUCGAAUUAUUUUACUUAUUUCUUUUAUUCAUUAGUAUUUAUAAGUUUUCUAGUUUAACUUUUUAUAAUUAUUUUGUUAUUUGAAUGUCAAGGGCCCAAUAUUCAAAUUAACCUAAUAACCUAUUGCCAGAUUAAUUGAUUGAAUCUGUAAUUGUUCAAUUGAUUAAUACCAGUGGUGACUAGCGUGAUUGGUUCCAUGUUAGGAAAAUGAAUGAUCUAAUUUAAACAAACCCUCGUAGCAUGUUGUUACUUAGGGUUGGGUUUUCUAAUUCUUAAUGCAAUUUAGAAAUUAAAUCUUACAGUCGUACCUAGGGUUAUUUUUUGAUUAGACAAAUAGUUAAUGGCUGUAUCUUGACUAUCAAAAAAGUAAGGAAAGACAGGUUGUUUAUCGCGUGUAUAACAAUUAUAACCAAUCUAUUAAUGAGUAAUUAAAUUAUCUUUGGAUUGAUGAUCAGUUUAAUAAACCGUAUCUGAAAAGUUGCACCUUUGGCCAGAGUCAUAUUGGUUAUUGCUUAAUUCUUGUUUAUUUCUAUUAGUUAGCUAGUUAGUAAUUUUAUAUUUUCCAAAAAUCCCCCAUACUUAUCCCCAGUCCCUGUGGAUUCGACCCUACUCACCGCUAUGUACUAAAUUUGUAUUUUUCUUGAGUAGGUAAUUAUUAUUGCACAGGCUUGACACUUGUCAUCUUUUCUCCUUAAAGUUGUCUAGUGAGAGUUUUCUUCUCUUCUAAAUUUUUUAGUGGAAUUUUAAUCUCUCCUAAGGAUUCCUAGUAAGAAUUUUUUAUAAUUUUUUCAUUUUUCUUUUAUUACAUUUGAGUUUUUCAGAUUUUGAUUACUAGAUCUGAAAUUUCUUAGAUGUGUUCGGUAGAUCUCUGUGAGGACCGUAAAUUGCCCUAAUUUUAUAUUAUUUAUUUUAUUUCCUCGCCUGCAUAUCUCUUCAUUAUACCCCACUAUUUCGAUUUUUCCAGAGCUUUUAUAAGUGAGAAGAGUUUUAAAAUCAUUUUCCUAGUGUAAGUUAGUUAAUGAGAAAUUAGGAGUUGUAAGGCCCAAAGACAACCUAAGAGGGGGGUGAAUUAGGUUGAUUAAAAUCUUAAUCAAAUUUAUGCACUUUUUUUUUAAUAAAAAUUUACCUUCUUUUCUAGUAAUGAUCAACCAAGUAGAUUAGAAGACGAGAGCAAUAUUGAUCAGAAAAACAAGUAUAGAUAUGCAAUGAGAAUUUUAUUAAACAAAAAGUAAGAUAGAAUAUCAAACCGAUUGUCUACCAAGCUUUCCUCAAACUUGAAGACCAAUGACAAGGUUGAGCAACUUCUCUUUGAUGAAAGAUGAUCAACUAGAUGUACAAUGGAGGGAGCACUUCCUCCUUGCCCUAAGCCUCACUUAGUCAAGCUAAGAAGUUUUACAAUCACUCAGAUAACCCUCAACAAAGCUACACUAAUGAACCUUUCAACCACAAGAGAAAAGCUCACAAGAAAUUCACACCACUUAGAGAACAAAUCUAGCUUUGGAGACUAUUUUCUAGCUAAAAUAUCUCUUGAGAUCUUGUAAACAAAGUGUGCAAAAGUCCUUCCUUGGUUCAGAACAGUUUGUUUUUAAAGGGGACCAAAAAUGGGCUUCAUUAAUGCUUCCAACGGAUAGAAGGCAGAUGAAGAGUCAGCUAGCCGUUGGGGCUUUCGGACGUCCGAUGACCAAAUCAUCGUCCGAACCAAUCGUCCGAAAACAGCCAAGUUGAAGUUCGGACGUCCGAUGAGUUUUUAUCGUCCGACAGCACAGCGUCCGAUCGUUGGCAGAGAGUUGGCAAGUCAUCUUGGAAUUUUUCGGACGUCCAAUGCAGUUGAUAUGCGUCCGAGGUGUGUGUCUGAUCCUUCCGGACGUCCGAUGCUUCCUUAUGAGCGUCCGGCAAAGCUUCCUUCUUGAUGUUCUUUAUUCUUUCGGACAUCCGACAGAUUCCUUUCGGCCGUCCGACAUGAGUGUCCUGUUUUUGCUUCUUCUUUUGAUUGAUUUGCAUUUCAUGACAUAUUCGUACCUGAUUCUUUGAUAGGCAAAAACACUUAUAUUUGAAGAAAGUUAGAUAAACAUUUCAAAGUGCUGUGUGAUCAUCAAAACCAAGAAUAACAAAAUUGUCACACUUAAAAGACAGUAUCUUUGAUCGGAACAAAACAAUGACUAAAUUCGUUUAUAUUAUUCCAAUCUUGUUUGCCACAUCCAAAGCAUCGUAGUCUGGAGUCAAUUGAACAUAUGCUUUCUUUGUUCCAUCAGGCCUGAUCAAAGUGUUCACUUUCUUGGUAUGUAUUUCUUAUAUAAACAUUUCAAAUUACUUUGUGAUCAUCAAAACCAAGAAUAACAGGAGUGAAUAUUGGACGUGGGACCCGCUAGUGCGGAAAGUUCGGUAAAAUUCGGCCAAUUAGGUUAAGUUUUGUAUACUUGGAUUAAUUUACUAGGUGAUAAGAGGUAAUUAAAAGUUACCUAUAUGGAUUAGUAUUGGAGAGACGAAAUGAUAAGUGCUAAAUUUAAUAGGUGCCACGUGUCACUUUUUCAUUCGAGCUUGGACUUUGACCAUUAUUUCGUACCUUUACUAAUACUCAAUUUUGACCCAAACAUCAUAUUGUUUCUACUCCUCUUGGCCGACUCCCUCACUAGAAGAAAAGAAAAGAAAGCUCUCAACUAGUUUCCUCAAUUUCUUGCUUGAAUCUCACAAACCAACCGUUUAAAUUUCAAAAUUCUCCACAAAAGUGAGUUGCUAAACUAGUUUAAAGUAUUGUGUGGAGCCAUUUGUGAAGAACAAGCUCUAGUUGUCUUGUUUCUUGGAGUUACAAAGGUAAGUUGUCAAGGAAAUUCUCUUUUGUCCUUAAUAAUGUGGAAUUGGAGGUUUAUAAAGGUUGAAUAUGUUAGUUUGUGGAUUAUUUCAUGACUUAUGGUUGAGAUAUGCAAAUUUUCCUAUUUAUUGAGGAUUUUCUAUUUUAAUAUAUAAAUUAUUGUUUAGUCAUGGAUCAAUGGUUUGUUAUGGUGUAAGAUGGAGUGGGUAUGUGUUGGAAAUGAUUGGUUGUGAAAAAUUGUGGGUUUGAAGCUAAAAUUCCAGAUUAGGGUUCCAAACAGGCCUGUUCUGUCUGGAUUUUUUUGAGCAUGCUAGAGACCGAAUUAGCCUUAGGUUAAAACAUAAAAGUUAUAGAGAAUAAUGUUUUAUAGUUUCCUGUAAAUUUUCAUCCCAAUCUGAGCUUGGUAGCUUGUGAAAAAUUGGAAAUACCCAGACUGGCCUAGGUAGGAGUUCAGCGAACAGGGUUGUCAUUUCACCAAAUCUGACCGUGACUUUUCACCCUGAUCCUUAACGAAUUAGAUUUUGGCCAAAACAUGAAAAUUGUAGCCAAUGGUACAAAUUAGUUUCCUGCAAAAUUUCAGCUCGAUCCUAGCACUGUAGCUUGUGAACUGACCGAAAUACCCUUGACUGUCCUUGAACCCUAUUUCGCGCCCAGAUUUCUAUUUUCGUGGAGUUUUCAAUUUGUGACUAUGAAAAUGCAUGAUUUGGCCUUGAAGGUCUUCAUAAGGAAUGUAGGUAUAUGUCUUAGCUUUCCAACGCCCCUGGAAUCACCUCGUUUUGAUUUCGGUAGCCUGAGUUAUUGUCAUUUACGCAUAAGGCGGUUAGCCAGCCCGAAUGUGAGAUUCUAGUUCUGUGAAUGGCAAUUUUGACUUAGAUACACUACAAACUGGACUGAGUGUUCUUCAUCAAAGUUUUAGCUCCUUGUCUUAGUUUCGAAACGGUAUAAAUUGCACCCCAAUCCGAUAAGCGUAGCUUCAGUCGUGUCUGUUCCGUUAAGAGACACCAAACCUGCUAUUUAACUUUUGUCUUUAAAAACUUGAUUUCUAGUUGCAUUCCAGGGCUUGCUUUGUGUUUGGAUGAACUUGAGCCUAGUUGAAGGGCUAUUGUAUUGAGAUUUCUUAUGUGUUGAAUUGGACUGACUUGAGGAAAGACAAUGAAGCUAUGAUGGCUGGAAAAGUAAGCAAAUUUAGGGGGAAUGCUGUCCAAUUUUCUAGGCCGUUUGGUUCCUUUAAGUUUGAGUUGAUCUUAGUAAAAAUGAAGGGAUUUGAGGGUUGUUUGUAACCCUAGGACCAACUGUUACCUUUUGCUCAAUAGUCAUAUUUUAUUCUUCUGUACUAGUACUUAACCUGGAAAGACGUACGACAUGUAAUCGAGCCUCACUUGUACAUUCCGUUCACUCGAUUUUGGAUGUGAAACUUUCAAUUGUUUGACUUUGAUGAUUUUAGGGUUUCUUGGCGAUUAAAGCCAGUUUGAAGUGAAAACUUUUGAAGUAUCCGUACUUGAACUGGUGAGUGUACCACUCCCCUCAUUUGUUGCUUAACUUGGUUUCUGUACAUGCACUCUGUGAUUUAAUUAACUGUAUUAUCUGUUUAUUCCGUUUGAGACGAGGGUGUACUUUAUCACACUCGUUCUCUUGUCUGUUUGUCUGCCUAUCUAUUGUGUAUAUUUGAAUCUGAUAUCUAUAUUUGAGUCUGUUUGGACGUCGUUUGGAGGAUUGUAUCCAACGACCUUUCUUUAUAAUGUUGUAUUUUUUUAUUGUUCUUCAUAUCUGUAGUAUCCUUUCUUUAGAUCUAUUAUUUUAUAUUUGUAUAUAUUUGAUAAUAUAAUUUCUACCAUUAGUGUAAAUUUUAAUGAAAAUAUGAUAUUUUAUUAAAAAAAAUCAUCUUUGAUCAAAACACAAACGGAAAUUCUUUGCAGGUCAUUAUUUUUCUCAAUCUCACAAAAAGUAAAAAGAAAGCUUCUCAAGCCUUAGGUUCCGUUUCAUAAAACUGAAUCUGAAACUGAAUUUUGAAGUUUGAAUUCUGAAAUUUGAAUACUGAAACAAUUAAUUUGCUGAAUUUUAAACAUUGAAAAAAUAUAUGAAUGUCUGAAUUUUAAUACUAAACCUAUUUCUACUAUUUGAUAAAUAUUUAUAGUUGGAUGCUUAAUAAGUUUAAUUUGACAAUUUUGCCAUUAUAUCCUUUCAUUCAAAAAAGAAAUAGAAUCUAUAAUUUAAUUAGUUUAAAAUUGUUAGGUAUGAAAAUGAUAAUAUUAUUUUUAAAUCAAAUUAAUAUAAAAGAUGAAAUAUAUUAUAUGAGGAGUAUGGAGAAGAAGUGAAAGUCAUUAAAAAGGGAGAAAAGAAAAACUAAAAAUCGGUAGAUAGAUAAUAUUAUGUUGUUUAAUUAGAUAAGAAUUUUGAAUAUAAUUAACAAACAAGGGUAAAUUUGGUAGAUGAGAUAAGGCAGUUAAAGUAAUUCUAUUGAUUCUUAUCAGAAUUAAGCAUUCAGUUAGGAUUCUUGUGCUGAAAAAAAUACACACAGGUUCAGCACUGCUUAACAAGUUCAGGAAAUAGAUUUUCAUUUAUCAAACACUCAAAAUAUCUGAAUGUCUGAAAAAAUUCAGAUUCAACACUUUUUUAUAUUAUCAAACAGACCCUUAGUGGACUUACUAGCAUAUGUACAAUAGGUUAAUGUUUUGAAUUAUUCAUAUUGUUGUUCUAAAUAUAUUUUUCUCUUUUUAUUUGGUUUGGAAGAUAGUGGAUGGAGGGUGGCAGGGUAAUUAAUUUCUCAUUGGCAUUUCAGCUUAUUUUUUUGCUUGACCUUUCGUCAUCAUGUAUUAAGCCAUUUCUGGAUCUUUAUACUUCCCCAAACAAAAAUUUGAAAUGUUAACUUUAAAAAUUAUCACAUUAACAUAUUCUUUUAUUCUAUCUUUCUCAGUAGAUAAUUUUACAGAAAAUCAACUUUGCCUACUAAAAAAUCUCACCUAUCUGAUGCAUUAGCGUUCAAAUUUAGAUAGACGUGAAAACAUUAAAUUAAAUGGUAUCAUUGAAUUGCUUCAAUCAAAACCAUCUGGCAAAGUGCAUCAGUGGCCAUUAAAUUUUCAUGAAUGUCUCUUUUCGGCCAUCCAUUUUUUUUUUUUCAUUCAAGAAAGUUCAGUAACUAGUAAUACAGUUUGGCUAAAAUUUUAGCAUACUAUGUACGUUAGUUCAUGUUAAAAAUAGUUUUUAUCCUAAAACUGCAUGGUUAAAGAAUUACAAGACUAAAGAUAGAACACUUGAUUUAAAUUCCCCGUUUUGUGUGUGUUGUGCAUGGUUGAUCAAAUAUACCUUAGAGGAAGAGGCAGCUUAGGGAACAAAUGAGGUUUUCUUAAAUCUUCUGGUUGAGUGAUCAUGUAUAACAUGUCAGCCCAGUCAAGCUUUUGCUCCUUUGAUUUGACAAAGGCUUGCCCAUAUCCUUCUACAUCUCCUGGUUCUUGACCAUAUUUGUUCUUUUCAACCAUCGGCAGAUUGAAAAAAUCUUGAACUUCUGAUUUCAAUUUCUCCAGCAAUGAAGAGCUAACUCCAUGAUUAAUCAGCUGCUGACAGUUAUUCUCAUAGGUAAUAGUGUCUGGAUGGAACAACACAUAAGCAUAUGUAUACUUUCAACUGAUUUGCCCUCGUAAAAUUCAGGUAAAAGAUGAUUAAGUCAUCAACGGAUUCAUUUUUCAUAGGACUUUGAUUUCAUUUGAAGAUUAUUUCUUUUUUUUUUUUUUGAUACAAAAAAAAGUAGGAUGGUCUCAAACCUUAAAAAAGGUAACCAUAAAGUUUUGGUCUAGUGGCCACCAAGGGGAAUUUAAAGUUCAUUUCUAGGAUGUUGGUUAGGGUUCAAACCUUACACAAAAUCGACGGUUCAAACAUCGAAAUAACAACACUUGAUAAUUUAGUUUUGUAAAAAAGUUGUAUAAUCAAACUAUUUCAAAUAUACAAUAGCUUGUCACACAAAUAUAUGUUUGUCAUACAUUCAAUCCUUGUAUAUAUACCUGGAAAAAACCACCCCACUCCUUGCAAGCAGAAUGCAGCUUCUGAAGCUCCAAAUCAAUUAUCUCCAUAGCAGAACUAAACAAGCAUUGCAUAUCCACAACUGGUAUUUGGUGGAAAGAACCACCGUUAGAGAUGGUUGGAUAUUGGUCUUUGUCAGGGCAUAUGUAACCAGUUGGAACAGAAGAGGGAUUUUCCUUAGCCAACUAUUGGACAAAAGGAACUUUUAGAGAUCCCCCAAGCUUUCUUGUCUUCAGAUCCAUGACUGUGGUUCUUUUCAACUUCAAAGCUCUAAUUUUUGUAUCUAUCCACUGAAUCCCUAGUAUAUAUAUAUAUAUAUUUUUUUUUUUUGCACCAGAUGUUUCAUUAAUCCAACAUUGUUUAUGUGAGAACCUGAAAAUUUUUUUAUUCUUAUCUUAUUUUUCUGGUUUAUUUAAAUAAUUAUUUACCCGUUUUCUCCGAAUAGUUUAUUUCAACCAUUUUAAAUCCAUUUACAUGGAACAAUGUCUCAAUUAUAUUUUUAAAACGUCCUGUUAGUAAAUUUAAAUUUUCUGUGGUUUGUUUAGCAAGAAAUAGCAAAUACACAUUUUUCGAUGUAAUAUUCGAUUCGAGAGUACAAUUAUCUUGAAAAAUUAAGAAUGAUCAAUAGUAGACUAAGAAAAGUUAAUUGAGGGAUUAGAGGUGAGUGAGUUCAAAAAUUUCACCUUAUUGCGUGCGAGUAGAAAGUUCGCGCAUUGCGCGUAGGUACGAUUAAGUGGAGAUUUCAAAAAGUUAUACCAGACUCAUAAGAGUGAGUAAAUACAGUGUUAAAAGAAUUACAGUUGAGGAUUGGUGUACAAGUGAAAGGCAUUACGUACUACUUGGAGAUUAGUUCUAGAUUCGAGAAAGGCAUCAUCUUGUGGAAUUUCUUGGAGGUUUUGUGGUGAAAAAAUUUCUGGUAUUAUCUAGGGUUCAAGAGGUAACCCUUUACCUUCUUCAAUCUUUCUAAUUUCUUCAAGAAUGAAACUUAGUUUGCAUGGGUUUACAACCCUAAACAAGAAAUAAGUUAGAGGACUUGAGAAAUUUCAAUUCUUAUUUUAAUCUGUAAGCUAGCGGUUUUGAGGUGGAUUAUAGGUAGUUGACUUGAGAAUUAAAAUGCUUGAUUGUUGUGUUUAUGUGUUAUACAAGAGAUUUAUGGUUAGAAUCUGGAGAGAAAGUUCGAAGAGGUGUGAGAUGUGAGCUGGCCGAAACUGUCCUGUGGUUAUCAUGCUUGCAUUUUGAAUUUUUGUCGGUUAUUUGACUAUGAAAUGGAUGGAUAUAUGUUGUAUAUUUGUUGUACAAAGUGCCUUGCGAAAAUUAGUUCAUUUGGUUGCACAAAACUAUAGUUUUCGAAAAUGGAAGAAAUCUGGAAUUUAUGAUCAGGAGGUCCGGACAGUAGCUCUUUGUUCGAUCAUAACUUGUUGUAUAAAAGUUAAAAUAGAGUACCAUUUGCGGCAUUUAAAACUAGACAUUUAUAGCUUUCUAACGGUAUAAAAAUCACCUACUAGUUCGAACUGAGUGAACUGUAGUGAUUUAACAAAUUGGCUGUCCUAUUGUGACUCUCUGUCCGAGAGGAAUAGAGAAGCUUUAUAUUCUGGCUUAAUUUUCUAUUACUGGUGAACUGAUUUUGAAAUGAACCUUUCUGAUGAAAUGUUGCUUUUGAACCUAGUUUCCAACGCCAUGAACCAUUCCCAAUUUGAGUUUGUAUUGAGUGAGAUGUGGUCUGAUUUCAAAAGUGCAACAAAGCAUGAAACUGGUUUUGGGAUGUUUUGCUCGAAAAUUUUUGUGUCAAUUGCUUAUAAAAUGUUUCUGGAACCUUGGUUUCAAAAAUGGAGUGAUUUGGGAUUGAUUUCAUUGGACAAAAACCUUUGGAAAGAAAGAAAGAGUGAGUUGGCAGAUUUGCUUUGACAAUUUCAUAAACUUUAGUUGUUUUGUUAACUGUCUUCUCGUUUGAGUUUUUGCCUAUAAUUUGAUAGGGAGGAAGUCCACAUAUGGAAGUUUAAGUGUAACAAAUUUAGUAUAAAUUCAAUACCAUUUCAAUAUCCAAAUGAUGCCUCAAACAUUGCUCUUCAAAUUUGGAAAUUCACUGUUCGAGUAGUGAAAAUUAACCGAUUUUAGGCUAUUAUAUCUUGAUGAUCGAAACUCCGAAUUUAUUUCUGUUUGUUGGAUUUGAAAUCUUAUUUGAAACUCUUAUUGUGUUAUGAAUUUCAAAGACUGAUUCAUUUUCUAUGAAUUUUGGCGAAUUUCCAAAAAUGGCUGAAAAACCAAGACUGGUUCAAACUUGUCCUCUUGGAGCUGAAACUUUGAGUUGAAAAAUGAGUGCUUUUCGUUUAGAAUUUUGGAAAAGUAUCUUCUAGGAACUUUAAGUACUUUGGAUCUAGUUUCCAACGGAAUAAAGUUUUUCCACAUUUGGAUGUACCGAACUCAAGAUCUGAUUUUACCAAGUUUAUCACAUAAAACUGAAAAUUCAUGAUUUCUUGGAAAAUGAGCUUUUGAGAACUUUUCGUUGUCUUUUGAUAUCGAUCAUCCGUUUUAAACUCAUCUUCAUGGAGGAUGCAAGUUUCUCUUGUGAAUUUAAAUCCUCACUUUUGAAUCUCGAUUUUUGAGAUAUUAAAGUUCUUUUACAACAUUAUCUUAGUAUUGCGCACGUAUGCAUUCUUUCUUGUUUGGCAAGGGAUUUGUAAGUAUUUGUGAGUGAUAGAUAAUUGUCAUUUUUUCAGGCGCUCAAGAGGAUCUUGAAGAGAAUCUCGAAGCGACCACAAAAGACUUAUUUGCUCACUUACUCACUUUUUGACUUGGUGAGUGUCAAGUGUAUGGAGUGUUGCUACAUGCUUAAAUGUUCUCAUUAAUUGAGUAUUGUGAAAGUGCGGAGUCGAGUAUGUACUUUACCGCACACGUUCUCUUUUAAAUCAAUUAUAUAUUGAAUUAUAUGAAGUGAAUUUGCUAAGUGAAUAAAGUGAAGUGUUGCAAUAGUGAAUCAUACUAUGUUUGAAUCAAUGUCGAUUGGAGUGAAUCUCAUCGACUUAUAUUGAUAAUAGUGGGGGACGCCCAAACUCAUCGGCCGAUUUUACGAUUCGAGCCGGCAUGGUCUUGGUCAUGAAUUUUAGUGAGCCAUGAGAAAAAAAUUGUAUAAAUUUGAUCUAUUUGAGAUAUCUCAUUUGGCAUACUCGAGUAGUAUUGCCUUAUAUAAUAGAAGUGCAGGCCCGAAGCAGGGGGUGUGACAGUGAUCGGAAGUGCAAAGUAAAUGGGAUUCUACGGACCUAUAAUCUACCCGGUUGACGGAGUUAUUAGCUCGUGGAAAUAUUGGAUCGAGCAUUGGCAGAGCAAGUGGAAUAUAACUCUUGAGAGAUUCCGUAUCCUUAUCAAGUAUGUUUUAUUGUUAGUUGUGAACUACUUAAAUGUUAUAGCUAUAAUUCUCAUAUAAGUGCUAUCGUUAUUUGAACUAUGUGUUUUGCCUGUUUUUCUUGGCUUCACUGAGCAUUAGCCCGUCUCAUUAUAUUUGUUUUCCUUAACAGGAGCCGAAAUAGAAAGAAUUAUGGAGAAUUCGACUUGAUACACUUUUGAUUAGGGUUUUGAAUGUAAUUGAUUAGAUGACUUUUGAAAGUUGUGUAUUUGGGGAAAGUGAUGUACUUGGUAUCUUGUAAUGUAGGAAUUGAAUACUUAUUAAGGAAGCGACCUUUUCUUUGUCAUUUUGACUAUUAUUGUUGAUUGUUAUCCAUAAGUUUGAGUUCGUCUUGUAGUGAGUCCUAGCAAGAGUUAGGCAGGCGUCCUGCCGAUACCCUUAGGUUCACCCUUGGGAGAAGUGGGGGCAUCACAGUUGGUUUCAGAGUUUAGGUUUUAAGAUUUUUGUAGUGUAUCUUUGGCCAAUUGUUUAGGAUAUCGGACUGUGGGAUUUAAUUGUGUGUUAAGUGCAAUGUGUUUUUGGUGCUUGAUGUUUUAACGAGUACUAUUGAAGUGUUUGUGUUUAAUUAGAAGGAUGUUGAAUACUAAUGUUUUAUUUUUGUUGGAGUUAAAUCCUUAUACGUUUAUAAUUUAAUGUCUUGGGACUUAAUUAUCCAUCUUAACGAGGGGCGGUUACUAAAAAAAGAAUUUUCUCUCUCGGGUUUCCUGUUUUAGAAAUUUAGGGUUCUCUGGUUCCUCGUGCAUGGCAGCCGCGGCUGCCCCCUCAUCUCAGGGUGGGGGUCUGUCUUCUUCCCCAACGUUUAAGAAGAAGGCGUUUUCUGCUUUGUUCCAAGAUCGGUCGCCAUCGGAGGUGGUGAAGGUCCAGGCGGCUGUCUCUACCCAUCGUGGAGAGCCUGCGGUGGUCUUCAAUGCGGCAGAUAUUGCUGCUAUGGCGUCGCCGUUCCGUUUCACGUUGGUUGGGAAGUUUUCCAGGGGCCGUCCCCUUUUGCCUGAAUUGCGUAAGUUUUUCUCUACGCUUGAUCUAAAGGACUCAGUGUCUGUUGGUUUAUUAGACGCUAGACAUGUUUUGCUGCGAUUUAAUGGAGAGGCAGAUUUUCUUCGUGUAUGGGCAAGAAAUGUGUGGUAUGUUCAUGGGUGUCCUAUGCGGGUUUUCAAGUGGAGUUCGAAGUUUCAUGUUGAUAGGGAAUCGUCCCUAGUUCCUGUUUGGUUCAGAUUACCCAAGCUUCCUAUCCAUUUGUUUGCCAAGCCUUGUUUGUUUCACAUUGUCUCCUGCCUGGGGAACCCGUUGUUUGUUGAUGCGGCAACAUCGUCUUUUAUCCGUCCGAAUGUGGCGCGGGUGUGUGUGGAGGUGGAUCUGCUGAAGUCGCUUCCCUCUAGAGUUUGGGUAGACAUGGGGGAUAGAGAUGGAUUCUGGCAACCAUUGAUCCCUGAGAGCCUUCCAAAGUAUUGUGGUUUUUGCUAUCGUCAUGGGCAUGAGGAGGGCCUCUGCCAUGUGAAGUUCCCAGAGAUGCGAAUGUCGAAGGGGCCGACUCAGAAGGUCCAUGUUAGUGCUGUAGAAUUGGAUGAGGGGGGGAAGUUGAUUGCAUCUUCGAAGCCUCUGGCGGGUGCAGGGGAGUCUCUAGAUGCGGCUGAUGGCAGUGGGGCUGCUGUGUUGCCUGGGGUGGAGGAGCCCUCUGUGGUGUUGGAGGGAGCAGUUUCAGGGAUGGGCUCUGAUGUUCCGUUAUUCCCUGCAUCUGAAGGUGCGGAGCAGAUCACUUUGGCUCAAUCCCAACAACCUGGGCUUGCAGGUGCGGUUGCGACGCGGGCAUUAGAACGAACCAAGUUGUGCUCGGAUGCUCCGCUGUUGCCUGCGACUGAAGGUGCGAGUGCAAAGCAGAUCAUUUCUGCACAGCCUCCACAGCUUGGGCUUGAACGUACGGUUGUGACAAGGGGUGAGUUAGAAUCGGGUUUGGGGUCAGCUGCUGCACCAGUUUUGACAAUAGAUUUGGGAGUCCUGCCUGCCACUCCACCGUCGUCCCAGGUUCGGGUGGCGGAGCUGGUGGAGGAGGCCAUUGUUUCCGCUGCUGACAACCUUAUUCACAGGUUGGCUGAUCAAGUAAUCGAUAACUCUGAUGAGUCGUCUAUAGGGGCUGACCUGGAAUUGGGGGAGCUUCGGGGAGGUGAUCUUGAGCUGGCGGGUUCAGUGGAGCAGGUCAGGGUGGAGGUGAGGGAGCAGCAGGGGGCUAUGGUCCACCUCACCACCUUAGCUACUAACACCCUUCUGGCCAAUGAAAAACCCUCUAGGAACCCAUCCCACUGGCAAGGCAAACGCGCGAUCCCUGGAAAGUGGAUUUGAGCUAAACUUUGCAAUUCGGAACAGAUAGACACCCGAACCUGCACCCCAGAAACCUUGCACCCCUCAAACUUGGAUGCAUUCCUAGCACGCCAUAAGAACCAUAGAAUAAGGACCGGAAGAAUCCGGGACACCCAGCGGAGCGCCCUCCCUUUAACAGGAAACAUCCACCAAUCAGAACAUCGAGACCUAACAGUCACACCUCGUGCAGACACUCCUAAGGAGCGCUCAAAGAACCUCCAAGUCUCACCCGCCAAGAGACCAGUAGAGAACACAUGCUGCAACGUUUCACCUUGGGCCGGCAAGCAACAUUGACACUUAGAUGGACCAUGAAUCUGGAAUUUCUGCAGCACAUCAUCCACUGGCAGAUGGCCAUAUAGUAAACGCCACAUGAAGAAGGAAAAUAAUUUAAUGUCUUGCGGACUUUACUCUAAAGGUGAUUCCAUCUCUUUAAGUUGUUCUAGAGUUGAAGACUUGAAGCAACCUUGAUUUCAAAAGUUUCUUGAUAUUGGGGCACUAUUUUGUUCACAUAACACUAUAAGACUUUAAUGUUCGAGUUGUGUUGGAGGUGAGUCAAGAUUAUGAAUUUUAAAUGGCCUUCUGAUGAGUUUAAGGAUUGGACACCUUGCUUCAUCCACUAUUUUGCUUGUCGAAUUUCGGCAGAAAAUUUUAAUCAUUUGAAAAAUUUUGGAAUUCACUUUGAGUUUGAAAAUGAGACAUCUUUUGCAUUCCCUUUUGAUUUGACUUAUUAUCUUAGCCUGUAUAGGAACUUUCAUCUUGAAUUUAGUGAGGAAAGUUUGCAUUCAUUGGAAGUUUUAGGCUAAGAACUUAGAAAGUAGUUUAGGAUUUUGAAUGAAAUUUGGAAUUUAUAAUUAUUCGAAUGAUAUGGCCUAGUAUCGUGGAUUCUUUUAGUUUUGUCCCGAACUAGAAUUAUGAUUUUCCUUUUUUCGAUCUUGCCAAGGAUAGUAGGAGUGGUGCAUGCCGUGGUGCCUUUUGUAUUUUGCCUGCAUGUACUCCUAUAUUUUGAAACACUUAGUUGCCUAUAUCCUGUAUUUGAUAUAUUUGGCUUGUUUUGUGAUUUCCCGACUCGUACUAUGACUUUUGGUAUAUGUAAAGAAUCAUGCUUUUAUUCUAAAUAUUUUUACAACUUGUAUAUGCAUUAAGUUCUUAUAUGCCUAAUUAUUCAUUUUCUUACGCUUAUAGACUUGUACUAAGUAUAGAUCGGUGAGGACGAGAAAAGGGCCAUGAGCAUGGGUUUAGGCAACCCUGCACUUCUGAGAAAGAUGAGGAAUCACAGAAAGAAAGAUUGAUGGAUAGUCUUAUGUAAUUCAAUGUGAUCCUAGUGUUGGAUAUGAAUCGAAAAUGAAUGAGAAGAUUAGACCUACCAGUAUUAUAAUGGAUUGACCUAGUUGGGUACCUAAUGAGGUUCUCCCCUGUGAAGUUUUGAUAAUUGUUCUACACAUAUCUUGUGAUUGGUUCUGUGGACAUGUUUUAAACUUUUAUGAACGUUUGAACUCCCAAAGUAUUGCAUUGGUUAUUCAUGAGGUGAUUUGAACUCAAUUCCUAUUUGUUUUAACUGAAUAAAAGUAUUUUCAGACUCUGCUUGACUAUUACUAUAUAUAUAUCCACUUACCUGUUGUUCUUUUUCCACAAAUAUUUAUAUAUAUGUACAUACAUUUUGAACCCGUAUGAGAAUCGAAAAUCAGGCAGAGAUUAGGUUCGGAUAUUAUCUAAGGUGUAAGAAUGAAAAUUUAUUGUGAAUUAGAGAGUAAAGAUGAUCGAUGUGGCGACCCCACUUUCCCCUAAGGCGAACCAGAGGGUUGGCGGGCCGUCUGCCUAACUCUCGCCAGGACUCACGCAAGCAAGCUAGCAAAAAAAAUCCUUCCGAAGUAUAACCUAAUCUAUUACAACAUCGUUUCCCUCCAAAUAAGCCGGUUUCUAGAAUCACAUUAACUUCAGAGAUAACAGUGCCUUAAGAUAGCCAACGUCAAUUCUUAAAAUACCUUCCCGAAUACAACCCAAGAAACAAAACAUCAAUUCAAAUACAUCCUUACAAGCCAAGUAACAAAUUCAUACAAGCCAUAUACAAAUCCAGGGUUUACACCUUUCCAGCUUCAAGUGGCAACCUAAGGCAAAACUACAAUGUUUAACUCGAAUUACAUUCAUGAAAGUAAACAAUCUAGUACUACUUCCGAGCACCUUUGGUCUCAAAUCCUGUAAAAGAAAAUCACAACGUGGAAUGAGCUACACAGCCCAGUGAGGUUCCAAGACACUCUAACAGUUCAAACAAAUCAAGAAAGUUGUGCAUGUCAUAUGCAUGGUGCGAGGUUACACAAUGGCAGGUUAUCAUAAGGUGAUAAUCAUUACUCGGAUAAUUGCUACUUUGAAAACACAUGUAGUAGUAGUACUUUUGCUGGUAACUUUACUAUGAGUACAACUCAUAAAUUAUCUAAAAUCACUAACGUAUUUUUGAAAUGAAUGACCAUAUAAAUAUAUUUUCAUGAAUUUUUAGUCAAACAAAUAAUGGCUCGUCUGACUAGAAGAACAUUACAAGGAUUGCUUCAUCUCAGAGAUUAAUGCUCAUGAGGAGUCUUACCCGAGAAGUGUCAACUAGGAGAGCAAUAACAUUAUUAAUAGCAAAGCAAGCACAAAAGGAUACAGUACUCGGUCCACUUCCCGUCCUUAUAACUCCGAUCGGUAACUCCUUCGAUUGACUGGCCAUCACCUUAUCCCUCCAGUGGUAGUACUUGAGUAUAUCGAAACGGUUGUCCAGGGUUCCAACCUACCCGACCGAGCCCAGUCCUGGCUCGAGUAGGUCAGUAACCGAGGCAGGGCCCAAGUUCAGCUUAUAGCUUACAACAUGCACAGGUAACCAAGUAAUUCGACAAAAAGUAAAAUCCAUCAUUUGAAUAGGUCGAGUGAGGUAAAGUACACACUCGCCUAACAAUGAUGGACAACUUCAUAUAACAUGUGAUUCAUGAUAAUCAAGUAAUCAAGUGGAUACUUAGCACGUAAGCACGUAAGCAAUACAAGUUGAUUUCAUGGGAGCGCAUGUAAUUCACGGAUAUCGAAUAAUCAUAUAGAUUAGAAAUCAUGUGAGCAAAUAGUCAGGUAAUCAAGUAGUCAUGUGGGUUGGUAAACGGUUCACGGUUAACUGUUAACGGUUGACGGUUGAGUAAUGACGGUUAUUUGGCAGGCAUUUGCCAUAUUAAUAGGCCAUCAUUGGCCGUUAUCCCAUUUUUACCAUGUGAGAGUCGAGGAGAUUCACUCCAACGACGUAUGCAACCAUAGCAUACCAAGUCAUGUUAUUCGAGCAUUUUCAAGCAUGGUAUGGUAAAUAUUUAACACAUAGUACUUAACACUUAGAAAUCAUGAAAUGAGCAUGUCCUAGACUUAUUCCAUUACGUAUUCCUAUAUGGAACACUCACCUAGUCAAACAAGCGCAAUAGGUCUCAAACAAGCGUUUUAGGCGUCCGCUCCGAGUUCCUCUUGGAGAUCUCCUCGAUUGCCUGAGCAAACAAUAAUGCAAGUACCACUCAAUAUCGCUACGAAUUCUCUAGUUUUCGAUGAAGAUUGUACGCUAGUGCAAUCUAAGAAAUUAAUGCGGAGACGAGCCUAAGAAUUCGUGUAACUCGAGGUUCAAAAGUGGGGUUUUAAAACACAAGACAAAUCUGAUUUCCAUCUCUGGAUUCAAAUGUAAAACAACCAAAUGAUAUUGAAAGAAAUGAAGAGUUCGAAACCCCUUAGUUUCCUUUAAGUUAGAAAAUUCCAGAUUUAACAAGUAAUCUUUGAAAAAUCAUAUCUUACUCUCUACAACCCCAAAAUUGGAAAACUUGGUACUAUUGGAAACCUCUUUGAAAGUACUAAAAGUUCCUAGAAUACACUUUUCCAUGAUUCUAAAUGGAAGAUAGUCAAAAAAGGCAGAUUUAAGUUGGUUUUUGGCCAACUUUGAAAAUUCGGGAAAAUUCACUUGAUUAGAACUAGCCUUUUAAAUUUGAUACUCUUUUAGAGUCGUAAACCAAGUUUACAGUAAAACAAGCAGAAUGAGAAACGGAGUUUUGAGCACCAAGGUACGGUAGCUCAAAGUUACUAAAAGUUUCUUGUUAAACAAGGGUUUUCCAAAAUCAGGUCUCGAACUUUGGUAAUUUAUUUGACCCAUGAUACGGCUCAGAAUAACACCAUAAUUAGCAGUAUAAUACUACCAUAUAAGGGUUAUUCCUCUGUCAAAUUUCAUAGAAAAAUAUGCACGGAAAGUCACUUAACAAAAUCACUCAAGUUUCCAAAAUUUUAAGGCAAGGUUGCCUUGUGUAUGAAAAUUUCCUUUUCUAAACUUUUGACCAAGAGAAAAUCCUCUAAACAUGGUUCAUUUGUUGAGGCAAAAUCUAAAGAACAUUCAUGGUACCUUUGGUGGGUGUUUAACACCAAGAAAUUAAUUAUCAAGUCUAAACCAAGCCUUGCAUCAAAUCUGUCUAAAAAUCAGGGUUUUCAAGAGCAGGUUUCAUAUUUUGAUCACAGUCACUCAAAUUAACUCGGAAUUUGGCAUGGUUUAUGGCAUUGGAAAACAUAGUCAUAGAGCUAUAAUUUCACAGAAGAAAUCAUUUUGAAAUUCGGCACACAACUAGAUCGAAUUCGAGCCACAAGUUGUAGCCUCAGCAUUUUGUUCUUGUAAAACAGAGAAACAGAGUAGUCAUCUUUAAAUGGUUGGUUCGGCUCACACACAUGGAACCAGAACAUACAUUUUAUACCGUUGGAAAGGCUGGGAUAUCUAGUUUCAAAUGCCGCUGACGGCACUCGAUUUUGACAUUGGAGCACAGAGUUAUGGCCGAAAUACAAAAGCGGGUCAGAGUAUUACGAAAACAGUUUUCCAGAUUUACUGGCUUCACGAAAUUGAUCCCAUUGAUCAACCAAACCUCAAUAUUUUUCAAUGAAACUUUGUACACCAUAUAUUCAACAUAUAAACAUGAUAUAUAAGUCAUGAAACCCUCAAAAUUCUGCAAAAAGCGGCACGAUUGAAACAGGACCAACCUGAACAUUUUUGAACUACACAUCCCUUGAAGUCGAGACUAGCUAGGUAUCAUUAAUCUACCCAUUUAAGCACUAAACUAGCAUUAUAUCCCUCAUCAAUCAUUAAUCCAAGGGUGGGAGUUCAUAGAGCCCACCAUCAAAAUUUUCCGACAUGAAAUAAAACAAAUAACAUGUAAUUUUGGCAAAUAAUCCCACCACAAUAAAUCUGUCAUCGGCUAAACAGAAUUUCCAGCAGCUAAUUGGUCAUAAAUCCAACUUUUUACUCGGCUAAUACAUGAUAUUAAGUACUCAAAUCCGACAAGCAAAUACUUGACUAGCUAAUCAGAUCAUCCAAGUCAUUGUGGGAAUUCAUAGAGCCCACUCACCAAGUUUCCAUUAAAACUCAAAAGAGCCACCAUCGGCUAAGCUGGAAAAAAAAAAUUGCAGCAGCUAUGUUUCAACAUUUUUUGGUCAAUUUAUCCAACGGAUCAAGUACUUUACAACUGAAUAUCUUACAAGACUUAAGACACAUAUAUUUCAUGCAUUUCUAAACAUUGUUUGCUAAUGAAAAAAAUUCCAGAAACAACUGCAAAUUCUGGUUUCACUCCCUUGGCAAGUCACGUAAAUUUUCCAGCAUUUACUCAGUCAUAAACAAAAUUUUCCUUCGGUUAAAACCUUGUAUUUGGCACUUAAAUCUCACAUGCACAACUACUGAACUAAUUAGCUAGCAUUUCCAGUCCAGAUUCAGCUCGGUUGUUACCAAAAGUUCAUCAAUCAACCAGCAAGUUGUUCGGCCACUCUCGGAUGAGCUUGCAGGCAAGCCGAUUCUGUUUCAUCUCUUCUUUUCUAGCUUAAUCCGAACUAACUAACUUCAUGCAAGACUUAAUCACCUAGUUCUUAGUUAGUUAACAACAUUUAAAAGCUCAGAUUACUCCAAAGAAACAAGAUUAAAGCUGCAUUUCUGUUUCAGCUUCUCGGCAAAACUAUUUUCAUCAAAAAUCAGAUUUUCCUUUUCUUUGAUUUCCUCAUCCGGACAAUCCAACCUCACAUGCAAGUCCAUAUACAGCUUAAUCUACCUAUAAUCUCUUGGUUUCAGUCUAGAGAUUACCUCUACUGGAAGCUUACUCACGCGGCAGAAGCUGAAGUUGUCUUACUCUCCUCACGGCUAACUCACGCACGCGAUGGAUGAUUGGCUGCUGUCUUGGUUGCCAGUGGUUGCAGGUGUGGUGGUGUUGCGGUUGGAGAUGGAUUGCAGCUGGUUGAAGUGGAGGUGGAGAGUGCAGCAGCAGCUCACGCACUGUCUCUUCCCUCAAGCUCAUGGACAGAACAGAAGACUCGCAGCUCGCACGCUUCCUUUCUUUUCUCUCGGAUUGCAGAGUGCGGCUCAGUCUCUCCCUCUCUAUCUCAGUCGAUGUUAACGAGGUGAAGGUGGAGUGUGGUCUGAGGUGAAUUGUUGCAGAAGAGGUGGAAUGGAGUUGCGGUAGUGGUUUGUGGUAUAGAAAUGAAGAGGGAGAAAGGUGGUGCCGCGGUUUUGAGAAGGGGUUGAGUGUAGGAGUGGUAAAAGUUUUGCAUUGGCCGGUUAGGGUGGUGGAGUUAAAUGUUGUCCAGAAAUUUUGAUGGUUUUGCAUGGUAAUUUGUGAGGUAGUGGAGGGUAUUUUGGACUUUUCACUUUUCCUUCUAAUGACCACUUAAGCCCUUGAUUCGAGCAUAAUCUCACGAAUUAUCCCCAUGCGUGAUUUAAACUCCUAAUAGUGUACUAAUCUCGCGAGAGUUUCGAUUAUCGAAAUUUAUCGAUUACAAUUUAAUAUUAAGGUUCCUAGUAAUUCCUAACAUUAUUACCUAAUUAUUUAAACUAUAAAAAUCAAGUUUGACCUUAAUAUAUAAAUUUAACAUUCUUAAUAUUCGUUUAUCCUUUUAUAUCAAAACUUAUUAACUUAAUCAUUAUUAACGCUUAAGAUUAGCUAUCGGAAUUCAAAGAAAUUUAAUUGUUAAAUCAAUGAAAUAAUUUUCCUUCGAAAUAUGAAUUUAAUGUAACAAAACUAGGAAAUUUAACCACUUAUUCGUUAUAUGUAAUUUCUUGAAUCAAUUAUUUACUCCAAUCGCGUAUUUACUAUUUUCACUUAACGAGCUUACAGAAAUUAAAUUUCGAAACGAAUUGCUUUAAAAAUAUAACUAAACUAUGGAUACGUUUAAUUAAACCUAAAAAGCUUAGAAAAUAAUACUCAGAGAAAUCGGGUGAGUAAAUACUUAUUUUAGCCAGUAAAAUAAAUAAAAUAAGCAAAAUUUUCGGGUCCUCACAAUCGAGUUUUAUGUACCAUUAGAGUUAGUUCUUGGAUUAGAUGUGAAGGGUGGUAAAGGUGUUGGAUCGAAAUUUAUGCAUAUAUGAACCUGCAUGUUUACUUAUCUUUCUUAAAAGUAUUUUCCAAAAUAUACGUUUUACUCAAACCCAUCUCUUAACUCGAGACUUUGAGGGAAUUUUUGAAACACCCUCCAUGUAUAUGUUAUUAUAUUAUAUAUGUAUUUUAAUGUGUAUUUUAAUAUCCACGCGUUGAGUCGCAUGGUUAAUCUUCUUCAAUGUAUUUGAGGAAUUCGGAAUAUGUAUUGAUAAUUGUGGCAAAAACAUUAUUUGAAGUUUGUUACUAGGAAAAUUUAGUUUCGGACCAUGAAGAAAAGUUUGUAUCUUUAACUCUAAUUUUGAGAUUUUGAAUCACAUUCUACCACAUACAUAUCCAAAAUACAUUAAAGCUCUCGAUUAUAUCUCGCAUGUUAUGAUUGACUUGAUUUGGACAAAAAUUUGGUUGGUCGUUUGGGAAAAAAGAAACCUGGUCAUUACUAAAAUUGUUGAUUUUGAAAAUCGAAUGCCAGUAAAUGGUUUUGGACAAAUUGAGUCCAAAAAAUUUGGUAAGGCUAGUCUUCUGUUGAAAAUAUAUCCUUCUAUUCAAGUUUUGAACUACAAGAUUGAAUCAUUUAACUAGAGUUUUAUUUGACCUUGAAGCUAACUAUUUUUGUGUAAACCCUAGUUUCAUGAAUGGUAUAGAUAAAGUGUGAUCGCUUAUUCUAUGACUUGGAAGUUAGGACUUCUACGGGGGAAUCGGUGUCUAAUUGUUAGUGCAAAUUAUGGAAACAUUGAACUUUUGGCAGAUCUAGUGGACCUAGCAAAUAAGGGGUACGAUGUGAUAUUAGAAAUAGAUUGGCUAGAUAGAUGUGAAAAGUAAGCUGGCAUUGUUUGCUCUUGUAUCAGGAAUCCAAACUAGAAAAUCUAUACAUAUGGAAGCAUGAGCAUAUUUAGCUUUUCUUAUAAAUACACCCGGGGAUAAAAUGAAAUUGAAAAAAGUACCAGUGGUGAAAGAUCCAUUAAGAGAGUAACGUACGCUUUAUUUGAAAGAGGAUACAUUAGGGAGAGUGAAUUCCGUGGAGGGUGCCUAUGCUUUUUGUUUAAAAAAAAGAUGGAAAUUUAAAACUAUGCGUGAAUUUUUGAGACUUGAAUGAGGGAACCAUUAAGAAUAAAUACCCUUAUUGCCUCACAUAGAUGAAUUGUUUGACCAAUUAUAAGGAGUCAGGGUGUUUUCUAAGUUGGAUCUGAUGCAAGACUAUUAUUAGUUAAGGAUCUUAUAAUGAGUUAUACCUAAGAUUGCUUUUGCUUCAAGAUGUGGUUAUUUUGAGUUUGUAGUCAUGCCUUUUGAGUUGACUAAUGCACCGGCAGUUUUCAUAAACUUGAUACAUUGAGUUUUAAACUCUAUUUGGGUUAGAUUGUGGUAAUAGCGAAUACAUAUUUUUCGAGAUAAUAUUCGAUCCAAGAGUACAAUUAUCUUGAAAAAUUAAGAAUGAUCAAUAGUAGACUAAGAAAAGUUAAUUGAGCGAUUAAAGGUGAGUGAAUUAAAAAAUUUCACCUUAUCGCGUGCGAGUAGAAAGUUCGUGUGUUGCACGCACGUAGGAACGAUUAAGUGGAGAUUUGAGAAAGUUAUCCUAGACUCACAAGAGUGAGUAAAUACAUUGUUAAACGAAUUACAGUUAAAGAUUAGUGUACAAGUGAAACAAACAAGAGAGAAAAGUGGUUGUACGGGACACUAUCUGAACCCUAUUUAAAGUUGACUUUUGCAAAGCUUUUUGCCACAAUUUCUUCAAGCUUCCAAGAUAAUAUUCACACAACUCAAACCACUCACUCUCUCCUCUCUUUGGUCGGCCAAAACCGCAAAGGAAAAGGAAGAAAGAAAGCUUCUUCAUCUUACUCCAAAUCUUGUUCCACUUCCCUCACAAAUCUUCACCCAAAUCACAUACUACUUGGAGAUUAGUUCUAGUUUGGAGAAAGGCAUCAUCUUGUGGAAUUUCUUGGAGGUUUUGUGAUGAAAAAAAUUCUGGUGUCAUCUAGGGUUCAAGAGGUAACUUUUUACCUUCUUCAAUCUUUUUAAUUUCUUCAAGAACGAAGCUUAGUUUGCAUGGGUUUACAACCCUAAGCAAGAAAUAAGUUAGAGGACUUGAGAAAUUUCAAUUCUUGUUUUAAUCUCUACGCUAGCAGUCUUGAGGUGGAUUAUAGAUAGCUGACUUGAGAAUUAAAAUGCUCGAUUGUUGUGUUUAUGUGUUAUAUAAGAGAAUUAUAGUUAGAAUAUGGAGAGAAAGUUGGAAGAGGUGUGAGGUGUGAGCUAGCCGAAACUCUCUUAUGGUUAUCUUGCUUGUAUUUCAAAUUUUUGUUGGUUAUUUGACAAUGAAAUGGAUGGAUAUAUGUUGUAUAAUUGGUGUACAAAGUGCCUUGCGAAAAUUAUUUCAUUUGAUUGCACAAAACUAGAGUUUUCGAAAAUGGAAGAAAUCUGGAAUUUAUGAUCAGGAGGUCCGGACAGUAGCUCUUUUUCGAACAUAACUUGAUGUACAAAAGUCGAAAUAGAGUGCGGUUUGUGGCAUUUAAAACUAGACAUUUAUAGAUUUCUAACGAUAUAAAAAUCACCUACUAGUUCGAACUGAGUGAACCGUAGUAAUUUAACAAAAUUGACGGUCUUGUUGUGACUCUCUGUCCGAGAGGACAGGAGAAGCUGCAUUUUGUGGCUUAAUUUUCUAAUACUUGUAAACUGAUUUUGGAAAUCACACUUUCUGAUGAAAUGUAGAAUUUUGAACCUAGUUUCCAACGCCAUGAACCAUUCCCAAUUUGAGUUUGUAUUGAGUAAGAUAUGGUCUGAUUUCAAAAGUGCAACAAAGCAGGAAACUGGAAGCUUUUCCCUUUCUUGUUGGCUGAAUGGUCAAAUCUGUUUUGGGAUGUUUUGCCUCGAAAAUUUUUGCGUCAAUUGCUUAUCAAAUGUUUCUGUAACCUUGGUUUCAAAAAUGGAGUGAAUUGGGAUUGAUUUUAUUGGACAAAAACCUUUGGAAAGAAAGAAAGAGUGAGUUGGCAGAUUUGCUUUGAAAAUUUCACGAAAUUUAGUCAUUUUGUUAUCUGCCUUCCCGUUUGAGUUUUUGCCUAUAAUUUGAUAGGAAGAAAGUCAACAUAUGGAAGUUUAAGUGUACCAAAUUUGGUGUAAAUUCAAUACCAUUUCGAUAUCCAAAUGAUGCCUCAAACAUUGCUCUUCAAAUCUGGAAAUUCACUGUUCAAGUAGUGAAAAUUAACCGACUUUAGGCUAUUAUAUCUUGACACUCGAAACUCCGAAUUUAGUUCCAUUUGUUGUGUUUCAAACCUUGUUUGGAACUCUUAUUGUGUUACAAAUUUCAAAGAUUGAUUCGUUUUCUGUGAAUUUUUCCGAAUUUCCAAAAAUGGCUGAAAAACCAAGACUGGUUCAAACCUGUCCUCUUGGAACUGAAAUUUUGAGUUGAAAAAUGAGUGCCUUUUGUUUAGAAUCUUGGGAAAGCGUCUUCUAGGAACUUUUAAUAUUUUGGAUCUAUUUUCAACGGAAUAAAGUUUUUUCAUAUUUGGACAUAUCGAGCUCAAGAUCUUAUUUUACCAAGUUUAUCGCGCAAAGCUGAAAAUUCAUGAUUUCUUGGAAAAUGAGUUUUUGUGAACUUUUCGCUGUCUUUCGAUAUCGAUCAUCCAUUUUAAACUCAUCUUCAUGGAUAAUGCAAGUUUCUCUUGUGAAUUUAAAUUCUCACUUUUGAAUCUCGAUUUUCGAGAUAUUAAAGUUCUUUUAAGACAUUGUCUUAGUAUUGCGCAAGUGUAUAUUCUUCCUUAUUUAGCAAGGGGUUUGUAAGUAUUUGUGAGUGAUAGAUAAUUGUUAUUUCUUCAGGCGCUCAAGAGGAUCUUGAAGAGAAUCUCAGAGCCGAUCACUAAAGGUUUAUUUACUCACUUACUCACUUUUUGAUUUGGUGAGUGUCAAGUAUAUGGAGUGUUGCUACGUGCUUAAAUGUUCUCAUUAAUUGUGUAUUGUGAAAGUACGGAGUCGAGUGUGUACUUUAUCGCACUCGUUCUCUUUUAAGUGAAUUAUAUAUUGAAUUGUAUGAAGUGAAUUUGCUAAGUGAAUAAAGUGAAGUGUUGCAAUAGUGAAUCAUACUAUGUUUGAAUCAAUGUUGAUUGGAGUGAAUCUCAUCGACUUAUAUUAAUAAUAGUAGGGGGGCCCAAAUUCUUCGGCCAACCUUGUGACUCGAGUCAGCAUGGGCUUGGUCGUGAAACUUGGUGAGCUAUGAGAAAAAAUUGUAUAAACUUGAUCUAUUUGAAAGAUCUCGCUUGGCAUACUCUAGUAGUAUCGCCUUAUAUAAAAGAUGUGCGAGCUCGAUACAGGGGGUGUAAUGGUGAUCGGGAGUGCGAAAUAAGUGUGGUUCUACGGACCUAUAACCUACCCGGUUGACGGAGUGUUAGCUCGUGGAGGUACUGGAUCGAGCAUUGGCAGAGCAAAUAGAAUAUAGCUCCUGAGAGUUUCCGUAUCCUUAUCAAGUGUGUUUUAUUGUUAGUUGUGAACUACUUGAAUGUUAUAACUUUAAUUCUCAUAUAAGUGCUAUCGUUAUUUGAACUAUGUAUUUUGCCUGUUUUUCUUGGCCUCACUGAGCAUUAAUUCAUCCCAUUAUAUUUGUUUUUCUUAACAGGAGCCGAAAUAGAAAGAAUUAUGAAGAAUUCGACUUGAUGCACUUUUGAUUAGGGUUUUGAAUGUAAUUGAUUAGAUGACUUUUGAAAGUUGUAUAUUUGGGGAAAGUGAUAUACUUGGUAUCUUGUAAUGUAGUAAUUGAAUACUUAUUAAGAAAACGACCUUUUCUUUGUAGUUUCGAAUCUUAUUUUUGAUUGUUAUCCAUAAGUUUGAGUUCCUCUUGUAGUGAGUCCUGGCGAGAGUUAGGCAGGCAUCCUACCGAUACCCUUGGGUUCGCCCUUAGGAGAAGUGGGAGCGUCACAGUUAGUAUCAGAGUUUAGGUUUCGGAUAUUUAUAGUCUAUCUUAGGCUAAAAGUUUAGAAUACCGGACUGUGGGAUUUAAUUGUGUAUUAAGUGCAAUGUGAUUUGGUGCUUGAUGUUUUAACGAGUAAUAUUGAAGUGUUUGUGUUUAAUUAGAAGGAUGUUGAAUAUUAGUGUUUUUUUUUUGUUGGAGUUAAAUCCUUAUACGUUUGUGAUUUAAUGUCUUGCGGACUCUACUCUAAAGAUGAUUCCAUCUCUUUAAGUUGUUCUUGAGUUGAGGACUUGAAGCAACUUUGAUUUCAAAAGUUUCUUGAUGUUGUAGCACCAUUUUGCUCAUACAACACUAUAAGACUUUAAUCUUCGAGUUGUGUUGGAGGUGAGUCAAGAUUAUGAAUUUUAAAUGGCCUUCUGAUGAAUUUAAGGGUAGGACACCUUGCUUCUUCCACUAUUUUGCUUGCCGAAAUUCCAGCAGAAAAGUUGAAUCAUUUGAACAAUUUUAGAUUUCACUUUGACCUUGAAAAUGAGACAUCUUUUGCAUUCCCUUUUGGUUUGACUUAUUACCCUAUUCUGUAUAGGAACUGUCACCUUGAAUUUAGUGAGGAAAACUUGUAUUCAUUUGAAGUUUUAGACUAAGAAUUUAGAAAGUAAUUUAGGCUUUUAGAUGGAAUUUGGAAUUUAUAAUUGUUCGAAUGAUGUGGCCUGGUAUCGUAGAUUCUUUUAGUUUUGUCCCUAAUUAGGAUUAUGGUUUUCCUUCUUUUGAUCUUGCCUAGGAUAGUAGGGGUGGUGCAUGCCGUGGGGUCUUUUGUGUUUUGCUUGCAUGUACUCCUGUAUUUUGAGGCACUUAGUUGCCUAUAUCUUGUAUUUGAUAUAUCUGGCUUGUUUUGUGAUCUCCCAACUCAUACUAUGACUUUUGGUAUAUGUAAUGAAUCAUGCUUUAAUUCUAAAUAUUUUUGCAACUUAUAUACGCAUUAAGUUCUUAUAUGCCUAAUUAUUCCCUUUCUUACGCCUAUAAACUUAUAUUAAGUAUGGCUCGACGACCUCGCACUCCUGAGAAAGAUGAGGGAUCACAGAAAGAAAGAUUGAUGGAUGGCCUUAUGUAAUUCAAUAGGAUCCUAAUGUUGGAUAUGAAUCAGAAAUGAACGAGAAGAUUAGAUCUACCAAUAUUAUAAUGGAUUGACCUAGUUGGAUACCUAAUAAUGUUCUCCCCUGUGAAGUUUUAAUAAUUGUUCUACACGUAUCUUGUGAUUGGUCCUGUGGACAUGUUUUAAACUUUUAUGAAUGUUUGAACUUCCAAAAUAUUGCGUUGGCUAUUCGUGAGGUGACUUGACCUCAAUUCCUAUUUGUUUUAAUUGAAUAAAAGUAUUUUCAGAUUUUGUUCGACCAUUACUAUAUAUAUAUAUAUCCAUUUACCUGUUGUCCUUUUUCCACAAAUAUUUAUGUAUAUGUACGUACAUUUUGAACUUGUAUGAGAAUCGAAAAUCAGGCAAAGCUUAGGUUCGGAUCUUUUCUAAGGACUAAGAAAGAAUAUUUUUGUGAAUUAGAGAGUAAAGAUGACCGAGCUUUAUGUACCAUUAGAGUUAGCUCUUGGAUUAGAUGUGAAGGGUGGUAAAGGUGUUGGAUCGAAGUUUAUGCAUAUAUGAACCUGCAUGUUUACUUAUCUUUCUUAAAAACAUUUUUCAAAAUAUACGUUUUACUCAAACGCAGCUCUUAACUCGAGACUUUGAGGGAAUUUUUGAAACACCCUCCAUGUAUAUGUUAUUAUAUAUGUAUUUUAAUGUGUGUUUUAAUAUCCACGCGUUGAGUCGCAUGGUUAAUCUUCUUAAAUGUAUUUGAGGAAUUCAAAAUAUGUAUUGAUAAUUGUGGCAAAAACAUUAUUUGAAGUUUGUUACUAAGAAAAUUUAGUUUCGGACUAUGAAGAAAAGUUUGUAUCUUUAACUAUAAUUUUGAGAUUUUGAAUCGCAUUCUGCCACAUACAUAUCCAAAAAUACAUUAAAGCCCUCGAUUAUAUCUCGCAUGUUAUGAUUGAAUUGAUUUGGACAAAAAUUUGGUUGGUCAUUUGGGACAAAAAAAAACCUGGUCAUUAUUAAAAUUGUUGAUUUUGAAAAUCGAAUGCCAGUAAAUGGUUUUGGACAAAUUGAGUCCACAAAAUUUGGUAAGGCUAGUCUUCUUUUGAAAAUAUAUUCUUCUAUUCAAGUUUUGAACUACAAGAUUGAAUCAUUUGACUAGAGUUUUAUUUGACCUUGGAGCUAACUAUUCUUGUGUAAACCCUAGUUUCAUGAAUGGUAUAGAUAAAGUGUGAUCGCUUACCCUAUGACUUGGAAGUUAGGAUUCCUACGGGGGAAUCAGUGUCUAAUUAUUAGUGCAAAUUAUGGAAAGAGUGAAUCUUUGGCAGAUCUAGUGGACCUAACAAAUAAGGGUAUGAUGUAAUAUUAGAAAUAGAUUGGUUAGAUAGAUAUGAAAAGUAAGCUGGCAUUGCCUGCUCUUGUAUCAAGAAUCCAAGCUAGAAAAUCUAUACAUACGGACGCAUGAGAAUAUUUAGCUUUUCUUAUAAAUACACCCGGGGAUAAGAUGAAAUUGAAAAAUGUACCAGUGGUGAAAGAUCCAUUAGGAGAGCAAUGUACGCUUUAUUUAAAAGAGGAUUCAUUAUUUAAAGGAAUUACAGUUGAGGCUUAGUAUACAAGUGAAACAAACAAGAGAAAAGAGUGGUAGUACGGGGCACUAUUCGAACCUUAUUCAAAAUUGACUUUUGCAAAGCUUUUGGCCACAAUUUCUUCAAACUUCCAAGACAAGAUUCACACAACUCAAACCACUCUCUCUCUCUCCUCUCUUUGGUCGGCCGAAACAGCAAAGGAAAAGGAAGGAAGAAAGCUUCUUCAUCUUGUUCCAUUUCCCUCAUAAAUCUUCACCCAAAUCACAUACUACUUGGAGAUUAGUUCUAGAUUAGAGAAAGGCAUCAUCUUGUGGAAUUUUUUGGAGAUUUUGUGGUGAAAAAAAAAUUCUGGUAUCAUCUAGGGUUCAAGAGGUAACCCUUUACCUUCUUCAAUCUUUCUAAUUUCCUCAAGAAUGAAACUUUGUUUGCAUGGGUUUACAAUACUAAGCAUGAAAUAAGUUAGAGGACUUGAGGAAUUUCAAUUCUUGUUUUAAUCUCUAGGCUAGCGGUCUUGAGGUGGAUUGUAGGUAGCUGACUUGAGAAUUAAAAUGCUUGAUUGUUGUGUUUAUAUGUUAUAUAAGAGAUUUAUCGUUAGAAUAUGAAGAGAAAGUUGGAAGAGGCGUGAGAUGUGAGCUGGCCGAAACUGUCCUGUGGUUAUCUUGCUUGCAUUUCGAAUUUUUUUAGUUAUUUGACUAUGAAAUGGAUGGAUAUAUGUUGUAUAUUUGUUGUACAAAGUGCCUUGCGAAAAUUAGUUCAUUUGGUUGCACAAAACUAGAGUUUUCGAAAAUGGAAGAAAUCUGGAAUUUGUGAUCAGGAGGUCCGGACAGUAGCUCUUUGUUCGAUCACAACUUGUUGUAAAAAAGUUAAAAUAAAGUGCCAUUUGUGGCAUUUAAAACUAGACAUUUAUAGCUUUCUAAUGGUAUAAAAAUCACCUUCUAGUUAGAACUGAGUGAACCGUAGUGAUUUAACAAAGUUGACAGUCCUUUUGUGACCCUCUGUCCAAGAGGAAUGGAGAAGCUGCAUAUUGUGGCUUAAUUUUCUAUUACUUGUGAACUGAUUUUGGAAAUGACUCUUUCUGAUGAAAUGUAGAAUUUUGAACCUAGUUUCCAACACCACCAACCAUUCCCAAUUUGAGUUUGUAUUGACUGAGAUGUGGUCUGAUUUCGAAAGUACAACAAAGCUGGAAACUUGAAGCUUUUCCCUUUCUUGUUGGCCGAAGCUCGAAAAUUUUUGUGUCAAUUGCUUUUCAAUUGCUUAUCAAAUAUUUCUGGAACCUUGAUUUCAAAAAUGGAGUGAAUUGGGAUUGAUUUCAUUGGACAAAAACCUUUGGAAAGAAAUAAAGAGUGGGUUGGCUGAUUUGCCUAUAGAUAAAGUGUGAUCGCUUACCCUAUGACUUGGAAGUUAGGAUUCCUACGGGGGAAUCAGUGUCUAAUUAUUAGUGCAAAUUAUGGAAAGAGUGAAUCUUUGGCAGAUCUAGUGGACCUAACAAAUAAGGGUAUGAUGUAAUAUUAGAAAUAGAUUGGUUAGAUAGAUAUGAAAAGUAAGCUGGCAUUGCCUGCUCUUGUAUCAAGAAUCCAAGCUAGAAAAUCUAUACAUACGGACGCAUGAGAAUAUUUAGCUUUCUUAUAAAUACACCCGGGGAUAAGAUGAAAUUGAAAAUGUACCAGUGGUGAAAGAUCCAUUAGGAGAGCAAUGUACGCUUUAUUUAAAAGAGGAUUCAUUAUUUAAAGGAAUUACAGUUGAGGUAUACAAGUGAAAACAAACAAAGAAAAGAGUGGUAGUACGGGGCACUAUUCGAACCUUAUUCAAAAUUGACUUUUGCAAAGCUUUUGGCCACAAUUUCUUCAAACUUCCAAGACAAGAUUCACACAACUCAAACCACUCUCUCUCUCUCCUCUCUUUGGUCGGCCGAAACAGCAAAGGAAAAGGAAGGAAGAAAGCUUCUUCAUCUUGUUCCAUUUCCCUCAUAAAUCUUCACCCAAAUCACAUACUACUUGGAGAUUAGUUCUAGAUUAGAGAAAGGCAUCAUCUUGUGGAAUUUUUUGGAGAUUUUGUGGUGAAAAAAAAAUUCUGGUAUCAUCUAGGGUUCAAGAGGUAACCCUUUACCUUCUUCAAUCUUUCUAAUUUCCUCAAGAAUGAAACUUUGUUUGCAUGGGUUUACAAUACUAAGCAUGAAAUAAGUUAGAGGACUUGAGGAAUUUCAAUUCUUGUUUUAAUCUCUAGGCUAGCGGUCUUGAGGUGGAUUGUAGGUAGCUGACUUGAGAAUUAAAAUGCUUGAUUGUUGUGUUUAUAUGUUAUAUAAGAGAUUUAUCGUUAGAAUAUGAAGAGAAAGUUGGAAGAGGCGUGAGAUGUGAGCUGGCCGAAACUGUCCUGUGGUUAUCUUGCUUGCAUUUCGAAUUUUUUUAGUUAUUUGACUAUGAAAUGGAUAUAUGUUGUAUAUUUGUUGUACAAAGUGCCUUGCGAAAAUUAGUUCAUUUGGUUGCACAAAACUAGAGUUUUCGAAAAUGGAAGAAAUCUGGAAUUUGUGAUCAGGAGGUCCGGACAGUAGCUCUUUGUUCGAUCACAACUUGUUGUAAAAAAGUUAAAAUAAAGUGCCAUUUGUGGCAUUUAAAACUAGACAUUUAUAGCUUUCUAAUGGUAUAAAAAUCACCUUCUAGUUAGAACUGAGUGAACCGUAGUGAUUUAACAAAGUUGACAGUCCUUUUGUGACCCUCUGUCCAAGAGGAAUGGAGAAGCUGCAUAUUGUGGCUUAAUUUUCUAUUACUUGUGAACUGAUUUUGGAAAUGACUCUUUCUGAUGAAAUGUAGAAUUUUGAACCUAGUUUCCAACACCACCAACCAUUCCCAAUUUGAGUUUGUAUUGACUGAGAUGUGGUCUGAUUUCGAAAGUACAACAAAGCUGGAAACUUGAAGCUUUUCCCUUUCUUGUUGGCCGAAGCUCGAAAAUUUUUGUGUCAAUUGCUUUUCAAUUGCUUAUCAAAUAUUUCUGGAACCUUGAUUUCAAAAAUGGAGUGAAUUGGGAUUGAUUUCAUUGGACAAAAACCUUGGAAAGAAAUAAAAGAGUGGGUUGGCUGAUUUGCCUUGAAAAUUUCAUGAAUUUUAGUCAUUUUGUUAACUGCCUUCCCGUGUGAAUUUUUGCCUAUCAUUUGAUAGGGAGGAAGUUCACAUAUGAAAAUUUAAGUGUACCAAAUUUGGUAUAAAUUCAAUACCAUUUCGAUAUCCAAAUGAUGCCUCAAACAUUGCUCUUCAAAUCUGGAAAUUCGCUGUUCAAGUAGUGAAAAUUAACCGACUUUAGGCUAUUAUAUCUUGAUGUGCAAAACUCUGAAUUUAGUUCCGUUUGUUGUUUUUGAAACCUUUUUUGGAACUCUUAUUUUGUUACAAAUUUCAAAGACUGAUUCGUUUUCUGUGAAUUUUGCCAAAUUUCCAAAAAUGGCUGAAAAACCAAGACUGGUUCAAACCUGUCCUCUUCGAACUGAAACUUUGAGUUGAAAAAUGAGUGCUUUCUGUUUAGAAUCUUGGAAAAGUGUCUUCUAAGAACUUUUAGUACUUUGAAUCUAGUUUCCAAUGGUGUAAAGCUUUUCCAUAUUUGGACAUACCGAACUCAAGAUCUGAUUAUACCAAAUUUAUUGCGCAAAGCUGAAAAUUCAUGAUUUCUUGGAAAAUGAGUUUUUGAGAACUUUACGUUGUCUUUCAAUACCGAUCAUCCAUUUUAAACUCAUCUUCAUGGAGGAUUCAAGUUUCUCUUGUGAAUUUAAAUCUUCACUUUUGAAUCUCGAUUUUUGAGAUAUUAAAGUUCUUUUAAGACAUUGUCUUAGUAUUGCGCAAGUGUACAUUCUUCCUCGUUUGGCAAGGGGUUUCUAAGUAUUUGUGAGUGAUAGAUAACUGUUAUUUCUUCAGGCAUUCAAGAGGAUCUUGAAGAGAAUCUCGGAGCCGACCACUAAAGGUUUAUUUCCUCACUUACUCACUUUUUGACUUGGUGAGCGUCAAGUAUAUGGAGUGUUGCUGCAUGCUUAAAUGUUCUCAUUGAGUAUUGUGAAAGUGCGGAGUCGAGUGUGUACUUUACCGCACUCGUUCUCUUUGAGUGAAUUAUAUAUUGAAUUGUAUGAAGUGAAUUUACUAUGUGAAUAAAGUGAAGUGUUGCACUAGUGAAUCAUACUAUGUUUGAUUCAAUGUCGAUUGGAGUGAAUCUCAUCGACUUAUAUUGAUAUUAGUGGGGGACGCCCAAAUUCAUCAGCCGACCUUACGACUCGGGCCAACAUGGGCUUGGUCGUGAAGAUUGGUGAACCAUGAGAAAAAAUUGUAUAAGUUUGAUAUAUUUGAGAGAUUUCGUUUGAUAUACUCAAGUAGUAUCGCCUUAUAUAAAAGAAGUGCGGGCCCGGAGCAGGGGGUUUAACGGUGAUUGGUGAAGUGCAAAGUAAAUGGAGUUCUACGGACCUAUAACCUACCUGGUUGAUGGAGUGUCAGCUCGUGGAGAUACUGGAUCGAGCAUUGGUAGAGCAAGUGGAAUAUAGCUCCUGAGAGCUUCCGUAUCCUUAUCAAGUGUGUUUUAUUGUUAGUUGUGAACUACUUAAAUGUUAUAGUUUUAAUUCUCGUAUAAGUGCUAUCGUUAUUUGAACUAUGUGUUUUGCAUGUUUUUCUUGGCCUCACUGAGCAUUGACUCAUCCCAUUAGAUUUGUUUUUCUUUAACAGGGGCAGAAAUGGAAAGAAUUAUGGAGAAGCCAACUUGAUGCACUUUUGAUUAGAGUUUCGAAUGUAAUUGAUUAAAUGACUUUUGAAAGUUGCAUAUUUGGGAAAAGUGAUGUACCUGGUAUCUUGUAAUGUAGGAAUUGAAUACUUAUUAAGGAAGCAGCCUUUUCUUUGCAGUUUUGACUCUUACUGUUGAUUGUUAUCCAUAAGUUUGUGUUCGUCUUGUAGUGAGUCCUGACGAGAGUUAGGCAGACAUCCCGUCGAUACCCUUGGUUUCGCCUUUGGGAGAAGUGGAGGCGUCACAAUUUAUUAUUAGUCGAAAUGCAAGGUGCUAGAUAACAUAAGAAAUUCUAUAUGGAACUAGUUCUAGGCUUGACAAUGAUGUCUCACCUAAAGAGCUGCUAUUAUAAUUAAUUUCAUCCAUAUUCCACCUAAAUGCAUUGUUUCAAAGGCAACCCACGGAACCAUAUAGUACAAAUUAAACCUUGUCAAAUCUCUUAGGCCUACAAAUUACGUUGAUUUGGUAGACCCAUUGAUAAUUACCUCCUCUUUGGUCACAUUAAAAAAAAAAGCAAGUUUUAUCGCUUCGAAAUUUUAAAAUUGACUUAUGAUUAAGGAUCUAUCAACUACUGUCUUCGAAAAUGGUUCAUCACCUGCACUUCAUGAUGUUAUCCAAAUUUUAGAUUAUCCUCAAAAUAUUUAUUGAAAUUAUACUGGCCUUGCUACGUAGACGGAAGCAUAACAAUUAUUUUGAUUAAAAAAACUGUAUAUAUAUAACUUUUUAUCAUUAAAUUUUAUAAAUUCUUUUGGAGGCAAAAGUUAAACAUAUAUGCUUUCAAACUUUAAUGAGGGAAAACUAAAAUUUUAGAGAGUCGGUGACUAGAGGAAUGGCAAUGAGGUGGAUAUGAGGCUAGGAAACCCUCACCCAUCUCCCUCCUUGUGCUAUAAAAACUUCUCCUGGCUUUAGUGCUAUCCCCCACCCCAUCAGCCUACCCAGCCAGGGUGCCCUGAUGGGUGGUUCAAAAUAAAAUUUUAUUUUUUAUUUUGAUCUUAUGUUUUCAUAUAUAAUAUUAACAAAUAACUUUAUAAAUCAAUCUUUUGGACUUUUAACUAAUAUUCAACAUUACAUUAUGUUUAAAAUCUACUUUAAUCUUUUAAAAACAUUUCUCCGUAUUUGUUAGCAAAUCUAAACUAACAGCUGUUACUAUUAUUGUUACAAAAUUAUAAAUAAUAUAAUAUGUACAUAGAUAUUGGCAAAUAUAGCUGCAUAUUAAUUAAUUUAUUUAAUUUAUAGGCAAGGAUGGCGCGGGGAUGGUAGCCACAUCGUGGGGGAGAAAAAUCCCCACCACCCCACUCCUGCCCCACAGCUCUCUUCACUCCAUUUCUCUCUCCCAAAGGACGGGCAUCCAUUCCUAUCAUGACCUUCCCACCUCUUAAUUCUCAUGCCAUUGAUGGGCCAAUUUAGAGGGAAAGUGAAUAAAGUUGGCAUCUAUCUGCCCUAUGGUUUAAGUCGUUAUGGAAAGGAGGUGACCUCUUAAUUCUCUCAUGCCAUUUCCAGCUUUGAGUGAUGAAAUCAGGAAGAUGAAAAUUCUAGACAAAUUGUCGUGUCUCAAUCAAUGAACUCGAAGAUGGAUCAUGCAACGGCGUGAUUCUUGUAUGUUAUUGUCCAAUUAGCAAAAUUUUGAAAAAUCAUUGACGGUUGAGAUGAAAGUCAAGUAACAAGAGGUUUAAAACUUUUUGGAUUCUUCUAUUCACAGAACAUAAUAAAAGAUAGGUGCACUCUUCAAUUAUGCAUGCCAUCGUAUGUUUCAUUAGUCAACAUUAUUGUUUAUUAUUAAUCGAAUGCAACGUUCUAUAUUUGGAUUAUAAAAGAAGUUGUAUAUGGAACUAGAUUAUAGGCUGACAAUGAUGUCUUAUCUAAUUAAAAAGCUGCUAUUCCAAUUAAUUUCAUCCAUAUUUCACCUAAACGCACUGUUUUAAGGGUAGCCUAUGGUACCAACUAGGUAUGUCAAUGGAUCGGAUUUUAUCCAAAUCAAAUCCAAACCCAGUAUAUCUGAGUAGGGUUUAGGUUUAAUUUAUUAACCCAGACCCUAACCAAAUCUAGAUUCCGUAAGAGAAUCAUGAAUUGGGUGGAGUAUGAUUUUCUAUGAUUUAGAUCCAAAUUCAAAUCCAAAUUAGACCCUACCAAUACCCAUGCAAUAUUCUAUGUGUGUGUAUGUAUCAGUAAAUUCGGAAAAUAACCUAAUAUUCUAUGUCAUUAUAAUUAGUAAAAACAUUUUCAAGAAAAAUGAAAAAAUGAAAGCAAAUAAAUAAAAGAUUGAAUAUAGACACAAAUGAAACUUUGAAAACAAAUAGUUUUAGUUGAUAAUAAUUCUUUCUUUGAGUUCAUAAUAUUGUGUUCAACCAUCAUGAAUGUUGAUUUUAUUAUUUCAAAAUAAAAAUUCGAUGAUUAUUUAUGUUAUUUUUUUAACUCUAUAUUUUUCAAAUAUUUUUACUUUGGUUCCUCAUUGUAUGUUCAAAAAGUAUUCAACGAAUACCCGUCGAAUACCUAAACCUAUGAGGGUUCGAGUUUGGAGUUUACUUUUUCAAACCCAUAAGGGUUGGGCAUGGGUUUGGGUCUAACUAAAUUUAAUAAGUAUGAAUGCAGAUCAAGGGAAUCUAAAUCAAACCCUAUCCAUUAAAUACCUAUAAAAUACCUAUACUAUACAAUAUAAAUUAAACCUUGUCAAAUCCCUUGGACCCACAAAUUAUGUUGACUUGGUAAACCUUGGAUAAUUACCUCAUCUUUUUUUUAUAUAAAAUAUCAUAAUUUUAUUGAAAUUUGCAUUAAUGAUAGAAAUUACAUCAUUAAACAUACACAGAUAUCAAAAAACAGGAUAAUAUGGUGAGCCCUAUCGAAUAGAUCCAAAAAAUUCCAAAUACGUUAAUCAAAAUCUAAAAAACUCAUCUUGGGCACAUGAAGAAAGCAAGUUUGUCGUUCCAAACUUCAAAAACUGACUUUUAAGAGUCUAUUAGCUAUUGUCUUGAAAAUGGUUCAUCACCUUCACUUCAUGAUGUUUAUCCAAAUUUUAGAUUAUCCUUAAAUUUUUUAUUGAAAUUAUACUGGCCUUGCUAUGUUACCUAUGUAGAAGGGAAGCAUAACAAUUACUUUGAUCAAAAAACAGUAUAUACAAAUAACAUUUAAUUUUAUAAUAAUAUUUUAUAGAAUUUUUUUUGGAGGUAGAAGUUAACAUUUACUUCAAACCUUAUGUGAGGGAAAACUAAAAUUUCUUAGGUUUUAAAGAGUUGGUGACUAGGAAUGACAACAAGAUAGAUUUGGAACUAGAGAACCCUCCCGUCUCCCCUCCUGUGCUUUAAAAAUUUCCCCUUGCCCUAAGCUAUCCCCCUGCCCCCACCCACUACCCAAUAAGGUGCCCCAAUGGGUGGUUCAAAAUAAACUUCUAUUUUUCAUAAUUUUUCAUAUAUAAUAUCAACAAAUAACUAUAUAAAUCAAUCUUUUGAACUUUUAACUAAAAUUCAACAUGAAAUUAAGUUUAAAAUAUACUUUAAUCAUUUAAAAAUAUUUCUCCAUAUUUAUUAGCAUAACUAAAGUAAUAUCUGCUACUAUUAUUAUCUUAUUGCAAACAUGCAAUACACAAAAAAAAAAUUCAGUAAACUAAAAAUAACAAAAUCAUCAUUUUACCACACAAAUAAUGAUAUCAUGAGUUUUCAAAUUAUAAUGUAUAUGUCUAUAUGUGUAUGUGUGUCUAUAUAUAUAUAUCUAUACAUAUAUAGAGGUGGGGAUAGUACCGAUACAAAUCCCACCACCCCUACUAUAUAUAAUAUGUACAUAGAUAUUGACAAAUAUAGUUACGUAUUAAUUAAGGAUUAAUUUUUCUUACACUGACAGUGUAUACACUAUCAACGUUGGAUGAAUGACAACUAUGUAAAAUUUAAAUUUAAAAUUCAACUUUUACACACAUGUCAUGAAUCAAAUGGUGAUAGUCUAUACACUGUCAGUGUAUAUAAGAUAUACUCAUUAAUUAAUUAAUUUAAUUUAUAGGUGGGGAUGGUACUGAGACAAAUUCCCGCAACCCCUACUCCUACUCCGCAUUUCUCUCUGCCCUAUUUAUAUACCUACGGGGCGGGCAUACUUACCGAUCAUGACCCUCUCCAUCUCUUAAUUCCCGUGCCAUUAGAAGGGCCAAUUUAGGGUAAAUUCUAUAGUAUAAUCGGAUAAUUCAAGACAGGUGUGGAAAGUAAAGCAUAUGGCAAAGAAGGCAGCACGUUGCAACCUGACAUAUACGGACCAAGAAGGGAAUAUUUCUACAAAAGCAAGUGGUAACCUAUAACCGGGACUUGGAAAUGUUGCGUACUGCAGAAGCUAGAAAUGUGUUAGGGUGUCACACAAUUAACAUAAAUAUAAAGAGCCUAAGAAUAAAACACCGAAAAGGAAGCAUAAGCAGUACUAAACACAGCCAUGCUUGGCUUUGAAACAACAUAUGAUCAUUAAUGAAUAAGGAGUUGAGAGCUUUAAGAAGUGAGACUUAAGAAAAUAAAUAUUUGAAAUAUUAAGUUUUUUAAUUAUCUAAUUUAUUUUGAUUAGUCAUUUGGAGGACUUCUAUAGCUGAAGUACAGAAUCCUUUUUGGACUUUUAAUAAAUUUGAGUUAUUUUUCUUUUGAUUUCUCACUUUUCUAACAACUUUUAUCUAAUCUACUAAAUUUGAAUUAUUAAAAUUGAUUUUAAUCGCUAUAUUAGUAAAAUAUUAACAUUUGUGAAAACUGGGUUUGUGGGAAGACAGAUUGUUGCCCGUUUCACAUUUAAUUGAAUACAAAUAUCUCUACUUUACAUAAAGCGUCCAAGGCUGAGGAACAGUGAAUUCCAAUUGAUUCUCCCGAUUAUUGGUAUUACAUCAACAAAAUACUAUCUAUUUAUGGGCAUUUUACUCUGAAUCAUUACAUUUAUGUAAAAUACAUAAAUAUUUGUAACUAAAAUUGAAAAACUGUUACACUAAUAUUUUUACGAAAGGAAAAUUGAUUGUCCUGUAUUUAACAUAAACUAAUUUUUGUGAAAAUAAAAAACAUAUUGCCCAUAACAUACCCGCUCUUUAUGGUUUUUUGCAUUCCAUCAACAAAAUACUAGCUAUUUAUGGGCAUUUACUCUGAAUCAUUAUAUUUAUAUAAAAUAAAUAUAUGCUUGUAACUAAAAUUGAACAAGUGUUACACUAAUAUUUUUACGAAAGGAAAACUAGUAAAUUUUGUAUUUAACAAAUUUUAAAUAUGUGAAAGUAAAAAAGUUUUGCCCAUAACAUACCAGCUCUUUAUGAGUUUUUUGCAUUACACAUCAACAAAAUACUAACUAUUUAUGGAUAUUUAACUCUGAAUCAUUACAUUUAUGUAAAAUACAUAAAUGUUUGUAACUAAAAUUGAAAAAGUAUUAUACUUAUACUUUUACGAAAGGAAAACUAGUAGAUUUUGCAUUUAACAAAUUUUAAAUAUGUGAAAGUAAAAAAGAUUGCGGCCCAUAACAUUCCAGCUCUUUAUGGAUUUUUUGCAUUACAUCAACAAAAUAUUACCUAUUUAUGGGCAUUUUACUCUGAAUCACUACAUUUAUGUAGAAUACAUAAAUGUUUGUAACUAAAAUUGAAAAAGUGAUACACUUAUAUUUUUACAAAAGAGAAACUGGUAAAAUUUGUAUUUAACAUAAAUUAAAUAUGUUAAAGCAAUAUUAAAGGUGAUUUUAUUAGUUACUUAAUUUGUUGGUAAGAAACAAGGUUUCUUUUGCAAAAUUUGUUCAUAUAGAUUUUUCCAAAUAAUUAGGAUAUAAAGGUAAAUUUUCACAAUCUUUUGUUAGCAAUAGACCCCAAUUUCCUCCUAGGCAGUGACGAAGCCAAGAUUUUUUCCUUGGAGGGAGGGCUAAAAUGAUUGACAAAUAAAAUUAUUUGAAUAUGUUAUGUUCAAAAUGAUUUUCAUCUAUUUAAAUAUAUGGCAUUCUAAAUAUCAAAUAUUAACUUUAAUUAUAAAGGUAUGUCUAUUUAAUAAAUAUAUAGUAUAGUCAUAACUAAAAUUAAGACAAGAAAUAACAUUUGAUUAAAUAUCUUAUAGGAAAAAAUGCACUUUUCAUCCUCAAAGUUUGGGUGGUUGGCCAAUUUCAUCCUCAAAGUUUCACCCCAAACAUAUUGCAUCCUCAAAUUUUGUAAUUUUGGCCAAUUAAGGACAAUUGACGGAAAAUGAAGAAUUGAUCGUUAGAACCAACGAUUUUAACAACAAAAAAUGGGUAAAACCGAAUAGAGCCAUUUUUAACGAAACAAUUCUAAAGUUUUAACCCAAAAUUUUUUUUACCAAUCUCUAGAGUUUUAACGACCGUUAUACAACUUUCAAAACAAAUAAAUUCAUUCUAAAUUUUUAUUUGGGAUUAUUUCAUAAACCAAAUCGUGGUCACUUUGUGUAAAGUAUCACUUUCCCAUAAAAGACUAGCUCUUUAUGGCUUUCCUCCAUUAUAAGAACAGGGUACCCAUUUUUUUUAUAACUAAAUUUAUUUAUCGAAUAAAAAUAAAAAUAAAUUCAUUUUCUAAUAAAAGACCAGCUCUUUAUGGCUUUCCUCCAUUAUAAGAAUAGAGUACCCCAUUUUCUCAUAAAAAAAUAUAUUUAUCAGAUAAAAUAAAAAUAAAUCUAUUUUUCAAUAAAAGACUAGUUCUUUAUGGCUUUCCUCCAGUAUAAGAACAGAGUACCCAUUUUCUCAUAAAUAAAUUUAUUUAUCGGAUAAAAUAAAAAUAAACCCGUUUUUCAAUAAAAGACCAACUCUUUAUAACUUUUCUCCAUUUUAAGAACAGAGUACCUAUUUUUUCAUAAACAAAUUUAUUUAUCAGAUAAAAUAAAAAUAAACCCUUUUUUUAAUAAAACACCAGUUUUUAUGACUUUCUUCCAUUAUAAGAACAGAGUACCCAUUUUGAAAGCAAAAAGGAAUUUGUUUAUCGGAUAAAAUAAAAAUAAACUCAUUUUUCAAUAAAACACCAACUCUUUAUGACUUUUCUCCAUUAUAAGAAAAGAGUGCCCAUUUUGUCAUAAACAAGUAACUUCUUUAAUUAGAAACCAUCGACCCCUUACCAAAGACGAUCAAAUGGAACUAAAUGAUUUUCUUGCAAGAAAGUUGCCAAAAGCAGCUUUGUGACUGUAGUUGCCACUUUUUUUUCAACCAUUUUUUUAGCAAGAGGUAUCAUUAAUGUCAAUAUUGAGAUAUAGCAAAAAUAUUAUACGAAAUAACAAACCAAUUUGUCAUUACAAAUACAAAACGAGCAACAAUAUAUUACAACCAAUACUAUCAACAGUACAAAGCACAAAGAUACUCAAAUCAAAUCCUAAUUAGGCUUUAAUAUGUACAACCAAAAUUGCUAGGGAUAACAAAUGCUAAGAUAGACCCUGUGCCGAUAUACAAUGAGUAUCAUGUUUGCAUUAAUUGGCAAAGUCCAUAAUGGAAGUAGCUUGUAAGAGCUUCAUCGCCAAGUUUACUACAAUCCACAUCAACCUACAGAGUCCAAUGGAAAAAAAAUUAUUAAACAGAAAUUUACAUUGGUAGUUAGAUAAAUUAAACCUGCAUUAGCCUACAUAUAUCAACUAAGACAUUGAUCCUCAUAUUGUUGCAUGAAAAGAAAUGAAAAUGAGGGACUUUAAAAGAAAUGCUAAGGAUCUCUUUUAUUAACCACAAGUACAAAAUGUAAACUGAAUUUCAAACUACAAGUUGGUAGCAUGUACUUAAGAUGAAGAAAUCAUUAUGACCCCAAUUGACAUGAAACCAAUUGUAAAGUAACGUCAAGGCUGUUUCCUUUAACACAAAAAUAGUAAAUGCAUUCACCCAUUGUAGCUCAUUCAAAAUUGAGAAGUAGCUAAGCAAGCGCAACAUUCGGACUUGGAAAGCAUGAAAUGAACUUGGAAAAAGGAAUUAGAUUUUACUGCCAACAAGGCUUCCAAGGUGCAAAUAGCCAAUGAGAUCUUUUUUUUUCUAAUCCUUAUUAUUUUUGUCCAGUAUGUUCACUUAAAAAAAACUAUAUUCUAUUUACUAGAUCUUUAGUUAAGAAAUAAACAAAAAAUUAAAUCAUCAAAAAGCAAAAAGAUCAAAGGCAUUAAAACUUGCACAAACAUUCAGGAGGAGGAGAAGUCAUCACCUAAGAGAAUCACAUGCAACGCAAUGAAAGCAUUAGAAUUAGCCCAAAGGAAAGGAAAAAAUAUGCUUCACGAAUGGUCCUACAACACCGAAACACAAAACAAUAGAUAAUGAUGAACCACCACAAACCAGUCCAAAGACAAGCAAAAUCACCUACACCAUCAAUCCUAAUCACCAACCGGAGUAGAAAAUCAUCCAUAAUUUCAGUUAAGUCACCGAAUAAAUAAGGCUUAAAUCUUAGAAUACGUCAUAAUCAGUGUUUAGCAUUCAAAAAUUGUGUAAGAUACAGGGGGUUUGGGACAAAAGGGGACAAUUAGGGCUGGGCAACGAGAGGUACGGAGGAAUGGAAGCGAGAGUGGUAAAGAGAGGAGAUUGAGCAAUACGACAAAGCAGGGGAAAAAUCAAAUCGUGGAAGGAAGAAUUCUAGUAUGAAAAUAUGUUGGAGACUACCUGAAAUCUUAGAUCUGAAAUUUUGACGGGCCGUUUUCAUUUUGCCUUCCAGUAAGACCCAUUUCUCUACUCCAACUGAGAUGCCUAUUCACUCUAAUCCACUGAAGUAGAAGCCUACAAUUUCAAAAAGUUUAUCUUGCGAUUGUUAAAUUGACCAAAAUUCAAGAAAAAAGCAAUUGACAAAACAGAGACGAAAAUAACAUAUCUGCUUAAAAAACCUACACCAUCGCUUUUCCUUGAAGUUUGCCAUUGCAUCGGAAGGGUCUUUAAAGUGUGUCCAUGAUUGUAUAAAUUCAGAUCUGGAUGCUAGAGAGGAAGAGGGGAACCAUAUGUCUAUGGUAAACUGAAAUUGAUAGAGAGGGAAAGAGAGAUAGAAGGAGAAAGGUGCAGGGGAGGUUGUGAUUGAACUUUCGAGGGCUCUGAUCUGAGAACAAUAUUUGGGAAAGUAGCCUUGCAAGUAUGGAAGGUUUGGAAUUCAUGUGGUGCUACGCUUAACAAGUGCUGUGCCAGGAAUGGUUAAAAAAUUUUCAAUGUGCGGCUCUGCUAAAAAUUGGAAAGGAGCAAAAUUUUAAAAUUUUCACAAAAAAGCACCCAUGAUUUCUCACCAAUAACAUAGAAACUUUAGUCCACUAGAAUCAGUAUUUGGAGGGAAGCUUUCCUGCACUCCUUUUGGCGAGAAUUUUAAGCGAGAAAAGUCCUUGCCCUCGCAGAGUAUAUGAUGGCUCUAAUUUUUGGUGAGGUAUUGUCCUUUUUCUUGCUAUAAGCCUCUUAAUAGCGUCAAGCUUUCUACUUCUUGCUAAAUUGUUGUCGCUAAUACCCUUUUUGUUAUAGUGAACGGAGGAAAGUCAUAAAGAACUAGUGUUCUAUUGAAAAAUAUAUUUAUUUUUUCAUCCGAUAAAUAAAUUUAUUUAUGAAGAAAUGGGUACUCUGUUCUUAUAAUAGAGGAAAACUAUAAAGAGCUGGUGUUUUAUUGAAAAACGGGUUCAUUUUUAUUUUAUUCAAUAAAUAAUAUUUUUUUUUAGAAAAUGGGUACUAUAUUCUUAUAAUGGAGGAAAGUCAUAAAGAACUGAUUUUUAUUGAAAAAAGAGUAUAUUUUUAUUUUAUCCGAUAAACAAAUUUGUUUAUGGCAAAAUGGAUACUCUUUUCUUAUAAGGGAGGAAAGCCAUAAAGAGCUGAUGUUUUAUUGAGAAAUGGGUUUAUUUUUAUUUUUUCGAUAAAUAAUUUUUUAUUCGAUAAAUAAAUUUGUUUAUGGCAAAAUGGGUACACUGUUCUUAUAAUAGAGGAAAGGCAUAAAAAGUUAGGAUUUUAUUGAAAAACGGGUUUAUUUUUAUUUUAUCGAUAAAUAAUUUUUUUUAGGAAAAGGGAUACUAUGUUCUUAUAAUGGAGAAAGCUAUAAAGAGUUGAUUUUUUAUUGAAAAGGUUUAUUACAAUUUUAUUCAGCCAACUAUGACCUAUUUUCCCACUAACCUAAGUUAGACGAACUAAAUCAUUGAGUUCGUUAACCACAAUCAAAAUUAAUAUAGAAACAGCUGACUCAAAUCAGUCAAUCCUUUAUGGCUUAUACCAAAUCAAUACUAGGAAGCUUAUUUGAAAUAACAAUAAAAUAUUUUAUAAAUGAUUAAAACUUAGUACAUUAGUUAGUAAGUACUCGUAACAUACUUGUAUAAUGCAUGAUUAUAUGUAUAAUUUAAUAUUCUUUUGUACUUAUAUAUUUUCAAAUAUUCUGUGAAAAAUAUUUUGACCUUUCACAUAACCUUAUAAAUAAUAAAAUUUUAUCGUAUUAUAAAACAAUAAUUUUAUCUUAUUAUAUUCAUAGGUGUUAAAUUAUAAAAAUUGUGAUAUAGAAACAAGUGAUAUUCUACAUGUAACUAGGAAGAUUUGUUGUUAUUGUUAUCCAAACUUUCAAACUUUUCAAAAAUGUAAAAUGAUUACAAACUUAUGAUAAGACAAAAUUUUAUUACAUAUUUUACAAGUUUACUUUUCAUAGUAUUUUAAAAUAUAUAAAUACAAAAAAAUGUUAAAUUAUACCUAUAAUCAUAUUAUACAAGUAUAUUGUGAGUACUUACUAACUAAGGUUUAUCCCCACAUUUGUAUAGUUCGUUGUGACAACCAGGUUUAUCCCCAUAUUUGUUUGAGUUUUGAUUACAAUGGAUAUAACCUAUUCCCUCCAAACCCCAAAUUUUGAAUUACAACAUUCAACCAAAACAUGCUCAAACUCUCAGGCUCGGUCAUACAAGGACAGCUAGUGUGAAUAUCCGUGCUACGCACGGUGCUUAUAUAUUAAAAUAAAUUAAAAGAUUAUACCAUUUUAAUUUGAAAAAAGUUAAAAAAAUUAUACCAACAUAAUUAAAAUUUAAGAUUUGUCUAACAAUAGUUCAAAGUAUGACAAAAACUGUAAAUCAUUCAAGAAUUGUGUUUUUGGGGAAGAUGCAUCUUAAAAUAAUAAUAAUAUUUUAUAUUAGAAAAUGAAUGAUAUAUGGAUAGAAAUAAAUAUAAUUGCAUUUUUUAUUUUGAAAUGAAAUACUUACCAACAUUAUGCAUUCGAUUUGAUAAUCUUGUACAAAGGUGCGAACAUUUUUUAUACCAAUCAAUUUAGUAUGAAAAUUAAUAUUGGUGGUUUAAUUAAUUCUAUUGAAUUUUGAAGAAUUCGUACUACAAAAAAAGUUCAGCAAGACUUGUAUUUUUUUGAAGUGAUUUGCUGAAUCUUUUUAAAAUAUUUCAUUGGGAUCACCAUGGUGUGAGAUUCGCUUUGUGAUCAAUUAUUAUUUUUCUUUGUAGUUUUGCAGGUUUGAAAUUAAGAUGCCAUUGAAAUCAAUAAUGGAACCAAUGGGGGCUAAUGGAGGUCAUAGCCCUCCUCCCAAGUUUUAAAAAUUUUAAUUCAUCUUAUAUAAAUAUUUGUGUAAAAUAAAACUGGCCCUCCAAAUUUAUUAUAAUUUUAGUUAAUAUUAUGAGUAUAUAUAUAAGUAUAUAUGUAUGCGUGUGUGCGUGAAAUAACUAUAUUUGAGUGGGAUCACCAUAGUGUAAAAUUCAUUUUGUGAUCAGUUAUUUUUUCUUUUGUAAUCUUGCAAGUUUGGAACUAAGACACUAUUGAAAUUUGUUUGGAUAGAGUGUUAUUUAAAAUAUUAUUUGAAAUAAUUACGAUAGCACUUUUUGUGAUAUGAUCUAUGUGAGAUAAAAAGAUGGGUUGAAAAAUGUGUUUAUGAUGUAAGCAAAAUAUUAUUUGGAGAAAUCUGCUAUCCAAACAUUCCCAAACUAAUAGGGGCUAAUCGGGGCUAUAGGUCCCUUCUUCCCAAAGUUUUAAAAAUUUUAAUUCAUAUUGCAUAAAUAUUUGUGUAAAAAAAAGUUAGCCCUUCUAAUUUUUUAUAAUUUAAGUUUAUAUUAUGAGAAUAUAUAUAUAUAUAUGCGUGUGUGUGUAUGUGUGUGUGUGAAUUAACUACCUUUGAAUUAAUUUUUUAUUAAAAAUUUUAUUUAUUUUUAAUCCCUUUAUAAUUUGUGAAUGAUUGUGAGAGUAAAAUAUAUUAUGACAAUAAGAUAUGUUGAAUUGUGAAAAUUGUAAUUUAAACAGGCUUCUAAAUUUUGGAUAUUUGACUUUCGUAGUUGCGAAUUUCUUAAAUUAACGGUUAGUUAUUACUAUAAGUGAUAUUAUAAGUGUCAGUAAUAAAUGUGAGAUGUGAAUUGGAAUUUGUAGAUAUCAUUUUACAGGGAUGGUUAUUAUCCGUUAGUUAAAGUUUAGGAGUUUGAAUUUUAUGGGAUAGUAGAAAAAACGCGAGGGAAAUGUGGAAAAAAAAUAUGAGUAUGAUUAUAGGAUUUGUAGGGGCGGUUACACGAUUAUUUAAGAGAUAAAUAUUUUUUAAUUAUAAAAAUGUAAAAUUCUAUUAAAAUAGCAUUCAGACUUUUGACAAUUUUGGAAGCUCCUUAUCCAAAACCCCUCAGCAAUACAUAUAGAUAUAGAUACUAAAUGAUAGUUAUGGUAGCGAAAUAGUUUUUACCUAGUAUAACAUGUUGUUGCACUUUUAGCGAUCAUUUGAUUUAUUGUUGGACCUAUUCACCUAAAUAGAAUAACACCUAAAAUUAUGGAAGUAAGUUUCCUAUCUAAAAUAGUAAGUUAAGCGUAAUAGAUUAGUAACUUUUAUACCUCAAAAGGUAAAUUUGAAUAAAUAUUAAACUUAAUUUUUAAAUAAAUAGAUUACUACUUUAUAUGCCAAACUUACUUUAAAAGAGUAAUUUUAGUUCAAAUAACAGUAAGUUUUUAUACAUAAAUACUAAUUCUUACUAAUAACAUGGCAAUAAAAAAUGAUUAAGGAUCAAAAUUUACCAUGUUUUGGAAUGCACGUACAAUUUUUACGUUAAACUUAUCUCAAAGUAGUAUUAGGAAGUUUAUUUGAAAUAAUGAUAAGAUGUUUUAUUAAUGAUUAAAACUUAGUACUUUAGUUAGUAAGUACUCAUAAUAUACCUGUAUAAUAAAUGAUUAUGGGUAUAAUUUAACAAACCAGAUUUACAGGUUUUAUUUAAAAUAAAGUAAUAAUUUAUUCAUUAUAAAUUUAACACCUGAGGUUGGAAUCCAUAAUUUAUUCAUUAUAAAUUUAAUGCUUAAAUUUAUUAAUUCUUCAUUUUAUAUGUACAGUGUUUAACUUCUCGCCAAGCUUCGCGCCUUUUUGCCUGCCCUUACUUUUGCGUAGGACCCUCUCACUUUGCACGUUGCUUAAGUUAGGCACUCAACAUCUUACUUUUGUGUGCGACCCUCUCACUUUUCAAGUUGCUUAAUUUAUGCACUCCGCAUUUCACAUUUACAGUUACAAUCCCCUUCAACGCAGGUUGCAGGUCACAACAACCCUUUACACGUGCACAUCCAAGACACUCUCCUACCGUUUGUGGCCACAAUACUCAGCCCCGCCUUUCCACACCUCUUUUUUGACUAAUAAACAUACCGCAGCAACAUCCCCAAUUUAGAAUGAAAGUGAAUAAAGUUGGCAUCUAUGCUGCCCUAUGGUUAGGUGACCUAUAGCAUUGAAUGGUUUCAUUUCUAGCUUUGAAUAAUGAAACCGUGAAGAUGAAGUUGGAAACUUUAUGGUAGGAAGCCUUUGACCAUUCCUACCGUAGACAGCCACUCAGAGUAUGACACGUGUUGAGUUUGAUGGAGUGUAAACGGAGACGUUAAAUUAUGGAAGAGUACUGAAGAGCAACAUUAAAUUUUAGUCUGCGGCUACAAGCAAAAAACAAACGUUCGGACUUCCGUUUUCCAAUGUAGUAGGUUGGGCCAGGGAAGGUAAUUGCAGGUCAGAGCCACCAGGCAUUUAUGCAUUUGCAAAUGUACCGUUAGCAACGAAAAAAUACUGCAAAUGCCUUCGACAAAAAUAUGCGUAAAGAGGUACUGAAGUUUUAACAAUUAAUAAAUGUAAAUGUCACGCGUGUCGGGAUUAAUAACUUGAAAGAAGGAAAAGUGGAGCAGAGGUAAGCGUAGUAAUUCCACAGCAACGCAAAACACAAAGAGAUUGAAGCCUUCAUUAUAUUUAUAUACAUAUAUAAUUUAGUACUCAAGUGUUCAGCUUAAGCAUCCGGGAAAAUGGUCCCAUAACUAUCGUUACGGUAAACAAAACAGUUUUAGACAUGAUAUAAUAGGUUCUAAAAAUUUUAGCGACCAUUUGAUUACCCGUUAGACCUAUCCACUUAAAUAGGAUUAUGGGUAAAAAUAAGGAAGUAAAUUUCUCAUCUAAAAUAGUAAAUUAACGUAAUAAAUUAGUAACUUUUGCAGUCCAAAAGGUAAAUUGUAAGUAAUAUGAAACAUACUUUUUAAAGAGAUAAAUUAAAUAGUAUAUCCCAAAUAUACUUUUGAGGGAGUAAGUUUAUUUGAAGUAAAAGUAUGUUUUUAUACAUAAAUAGUGAUUUUUACUUAUAACAUAGUAAAUUUGAUUAAUGACAAAAACAUGCUAAUUUAUGGCCAAAAUAUUGUAUAAUGCUUAAAAAACUUAUACGAAGCCCAUAUUUUAGUGUUAUUUGAAAUAACACUAAAAUGUAUUGUUAAUGAUUAAAACUGAGUACGUUACUUAGUAAGUACUGUUAAUAUACUUGUAUACAUACUUGAUCGUAUGUGAAUAAACAAGUAUUUUUAAAUUUAUAGGGAAAUUAAUUUUUUCUUUUGCAGUUUAAAAAAAAGUAAGCGAAAAUCUUUUUUCUCGGAGCACAAAAAUCACAAGUCAAAGUAGUUGGUCUAAAAGGGAAAGAAACAUUCUGAAUAUCAUUGUUACAGUACUAAGUAAAUUAGAUGUAAAAUGCUCGUUAAAAGCAGGUGCGUUGACAUAUAAUAAAGGAAAGCCAUAAAGAGCAGGCCAUUUACGGGAAAAGUUAUCAUUCAUAAAAAUAGCAACGCUUCAUGGUUUUCUUAUCAGUCUUGCAACGUAUGAGCAAAGUGGCAAUAAUUAAAAUAGUAUUUUUUUCGAUUUAUACAUAUUUCAUUAAUUUUUUUUGCAUUUAAAAAAAUGAAUGAAAAUGUUUUAUGAGAAAGCACAUAAGUCAAAAGGAAUGGUCUAAAAGGGAAAAGAAUAGCAGAUACGUACAGUACUUGUAGUUCAUGUUCGAAGGACUAUAGGGCUGUUUUUGAAAAAUAUCCCGAAAAAUAUGUAAUCCAAACGGAACCGAUUCUUCACUAUUUAAAAUGUCAAAUCUGUGAUUGUGUUUUAACUGUUAUCCAUUGGUAUCCUAAAGUAUCAUUUUCCCAUCAAAUGCCACCUCUUUAAAGAUGUUUUCCCAUAAACAAAUUUAUUUAGCGAUAAAAUAUAUAAAAAUUCGUUUUUCAAUAAAACACUAGCUCUUUAUGGCUUUUUCCAUUAUAAGAACAGAGUACCAUUUUUCAUAAACAAAUUUAUUUAUCGGCUGAAAUAAAAAUAAAUUCAUUUUUCAAUAAAACACUAACUCUUUAAAGAAAGCCAUAAAGAGGUAGUGUUUUAUUGGAAAACGGAUUUAUUUUUAUUUUAUCCGAUAAAUACAUUUUUCUAUGCAAAAAUGGGUACUCUGUUCUUAUAAUGCAGGAAAGCCAUAAAGAGCUAGUAUAUUAUUGGAAAACGGGUUUAUUUUUAUUUUAUCCGAUAAAUAAAUUUUUUAAUGAAAAAAUGGGUACUCUGUUCUUAUAAUUGAGGGAAGCUAUAAAGAGCUAGUGUUUUAUUGCAAAACCGGUUUAUUUUUAUUUUAUCCAAUAAAUAAAUUUUUUACAGGAAAAUGGGUGUUAAAGAGGUGAUAUUUGAUGGAAACAUGAUACUUUAGGAUACCAAUGGAUAACAGUUAAAACACAAUCACAUAUUUGGUAUUUUAAAUAAUAAAGAAUCGGUUCCGCUUGGAUUACAUAUUUUUUGGGGUAUUUUUUAAAAACAGCACUGUAGUACAUAUCUGCUAUUCCUUUCCCUUUUAGACCAAUUCUUUUGACUUAUGUGCUUUCUGAUAAAAAAUUUUCAUUAUUUUUUUUAAAUGCAAGAAACAAUUUAAUUAUGUAUAAAUCGAAAAAUUUACUAUUUCAACUAUUGGUACUUUGCUCAUUCUUUGGAGGUCUGGUAAGAAAGCCUUGAAGAGCUGGUAUUUUUAUUAAUGAGAAUUUUUUCCAUAAAUGGCCUGCUUUUUAUGACUUUCCUUUAUUAUAUGUCAAAGUACCAGCUUUUAACUAGCAUUUUACAUCUAUUUGUUUAGUACUUUAAACAAUGAUAUUCAAUUGUAUCUUUCCCAUUCAGACCAACUAUUUUGACUUGUGGAUUUUUGUACUCUACGUAAAAAAAAUUUCGCUUACUUUUUUUUUUAAACUGCAACACAAAAAUUUAAUUAUGUAUAAAUUUCAAAAAUAUUAAUUUAUUCACAUAUGAUCAAGUAUUUAUACAAGUAUAUAAACAGUACUUACCAAGUAAGGUGCUCAGUUUUAAUAAUUAAUAAAACAUUUUAGUGUUAUUUCAAAUAACAAUAAAAUAUGGGCUUGGCAAAAGUUUUUUAAGCAUAAUAGAAUAUUUUUGCCACAAAUUAGCAUGUUUUUGUCAUUAAUCAAAUUUACUAUGUUAUAAGUAAAAAUGAUUAUUUAUGUAUAAAAACAUACUAUUACUUUGAAUAAACUUACUCCCUCAAAACUAUAUUCAGGAUAAAAAUUGUAAUUUAUCUCUUUAAAAAGUAUGUUUCAUAAUACUUUCAAUUCACCUUUUGGGCUGCAAAAGUUACUAAUUUAUUACGUUAACUUUCUAUUUUAGAUGACAAACUUACUUCCUUAUUUUUACACAUAAUCUUAUUUAAGUGGAUAAGUCCAACAGGUAAUCAAAUGGCUGCUAAAAUUAUUAUAACCUAUUAUAUCAUGUCUAAAACUAUUUUUUUUACCAUAACGAUAGUUACUACUCCAUUUUCCCACAUGCUUAAGCUCAACACUUGGUACUAAAUUUAUAUAUGUAUAUAAAUUUAAUGAAGGCUUGAAUCCUUUCGUUUACCUCCACCUUUCCUUCUUCCAAAUUAUUAUCCCCCACGCAUGUGCGAUAAUCAUUUAUUAUUUCUUAAAAUUUUGGUACCUUCUUUACCCACAUUUUUUUCCAAGGCAUUUGCAGCAUUUUUCCAUUGGUAAUGGGUACAUUUGCAAAUACAUAAAUGCCUCUGGUUUUAACCUGCAAUAACACUUCCUGGCCCAACUCGUACGGAAGUCAGUGUGCUUUUUGGUUGUAUCCACAAAUGAUUCUAUCUAAUUUCCUCUCCAUGUGCUAUGCAACAAUUUAACGUCUCCGUUUGGAUUGUAUGCACCCCAACACGUGUCGCUCUCUGCCGGCCUUUCUAUCAUAGGUAGGUUCCUACCAUAAAGGUAUCCGAUGAAGUCUCAAGGACGAUUGUCGUGCCUCAGUCAAUCACCUCAAUGAUGGAUCACGCAACGGAGUGAUACUUGGUACAUAAUUGUCUAAUCGGCAAAUCUUUGCAAAUCGUUGAUGGUUGAGAUGUAGUCAAGUAACAAGGUUUAAAACUUUAAGAAUUGUUCUAUUCAGUACACACGACAAAAGAUGGAUCUAUUUUCCACUUAUUUGAACAAGAUUUUAUAAUUCAAAAAAUAAAUAAUAAUAAUUGAAAUUUAUAGUGAGCCCAUCCUAUCUAUUUUAUAUGCUUAUUCUGUGCUAUACUUUUAAGGACAUAAUAGAAAACCCCAAAAUUUGAAUUUAAUACAAAGAGUACUUAUGGAAUAGCAAUAUAUUCAGAGAUUUAUAAUUGUGCCUAAAAUAAGUACUAGAGGAAAAAGGUAAAAUAGCAAAGAGUUUUUUUUUUUUGGGUUCCCCUUAUCAAGAUCUGGCAUAAAGAGUGACUUCUAAUACGUCGUUGAUAGCACAUACAAUUAUUCAUCAUUUUCUUUCAUAUUUAAAAAUAGAUUAAUUUUCUAUACAUUAAUAAUAUAUACAGUAUUAAAUCUGAAUGCAUACUAUUUGUUUUAAAUUUAAAUUUAUAUUAGUUGUCAUGCAUUCGAAUCUAAUAGCAUAUACAGAGUAUACAGGAUUAAUUCUUAAACAAUUAUACAUAUUGUGGUGAAUCAAAAUUGGGGAAGGCGAUGAAGAGGGGACACCAUAUCAACAAUGUACAUAAGUUUCAAAGAGAAAAAUCAUAAAAGGACUAAGAGCCUAAAAGUCUUCGAUUUGGAUCCUCAUUGCGUCAAUGAAUGAUUUCCCAUCUAGUUCACGGGAAAAAAACGCUUUGAAAUAGUCAGUCAUACUAAUUCUUUUGAAAAUUGCUGGAUUUUCAGGGGUGAUAAGACUUGGCGCUGGACCCAUGUCACCAUCCAGUUUUGAGGAAAGGAACGUUGCAAUGGAAAGCCUUUCGUUGUGUAAAUUCACAGUUGCCCGUUGCUCAACACUCUUGUAAAUCCCAUUUGUCACAAUCUGCAUCUCAGUUAAAAAACGUCACAUUAUUGCCAACUGUGUACUAUGUAGCAUACAUUCUCAGAAAAGUUCAAUUAGGCUCAAUAAUAGGAUAUGGUUAAUAGGGUAAUCUUGUGAGUCCACCUAUAACUACUGUUAAGCCCCAAAAACAUUGGAGAUAGAAUUUAGAAGCUAUACCUUGCAGGACAUGAUUUGUAAGUAACUCGUGUAAUUAGCAUUGACAUCAAGACAAAAUGUAAAUUCCUUUCUGAAAAUCAAAACAAAUUUGUUGGGGAAAAGAGCAAGUACUUUUUUCAAAACGAUAAAAGGAAAGUAGUUUGAAUUUUACCACUCGUACAUCACAGGUAAGCAAUAAUUUGGAGGGUGGGGUGUAAGGGCAUGUACAAUACUAAUUUUGAAGUUAUUAGGCCCAAGUUUUUUCAAUAUAAGAUCUUUUCAUCCAUAUAUUUUAGGCUUUUUUUGACUUUAUAAAGAUACGUGUUCUAUUAAAGUAGUCAAUAUUCUACCAAUAAACAACAUUCGUUUAACUCGGACAAAGUAGCCAAAGUUAGAAGUUUAGGCACAAAUUUGUCAAAAGUUAAAUUUUGGGAUGAAAGCUACACUUUGACCUUGCCUCAUUUUCUGGGCGGUGCAAGUUGAUAAUUAGUCUUACACAUCAACCUAGUGUAGGCAUACUAAUCAUAAUCGGAAAGAUUAUCUCUUGAAUCCUAUUAAAAUAUGGGAAAGACAUUCUAGUUUCCAUAUAUGUUCAUAAUUGUAGAAACCAAUUUGAAAAUAUCUCAUAAGGGAGGCCAAAAACUAGAUAGAUGUUGUAAUUAUAUAAACAGAAAAGCAAUUUGAAGAGAUUGUUCAUAUUCACAUUGCAUCUUGGGAGAAAGGAUUUUGAGCAUGAUUACCU